UAACCCAUGGUACGCCAGUCUGAAGGCCCACAGCCAUUUUUGCAGCCCAUUGAACAUAUUGUUUUCCUGCUAUGCCAAAUGCCUUUUGGACAUUUUGAUAUUCAUUCUCAAUCUGUAUAUAAAAUUCAAUACAUAUAUAAUUUGCAAUCAACAAUGGGAAAUUUUCAAUUAAAUUAAACUAAGUGAUUGGAUGAAUUAAUAAUUAUAUAUACCUGUGACAAUAUGAUUGGGCCUCCUUGUGAAGCAUAUAAACCCUCUGCUUUCAUCAUGUUCACAAUUUUUGUUGUAAAAUUUUGCAUGUAGAACUAUACAUUGGAAUACAUCCAUGAAAUUAAAAGGGGGUGAAAAAUAUAAAUUGACCCUUGUACUAGACCGCAUAACAAUAUCAACCGCAUUCAUACACUCACUAUAGUAGCAGUUAAAAAUUGCAAAAAUAGAGUGUAUGAAAAUGGUUGUUAUUGUUACGUGUUUGUUUAACUUUUUGAAUGUAAAUAAGUAUCAUUGAUAGAAGUAUGGUAGUACCUAGCUAGCUAGCUUGGUCAAAUUAUAUUACCUUGAAAGGUUCAUUGUCUGAUCUGUAGACAAUCCCAGGGACAUCAUGUAACCAAAAUGGGAAUCCCCUACAAGCUCAAUAACAAUAUCAGUUAGUUAGACUUAGAGGUGCCAAUUUUGGCUUAUUAGCCGGAAAAACAUGCAUUACUUUUAAUUUUUUCCAAGUUCGUGAUAUACUAAGUUGAUGUUGAUUGAUGGCUAUCAUUAAUAAUGUGUUGGUCUAUUUGCAAACAAGUUUGAAUGUUGUGAGAAUUGUGUGAAAGCAACAUUAUUCUUUUACAUGUGUGUAUUAUUACUCAUAAAAUAAUUCUAAUUAAGAAGUAAAAAUACCCACCCGUAUGUCCAUUCAGCCUCGAUGAAAGGUCCAAUUCUGAGGCAGACAUAGAGUCCUUGAGCUUGAAUUUCCCUUAUGAAUCUCACCAAGUCAUAUCUUCCACUGAAAUCAUACUGCAAUUGCAUUGCAUGUAUUUACACCAUAUAGUUAACUAAUUAACUACUUCAAACCAAAUAUGUAUAAUUUUAUAAUUUUCAUGUAUGUAUUAUGCAUAUGAGGAAUAAAUUAAAAUACCUGUCCAGGUUGCAGGGGUUCAUGAAGAUUCCAAAACACAUAAGUCUGAAUAACGUCCAAUCCUCCUUGUUUUGCUUUCGCUAUCAAACCUGGCCACAUCUGCAACAACGUAACGUCUUAAUAUAUUUGUUAAAAUUCCUCUGUCUUUUUCUUUCUUUCAUCCAUAUUUUCCUUUCAAGCAAUCCAAAUUCAUGUGUAUUCGUGAAGUCUACUCGAUCAUCACACGGUUCCUUUGUUUUAUUAACAACCAAAUUAAGGAUGCUUAAUGUAACUAACUAUAUCAAAUUAGGGAUAUAUAAAAGUUAAAUUUGACUAGCCAAAUUAACCCAAAAGUUUUUCAUUUGCACUAUAUCCGACCGCCGAUAGCCAUAAGAUUAAUUUAUUCGAGGCUAAGAGAUUACAUUUAGAGGAUAGACAUCUCCAACAAAUCACUCUCCACCGAAGGAUCGAUUCUUAGAUUAGAUGCUUAAGGAGUUCAGUUAUCUAUCAGCUGUACUAGACAUUACUGGUUAACCCAAAGUUUUGAGGAAUAACUUCCUCUAACAUAUAUUCAUUCAUUCAUACCCGUGAUUCAAUAGUGGUGGAAUUACAACUGUAAAAUGAUUUUGCUGUUCUGUAGUUUCCAAGGGAUAUUGCAUGUUCAAAGUACAGGACAGGUUGGUUAGUUGAAAAAGGGGACUUUUUAAUCAAAUGGUACUAGACCACCUGGUAUUGGUAAUUAAUUAUCUUGAAGUUCAAAAUUUGGAAAUGAUAAAUUGAAUAUUAAUUUAAAUGAAAAUACAAUUUAAUCCUAAUUCAUUACCUUUACCUACCUCUUGGAAAUAAAGAAAGUAUGAGCUAGUUUCAGAACUGGAUAAGAAAGUGUGUUCUAACUACAACUGCUAAUUAUAUUGAUGACAUCAACUACUCAAUUAGUUAAUAUGAAUUGUGCAGACACAACUAUCCAAAAAUGCGGCUUCAUCAUAAAGUUGUUAUCAGAAAUCAAAGUUUUCACGAAAGAUGUAUGUACUUAUAGAUGAAGACAUUCAGUUCAUCCCCAAAAGAUACCCAAAAUGCAGAAAGUGUUUAAAAAGUACCUAUUGAUCAUGUCAUUGUUGAGAUAUCUUGUGUUCUCAUGAAUGUAUGAGAAAGUGUAUUGAAUCAGUGACUAUAGAGACAUGAAUGAAGUACAGCUAGCUAGCAGUCUAACACAAUUUUUUAUCCAAUGUGAAGCAAGCAAAGAGCAUGAUCAGAGUUGAUGAUCAGAGUUGAAUUAAUUACCUGAGGAGUGCUGCGAGGAUAAUGAAUUGAACCAGAGAAGAGAAGUUUUCUUUGUCCAUCAAUGAUGAGUGAUCUUCCAUCAUAUGUCACCUCUGCAGCUUCAAUUACUUUUAACAACACCACCAGUAGCACUAGCAGAACCACCCAUUUUCCCAUCUUCUUCAGUAGUACUAAUUAACUAACUCUGCCACUUCUUUUUGCCUAUAUUUAUAAUUAUCUAUCUUCCUCUCUCACCCUCUCAAGAAGUAUAUAUAAAAAUUACAACACAUUGCGUGGCAGAAAAUAAAACCAUAUAAAGAAAAGGAAGAAAUAAAGGCAAAACAGUGCUUGUAAAUUAGAGGGAGAAAGAAACUAUAUAUAGAGACACAUGUGAGAGUCACAAUUGAAGUGGGUGACUGACCAGCAUAUAUUGUUAAGGUGAAGGUGGGGCUGGUACAAGAUUUUUCUUUUCUUUUUCAAUGUUCCAACUAGCUAAUUGCAGAGUCUGGUUCAAUUUUGUGAUCACCAAUCCUUCAAAAAAUGGGAAUUUCUAUUUCUAGCAUCAAAUUUUUGUAAUAAAUGUUGUGUUUUUAAAUAAUAAUGAUUUUUUAUCAUAUUUUUCCAAUGUUAACUACGGUAUAUCUCACAAUCAAUAGCUGAGAAUUUAUUUCUUCGUGUGACUGUGCAGGAAAGGUUGAAGCACUACAUCAACUCAUUUGAUUUUUUAUUAUCAUCAUUUGAACAAAAUAAUUUUUAUUUAUUUUAUAAAUUACUUCUAUUCUUACAUUGCUAUACUAAGGCAAAAACUAGAAUAGUUGUUUUUCCAGUACGUUUGAUCACUAUCCCCUAGUAGGAUACUGCUUUACACUAUGCUUUGCUUCUCUGGGUUUGGAGUGUUGGCCAGACACAUGGCCUUAUGUCAAGCAAUCACUUAUCCUAAAAGCUUAAGUUGUUGGGUACGUAAAAGUCAUUUUAAUGGUUUUAUAUUAUAUUCUAACACCUUAUAAGUUUUAACCCUCUAUUAGACACGUAAAUAUGGAACAAGCAUUAUCAAUAUCAAUAUUUAGUACCUAUUUAUUCUUUACCCAAGAAAUAACAAAAAGUUUGGCAAACCACAUUACAGUAUUUUGACAUCUCAUUUUUUUUUGUGAUUUUUUAACUUCAUAAAUUGAAAAGUUAAUUUUAUUUUCACUACUUUCCAAUUUGUGAAACCGCACAAAAUUAAAAUGCCUAAAGUAGUAGACAUUGUUGAGUGGUCUGUCAAUCACCACUGAAAAAUAAAUGUAUGUUUGUCACAUAUCUGAACAUAGAAAUAUAUACCGUUAAAUUCGCAUUAAGUUCAACAGAAAAGUAAGUCGACUCAUUUUUUAAUAAAUGGAUAAGUGUUAGUAAGUUGUAAGUUGUAAGUGUAACACAUUAUUUCAGUCUUUUCUUGGUUACGCACAUGAUUUCAGUCUAGCACACUUAUUGUGAUUAAUUUAUAUAUUUAGGUGCUUAGUUCCCGUCACCUAACCAAAAGGUUUUUAAGCAAAUUGGAGUAUUGGACCAUUUCAAAAAAAAAAAAAAAAUUGGAGUAUUGGACAAUUGAUGGAGUGCCAAUCACGAUAUUCGGAUGUAAAUCCACGUUUUCUUGCAGAUUCUGAGAUGAAGAAAUCACUUCCUCAAUUGAUGGAGUACUAAAUUGGUAAAGAUAAUUUUCUAUGUAAUAAUUGUAAGAUAGAGGUCAAAUUAAAGUUAUACUAGAUAUUAUUCCCGUGCGUUGUACGAGUUUAUUUAUAAUAUUUUUUAAUAUUAUAUGGAAACUACUACAGAGUAAUUAUAUAAAUAAUAAAUAUUUAAAUAUUUAAAUAUUUCUUCAAUAUAAAUAUAAUAGAAAAAAUUAUUGUGUUUAGACUUUAGACAUCUACAUAGAGAGUAUUAUAGUUUUUUUAUGCAUUAAAUUGCUUGUAUUAUAGUUCUCUUUAAGUAAAUAAUUAUAUUACUGAAAUUUAAUAAAAUUUUGGGUUAAUGAUCAAAUUAGUCCCUGAGUUUGAUUUUAAUCCCUCUAAGGAAAAAUUACGUUUAGUGGCAUUCAUUCUUACAAUCACUGGCAGUUUUUUACUGCCACUACGCGUCAUUUAGACAUUUAUCAUCAGAAGAACUAAAAUCAAACUCGCUUACAAACUCAGCGAUUAAUUUGACAAUUACCCUAAAGAAAUUUGAAAAGGAAAAUAUUAUUAAUGACAUAUGAAAACUUGAGAAAAUGUUUUUACUACUAUAUAAUAGACCAAAACACAUUUGAAAGUAUUUUUUCAAAUAAUACACGCAGCGAUUAAUUUGACAAUUACCCUAAAGAAAUUUGAAAAGGAAAAUAUUAUUAAUGACAUAUGAAAACUUGAGAAAAUGUUUUUACUACUAUAUAAUAGACCAAAACACAUUUGAAAGUAUUUUUUCAAAUAAUACACGCAUGCAAUAUAUUUAAUAGUAAAUAUUUUAUAGAGACUUAUUUAAUUUUUAAACGAUUUUUCUAGAGUGUUCAUUAAUAAAUUUUAUCUAGACUAUUAUUUUUUUCGACCACAAGAAAUUAUAAUUAUUUUAGACUAUUAUUGAAUUUAACUAAUUAAUAUUUUCAACUUUCAAAAAAAACUAAUUAAUAUUUUCUACAUAUAAAUAUAUUUAUUAAUUUUUCCCUCAAUUUAUGAUUGAUAGUUAAUAUUCUAACUAUUUUUAAAAACUACUUAAUAAAUUAUUCUUUUGUAUAAGAAACUGAAAAGUUGACAAUUCAUACUUAAUAAAGUUAAUAACAUAAAAUAUUCAUCAAUAAUUUAUAACUAUCAUUAUUCUAUUCAGACAAAUCACAAUUAAAUUUAAAAUUAUUUUUUAAAAUAACACGCAACUACAUUAUAGUUAAUUUAAACAACAUACAAAAUCAUUUCAUAUUCUAUAAGUAAAUUUCAAAAUAUAUAUUUACAAAAUGCAUUCAACCAUUAACUAAUUUCAAUAUCUAACAUGUUUAUUUUACUUAAAAGAUAUUAGUUUGUUGCUAUUUUUGUAUCUUUUAUUUUUUUCAACCUUAUGUUGAUAAUUAAUUGAAAUGAAAAUAAAAAUAAAAAUUUAAUUAAUAUUGCCAGUAAUGUAGAACUCAAGUCAAAUAUUCUGUUAUAUAUAUCUAUAUAUAUAUAUAUAUGUAUGUAUAUAAAAUUGUUUUUUGAAAGCAAAAUCUUUAUUGAAUAUAAAGUCGAGAUACAAAUCAUUUCGACAAAGGAAUAAUUACAACGACCGAAAACAAAGAUCGCAAACAAAGACUUCAAACACAAACAACGACCGAUGUAUAUAAAACUUAUUAACAUGAUAUCUAACUUUAGUAUUUAAUUUGUUAUUUAUACAUAAAAAGUAGUAAUAAGAUUUAUUGGUUAAUUUUUAAAAUUCAUCAACUUAUGAAUAAUAAUGAAAAUAAAAAUAAUAAUUUUAAUUUUAGCAUAUAAUAAUUUUAAUUUUUUAGAAUUAGUUAUAAAUGUAAAAUUUAUUUUUUAAAACCCCAAGUCUCAUUUACAUAUAUAUAUAGAUGGUUGAUUAAAUUAAGGAUGUCAUUUUGAACGAGUGUCAUAAAAUGUUUUAUCAACUAAAAAAAGAGUUCAUAUUUUUGUAAUGAUUUAAAGAAUUUUUUUUAACAAGUAUUACAUUUUAUUCUUCCUUUAUUAAUAUUUUUAAUUCACUUUGUUUUGACAAAAUAUUCUAAAUUCACUUUAAACUCAUUUUGAAGGUUCCCGGAUGAUAACUUAAGUGGUAAAAAUUAUGUGAUAUAUGGAUUGGGUGGAAAAGGUCCGGGAAUUAAAUUCUUAGAGACUGCAAUUUAUCUUUCCGAUAUAUAUAUAAGAAAAAACUCAUUUUAAGGUAAAAGCAAGAAUCUUUUCUCCGAAUUAGUUUGCUGCAGUACCGAACUAAGUCCAAAGGCAUGCUUUUUUUUGAAAGGCAUGGAUUUUUGUUAGAGAAGUACUCCAUGUGAGCUAUAUAAAAAAUUACUCAAUGUGAGACUUUUUUUUUUCUUGUGGAACCCAGUGCCGUUUUUUUAACCCAAAAAAACUCAGUGUGCUUUUUGUUGAAAAACAAAACAGUGCGUUUUAUGAUUAAUUUUGUGAAUAGAAUUCAGGCCUAAAUAUGUUUUUAAUCCUUGAAAAUAUAGUAAAUGUUGUUUUAAUCAUUGAAAAUAUAUUUUUUAAUCUUUAAUUUAUAAAGCUAUACAUCGUUAUCCUAGUCAUUGUUAUUAACUUUUGCUUAUAUGGCACACAAAAUGGCGACUCACUCAAUUUAUAUGUUUUUUUGUUUGAUUGUACAUUGCGCGUCACACAAUCUGAUUUAAAGCUAAUUAUGUGUUGCACAAUCUGAGUUGAAGUUCCACCAAGAUCCACAUGAUUCUCACAUGCACAAUUUACGUGACAUUGAAUAGUGUUAAUGAGUGAGUCCCACAAUGUCAAAUUAAAUAAAAACAAAUUCCUAGUAGGGAGAUACGACAUUAUGUGAUUUGCAUAAUCAAAACUUAACGGUAGAGACUUAAAAAGAUAACAAUGUUUAUUUUUAAAAUUAAAAACUAAGAAAUAUUUUUUUUCAAAGACUAAACCAACAUUUAUUAUAUUUUCAAGCACUAAAAACAUAUUUAAGGAGGGUGUUUGUGAUCCCUUUCCUUGUAUCUUUCCCUCAAUUCCCAUUUGAGAAUUAGGGUUUUAUCAUUGAAUAAUAUCAUAUUUGGCUGGGUUCUAUCAGUUUGUUUUGUGUUUUGAAAUGUAUGAUUGAGAAGAGAAAGGGCAAGUCAAUUUCUGAUUCUCUUCUCUUGCUUCCAUUCCACCACUAACCAAGCUGAGGUGAGAUAUUUAUUACUUUAGUUGAAGGGAAAAGGAUUACUGGGUUUGUGGAGGUUGGGAUUGCUGGGUUUGUUUAUGGGUUGGGGUGGAGGUUAAAGAAGAUGCUGAUGAAGUAGAAGAUUAGAAUUUUUUAUUUAAUUAAAUGAAGGAUUUAAUUAGUGUGUCUUAAUCAUUUUUUAAUGAAAAAAGAAAAAAAAAUCCACCAAGGCUCAUUAAUUGACGUGGCAAGGCCACAUCAGCUCCCAGAGCUCCGGCAUUGACCUAAACGGCCCGAGGGACCAAACUCAACCAUUUGUCAAAAAACUGGGACCAAUCCUCACAUUUAUGUCGGCGAUGGACUAAAACCAUAUUUAUGGCAAAACAUAGAGACCAAAAACUUAAUUAAGCGAAAAAUAAAACCCAUCCUACAUUGAUGAAGCCAGUCCCUUGUACUUUAAGAAAUCCGAAAAAGUCUCCAAAAAACCAGCAGAAAACGAAAUUAUUCAGACAAUUUUUUAACCAGUAGACAUCAUAUGCAACUCUAGAACAAACUAGACUAAGACCCGCGCGUUGCGCGGGCGGAUACAAUUAUUUCAAUAUUAAAAUUGGUUCAUUUUUACUUGUAGAUGUCCUUGAUAAAAGACAUAAGUUGAGUUACCUUUCAUUUUCAACCGGCACUUGUGUUUGGUUGACCUGAAUCUAUAGAUAACUAAUGGAAAUUAUGGAUGGUUCCCUCUACUUUUACAUGUCCAUUGAAGUAAGGAUCAACCAGUGUCAUGAGACACCAAAGCAUUUAUGAUUCUCAAGCAAGAAUUCAAAUGAGAAAGACAUCUAUAUAUCCUGUUUAUGAUCCACGGGCCCUUUUAUUGUUUUUUUUUUUUGUUGUCAAAUGGCCCUUUUAUUGUUCAAAUGAGAAAGAUAAGUUCAAGAAAUAGACUAUAGUACAACUAAAAUUCAUUUAAGAGCAAAUGAAAGCAGUAGAGUACAUGUAACAAAAUUCUUCGACAGUGGGCCUGUUUUUUUGGAUCAAAAGCCGGAAACAUUUCCAAUAGUUGCAGUGUUAAAGGGCUCUCUCCAUUAGAACUUUUUUGUUGCAAAAAGCACAAAUUGCAAAAGAAAUGCAUUAAAAAUAAAGUAGUAAUAAACUCAUUUCAUUGUCAAACAAAUUAAACUAACUGUGUAGCCUUCAUCCAUCAAUAAUAGAACUUCACUUCAAACACCAUUAAAACUAUCUCCUUAAAAAAUAAUCCAAAUGCAAAUAGUGUUAAAAGGUUCUGUAAAACUAUUUAGUUAUGCUAAAUUUAGAACUAAUUUGCAAACAAAUUAUACAUACUCAAUUCCUCCACUAUGAGCAAGAAUUAUCUUCUAUUACAGUUUACAGGGAAUAUCAUCAACAGAGGAAGAUAUUACAGUUCAAUAUGAGACUGCUAGAGACAAUUGAUCAUUGAUUAAGAAAAUUUAUAUAAGGGAAAAACUCCUUGACAAUGUGAAAAAGGAUUUUGAUGUCCCUAACCAACUCUGCAAGACCAGUCUCUCAAUCAAAGCAAAGACCAUCACUUCCUUCUUUGGUGCACCAAAUUAAAAAUCUUUCGGCUGCAAAUAAUGACAGAACAUAUAAAAGAGAAGUUCCGCAAACUUAAAAAACAGAACAAAAGAAAUGACAUGGUACAACAAUUCAAUCAAUAUCUAAUACAAAAACCGGAUCCAUGUUAAGUCAAUCAAUAUUUAAAACACCGACACCAUAUUAUUAAAUGAGAAAGACAUCUAUAUAUCCUGUUUAUGAUCCACGGGCCCUUUUAUUGUUUUUUUUUUUUGUUGUCAAAUGGCCCUUUUAUUGUUCAAAUGAGAAAGAUAAGUUCAAGAAAUAGACUAUAGUACAACUAAAAUUCAUUUAAGAGCAAAUGAAAGCAGUAGAGUAGAUGUAACAAAAUUCUUCGACAGUGGGCCUGUUUUUUUGGAUCAAAAGCCAGAAACAUUUCCAAUAGUUGCAGUGUUAAAGGGCUCUCUCCAUUAGAACUUUUUUGUUGCAAAAAGCACAAAUUGCAAAAGAAAUGCAUUAAAAAUAAAGUAGUAAUAAACUCAUUUCAUUGUCAAACAAAUUAAACUAACUGUGUAGCAUUCAUCCAUCAAUAUAGAUUGCUUAAUCAAAUUGGUAUCGAUAAGGAUGUAUUAAAUUUUCAAUCCUAUAUCUGAAGCCUUUUCCUUAAAGUCUGCACUUAAGUUCAACUUGUAUUUGACAUACAGGUAAGAGAAAUAAAUGAUCUCUUUUUGAGUAAAAAAAGUACAUAUGUUAGACAAAGAGGAUGCAGACAUAAACUGAGUGCCCUUAUUUAAUUUUACUAGUAUGAUGUGCAACUAUUAAAUUAUACUUAGAUAUAGAAGAAUGUAAUUAAUAUAGAAGAGUCGUGAUUGGUUAAUAUGAAAGGUGAUAAGUGAGGGAAAAUGUAUUAAAUGAGGGUAUAGGUGGAAAGAAAAGGGGAAAAAUUCAUUGGUAUCCUAAAACAACAAACUAUUUGGGAUAUUGAAAUCACGCCCAAAACUACAAACUUUCUGGAACGGAGGGAGUACAUGUUAGUCAAGAGGAUGCAGAUACACUCAAAAUGUAUAAUCGAACUUCACUUCAAACACCAUUAAAACUAUCUCCUUAAAAAAUAAUCCAAAUGCAAAUAGUGUUAAAAGGUUCUGUAAAACUAUUUAGUUAUGCUAAAUUUAGAACUAAUUUGCAAACAUAUUAUACAUACUCAAUUCCACUAUGAGCAAGAAUUAUCUUCUAUUACAGUUUAAAGGGAGUAUCAUAAAAAAACCACAACAGAGGAAGAUAUUACAGUUCAACAUGAGAUUGCUAGAGACAAUUGAUCAUUGAUUAAGAAAAUUUAUAUAAGGGAAAAACUCCUUGACAAUGUGAAAAAGGAUUUUGAUGUCCCUAACCAACUCUGCAAGACCAGGCUCUCAAUCAAAGCAAAGACCAUCACUUCCUUCUUUGGUGCACCAAAUUAAAAAUCUUUCGGCUGCAAAUAAUGACAGAACAUAUAAAAGAGAAGUUCCGCAAACUUAAAAAACAGAACAAAAGAAAUGACAUUGUACAACAAUUCAAUCAAUAACUAAUACAAAAACCGGAUCCAUGUUAAGUCAAUCAAUAUUUAAAACGCCGACACCAUAUUAUUAGUGAGAUGCAUUAUUCCAUAAAAAAUGAGAUGCCCCAAAAGAACUUUUGUCCUUAGAUGCUUUUGGUUGAGAAUAACACAAGCUACACAUUACAAAAUGGAGAGAGUCAACAACAAAGUGAGCACUCUUACACAGACUAAUAUAUCACUCCACCCANNNNNNNNNNNNNNNNNNNNNNNNNNNNNNNNNNNNNNNNNNNNNNNNNNNNNNNNNNNNNNNNNNNNNNNNNNNNNNNNNNNNNNNNNNNNNNNNNNNNNNNNNNNNNNNNNNNNNNNNNNNNNNNNNNNNNNNNNNNNNNNNNNNNNNNNNNNNNNNNNNNNNNNNNNNNNNNNNNNNNNNNNNNNNNNNNNNNNNNNNNNNNNNNNNNNNNNNNNNNNNNNNNNNNNNNNNNNNNNNNNNNNNNNNNNNNNNNNNNNNNNNNNNNNNNNNNNNNNNNNNNNNNNNNNNNNNNNNNNNNNNNNNNNNNNNNNNNNNNNNNNNNNNNNNNNNNNNNNNNNNNNNNNNNNNNNNNNNNNNNNNNNNNNNNNNNNNNNNNNNNNNNNNNNNNNNNNNNNNNNNNNNNNNNNNNNNNNNNNNNNNNNNNNNNNNNNNNNNNNNNNNNNNNNNNNNNNNNNNNNNNNNNNNNNNNNNNNNNNNNNNNNNNNNNNNNNNNNNNNNNNNNNNNNNNNNNNNNNNNNNNNNNNNNNNNNNNNNNNNNNNNNNNNNNNNNNNNNNNNNNNNNNNNNNNNNNNNNNNNNNNNNNNNNNNNNNNNNNNNNNNNNNNNNNNNNNNNNNNNNNNNNNNNNNNNNNNNNNNNNNNNNNNNNNNNNNNNNNNNNNNNNNNNNNNNNNNNNNNNNNNNNNNNNNNNNNNNNNNNNNNNNNNNNNNNNNNNNNNNNNNNNNNNNNNNNNNNNNNNNNNNNNNNNNNNNNNNNNNNNNNNNNNNNNNNNNNNNNNNNNNNNNNNNNNNNNNNNNNNNNNNNNNNNNNNNNNNNNNNNNNNNNNNNNNNNNNNNNNNNNNNNNNNNNNNNNNNNNNNNNNNNNNNNNNNNNNNNNNNNNNNNNNNNNNNNNNNNNNNNNNNNNNNNNNNNNNNNNNNNNNNNNNNNNNNNNNNNNNNNNNNNNNNNNNNNNNNNNNNNNNNNNNNNNNNNNNNNNNNNNNNNNNNNNNNNNNNNNNNCCUUGCCUAUACCCAUGCGUGGUGGUGAUGAUGUUUUGUUUUGGCCGGACACGGUGAAUGGCUCUUACACUUCAAAAUCAGGUUAUGCUUUUGUUCGAGCUUUCAAGGAGAGAACCUUGGCCUCCUCGUCUGCCUCCUCAGCUGUUGCGGUCUUGGAACCCGGGUUAUGGAAGAAGCUUUGGCACACCAUGGCUUUGCCUCGAUGUAAAGAGCUGGUUUGGCGAAUAUGUAAUGGCUUUGUGCCGGUGCGGAGCGUGUUACAUCGGCGAGGUUUGGACGUUGAUCCUUAUUGUGUAUUAUGUGGCAUGGCUGAGGAAACAGUAGAGCAUGUGUGGAUGGAGUGUGCUGUUACUAGAGCAUUCUGGUUUGCUCACCCUCUCUCUAUGCGGCUGGAUUUGUUCACAUCUCUAUCUGAUUUUAUACAGAGGUUUCUAGCAGAGGCCGAAUCGGAGGUGGUGGUUGUGUGGCAAACAGGUUCAUAUGUUCUGUGGGAAGCCCGGAAUAAGCUCAUGUUUGAAGGUCGUCGGUUCUCGUGUGAGGCUACGGCAACCAGCUGGGCUUCCCGCGACCUGGUCCAGGCCAGCUAUGGACAUAAUAAAUCAAUUUUGAUGCUUCAUUCAGAGGAGAUUCUCGAGCAGGGAUAGGGAUGGUUGCGCGUGACGGUGAGGGCUUGGUCCUCGCGGCAGCGGCUGAUUUUCCCGGGGGGGGUUCAUCGGCGGGGGGGGGGGGGGGGGGGGGAGGUGGGGGGGGGGGAAGACGGAUUGUCUCCAAUUAUUUCAACAAUGGAAGUUGCCACCUGACGGAGGAUCAUAUUUAUGCUCAAUUCUUAAUGAGUGUGCUCUUUUUAGUCGUUCUUUUAAUUCUAUGGUUUUUAAUUUUGUUAGACGCUCUGGGAACAUGGUUGCUGAUUUUCUAGCCAGGAAUGCCUCCUCAUUCGCCGGUUUAGUGUGCAUUGAGGAGGUACCUCCUGAAGCUAUUGUUUUUGUAAUCUCUGAUACUUUGGCGUCGAUGCCGGUUUCAAUUUAAGCAUUAUUGCAGUCUUUUAAAAAAAAACGUUAACUUAGUUGGUAAGAAUAAAACACUUCUCUCAAAAAAAUGUGUGUUCAAUUUAUACGGUUAAUCUUUAAGUACUCAGUAAGCGAUUUGGGGCCUCGAAGCCAUGCCCUGACUCACAGUGGGUGAUCAGAGCUGAACUCACCCAAACUUUAAUGGAAAUGUGAUAAAAGAGAAACUCAAAUGUUGAUAUAACAAAAUCCUUUUGAAAAUUAACAUUUGCAAGAAGAAUUUUACUUUCAUUUAGAACACAAAAUAUACGUGAAUACAUUGAUUACAACGAUGACAUUAUUUAUUACAUAAUUAAAAUGUGUCAUUCACAUAAUCAUUAAGUAGGGGUAUAUAAGUAUUUUGUCAUUAUAAAGUAGAGGUGAAUUGAAUUUGAUCCCUCCAAAAGAAUUCUACAGAUUUUUAUCAUCAACUUUAAUGAAAGGUGCCCACUAGAGUGGGCAAGUUUCAAACUGGUCCACCGGUGCACCAUAAUUUAUCACCAUUAGAUCUUGGCAUCUUGGAAUAUUCUUUAAUUUGAUGGUCAAGAAUGGAUGGAUGAAAAAAGGAUAAAAAUGUAAAUGUCAAACACUUCUUCCCCACUCCUUCCCCUUCUCGCCGGAACUAAAUCACAGGAACAAUCUGCUUUUCUCUUUUUUCCACUGGGCACAUUUUCUUAUCUGUUUCUAUUUUUUAUUUUACUUCUCCUCUUCUCCCUGCAUUUGUAAUUUUACCAUACAGUACUUCUUGUCCACACUUUUUUCCCAAGCUGUAGGCUAAUUGUAUUUUCUUUGCCUCUUCAUAAUUUUCCAUUUAUUCUAGGCAUAAAUCAAGCAGAUCCUACAACACACAUUCACAUAAACCUAGAAAUAUUCAAAAAUCGUGCAAUCAGAUGGAAGUAGAUAGGGAAAAACCAAUUUACAAAACUGGGUUCGAUUCACUCCUCCUUUCAGAUCUGGGUUCGAUUCACUCCUGGCACAAGGAAAAGAAAAUAAGAAAUAAGACAGUAACACCAUACCAAGGGAAACAGAUUGGAAAAAAACAGGAAAAAUAAACAGGGGAAAACCCGAGGCAAGACAGAGCAAGGUAGAUAGAGGUCGUGCUUUCACAUGGUGGUGGUGAUUUGCCAGAAGAAUAUGAAGAAGGAAGGCCAUGGUGGUGGGUAUUUUCCAGAAGAAGAAACGUGAAGAGGAUUGAGAGAGAGGAGAGAGGCGUGAGGGAGGAGAGAGAGUGUUUCUUUUUAAGAAUUGAAUUUUUAAUAUAUUUUUCAUUUUAUAAUUUACCCAUAUAACCUUGGUGCAUGGGUUGACCAAGUUUGAAAUUUGUCCACCCUAGUGGGCACCUAUGAAAAAGAUUAAUGGAAAAAGUACAAAGUUGAAAAGUAUGAAAUAAGUCACUAGAGUAGAAUGACUCUACUCUAAAAAUUUCCCCAACAUCCACAUUGGAUGCAUUACAUGCUACCUCAAAAGUAUUUAAGAAGGAGGUGAGUGAAGAAUGUAUCCAUUCAAAAGAUAAGUCAUGAGAGUCAUAAUAUUAACAAACUUUAUAGGAAGAUGUCAAAACAUUAUAAAUCACUCCUCAAAAUAAAAUAAAAUGAAUAAUUAUCAAAUUUAACAAAAACAUAUGUUCCCAUAAGUCUAACAAAAGUAGUUUUAAAAAAAUUAAUAAAUUUCUAUAAUAUGUUACAAGUUAAUGCAGUGAGGUUUCAGUGUCAUCUUGUUGCUUCUCCUCAAUGCUCACGGUGCUCCCACCCGAUAGAAGAUGUGCUACGAGGUGGUGACUUGGAUUCAAUCUCGGGUUCGAGGUCUGCAUUCUACCUUGUUUGACUCGGCUUUGUGGGGCUUGUGGAGGUGGCAUAAUGAGAGGGUGCUUGGGGAAGCUAAGUGGACGACACAUUACACAUACUCUUGGAUCCGGAAUAAGGAAAAAGAGUAUGAUCAAUACCUAGCUAAGGGUCAAGAGAGGAUUUUGGAACCUUUGCAGAUUGAUUGGUGGAAACUUCCUGCUUCUGGCUUUGUGUCUCUUACGAUUGAUGGUGCUUAUGAUUAUACUCAACGUCGUAUGGGUAUGCAUCCGUUUUCUUGCUUUUUAAGCUAAGUAAAGACUGACUACGAGCUAAGGAACGAAAAUCCAUGGACCGACCCCAUCGCCAAAAUCUGGAUUAUACCACAAUACUUAUUUUGGAGGUGUGGUGCGUGACAAACAUGGCAUGUGGCAAUUUGGAUUUUGCGUCGGUGUGCUUGAGGGUGAUCCUUAGCUGCAGAACUUAGUGCUCUUUGUAUGGAUUUUCAUCUUCUCUAGAGGAAGAAUAUUCGUAAGACAUACUGCGAGUCUGAUUGCAAGGAGGUUGUUGAUCUUCUUACAAGGAAGCGGUUUCGUCUGCAUGAGUAUGCUAGUAUGUUUAUGGACAUUCAUCUCUUGCUUGCUCGUCAUUGGGAUAUUAGGCUUCGUCACAUUCCUCGGGAAGCCAAUUGGUCGACAAAUUGCUUGGCAGGUUACGGAGCUUCCCAGCAGUAUGUUUUUACUUAUUUUGAUAAUCCUCUUCACAUUAUAGUGUUUGUUUCCCACUAAAAAAAAAAGACAUUUUUUUAUGUUACUUUUCAUUUUUUAUCAUACUAAAGAAUCUAAAAUAAUCACUUAUUUUCCCCUUCCACUUUUAUUUUCCAUCCAAACAAAGCAUAACGUUCUCAAUCUCUUCUCAGUUCUCAGUCACGUUCUCUCCUUCCUCUUCUCACUCGUUACGAGAUCGCCUCCGCCGUCACGUGUUUGCCUCCGCCAUCCGCCGUGUUCGCCGCCCGUACUCUCAGGUAAGGUCAUUCUCUUACCCUUAGCCUCUUUCCUUCACUCUGCUGCAGUGGGUACUUUUCGAUUUCUGGUUCCUUGAUCGCGCUCAACUGUAGUGUUCGAUUCGUAUUAUAUAUGUUUAAUUUGAGUUCAGAUCUCUUCGUAAAUUCUCAUUUCUCUCUGUGAUUUUGAUUGUAGCAAUGAGCAUACUGAACUUUCCUGUGGGUUUUGCAGGGAUUAUUCUGGCAGGGUUUUGAUAAUGGCAACCACUGCUUGUUUCAUCAUUGUUAGCAGAAAUGAUAUUCCUAUAUAUGAAGCUGAAGUUGGAGUAGCUGCUAAAGUAUGAUUCUUCUCAAUGUUAUUUUGUUUACCUCUCUAAACUUCAAGGUUUAAUUGAUUUAUCAUUUUUGUUUUAAUUUUUAACUUGUGGCGAGGCGAGCUAGAUAUUUGGUUUUUCUUACUAUUGAGUUGGAUUGACCACUCUGCAUCACUGUAGGUUAUGCAAUUUUAGAGGCAAAUUGAUGCCUGACAAAUGUUUAAGGGGGAUUCAAUUUACAUUAUAAUUUUUUCAUCUGAUUCAUGUAAAUGUUUUCUUUUGUAUCUCUUGCAUCGCCUUGUUUUGUAUGGUUAUGGAAGCAAGGAAUUCUUGUUUUAUCCCCCAAAUUUACGCGAUUUUGCAAUUUCUUGCUGCAUUGUGACAGAGGGAGGAUGCUGCUCAGCUGCAUCAGUUUAUCCUGCAUGCUGCUCUUGAUGUUGUUCAGGACCUUGCAUGGACUACCAGUGCCAUGUGAGUUACAUUUUCGGUUGAUACAUAAUCCACGUUCAAAUAUAAAACCCUGUCCUCAUUAUCCUCUUUUUGUGCUUGUGGUUGUAUUUAUUUUGUUCUUCUUCUCAGCAUCUUAUUCCUUCGCACUCUCUAUGCAGGUACUUGAAAUCGGUAGAUAGGUUCAAUGAGCUCGUGGUAUCAGUAUAUGUCACUGCUGGUCAUAUCCUUUACAUGUGGGAAUCAUUUUAUAAUUGAGACGAAAAAUUAUAUUGCUUUUCUUGUGUUGUUCACACACAAACAGACACACUCAUAUGUAUUGCUUUAUUCUUGUUUUGUUCAAAUAAAUGAAGUACUGAGACCCCGACUUUUAAGGAGUGUUUGAUUCAAUUUGCUUACUUAGUUCUAUGAUUGAGCCAUUCUCCUUGCCCUUCCCUUAAUACCCUUGCCAGUCACUGGUAAGGGAACAAAAUGAAAGAGUCACUAAUGGAGAAUUCUUUAACCAUACGUCCACACAUCUCUUUAUGCGUUUUAGUUUUUUUUUUUGUGAUAUCUUCCUUGACUCAUCAUACAUACCCGGUUUAUGUUGCUUCAUGACUCUCGUAAUGAUGAUGGUAUUAAGAGCUUCUUCCAAGAUGUGCAUGAGCUUUACAUAAAGGUAAUCUGUUUUUUCUUGCCCUCUAGAACAUUUUUCAAAUGUAGCCCUUUAUUACUUUUGUUGUUAAUUUCAAAUGUAGCCUUUUCUUAUUCUACUAAAGAAUAUUUCUCUUCAAAUGGGAUUGUGAUAAAGUUCAUUUUACCGGUUCUUAAAGCAUGCUUUACUGUCUUCAUUAUCAAUUACUGUUGGAAUUUUUUUUAUCUGGUUUUAUCAUUACUAAAUAACCAUGUUCUACAUUCCCCCCCUAAGUUUGCUGAAUUCCAUUCUUACCUGUUUUGGUCCUUUUGGAUGUUGAAUUAGACAUAUUCUUCAUUUGCCCCCCUUGUUAGCAUUUCAAUAUGUCACCGUAGCAUGCAUGCUGAAUUGUCUGGUACAUUAUUUUGAACUCAAAUGAUGAAAAUUGCACUCUAAUUUGUUGUACAAGAUUCUUCCUCCAGGAAUAGGCAGAAUGCAAGAUGCAAAAUAAGUUUCCAAUGACCAUCGUCUUAGUUGGGGUUUCAGCUACUUUUUAUUUUCUUUUUCCUGUGCUAGGAUAUGAUUGGCAACACUCCUAUCAGUUAUAGAAGUUUAAGUUACUAAUUGUCUACUUGAUUUGGUUGUGAUGAUAAAUAUGUAGAUACUUGAGCUAAUUCUUUGCAAACAUACUCUAUUACAUGGAUUGUGAAAUAAGUAACUUUAUUUCUGUGUUUUUUUUUUGGGAAAUUGCAGACUCUUCUUAAUCCCCUGUACUUGCCUGGCUCCCGGAUCACAUCAUCACAUUUUGACACAAAAGUCCGUGCCCUUGCUCGCAAGUAUUUUUAGAAACCACUAGCUCCUGAGAAUCAGUGGUUAACAAGUUGCUAGUUUAUAUAGCACUGAGGCCUUACUCCUAUAUUGUUAGUUCUUGACAAGUUUCGGAAAGCAUUUUAUUCCCCUCAUGAUUUGGCUGCAAAGGUAGUUUUGCUUGUCUAUAAUGUUGUGUAUCUGGUAAUAGCAGAAGGCUGUAUUUUCUAAUGAGAUGAAGGUGAUAUGCUGGCAAAAGCUGUUUCAUUGCUGGUGGCUAUUUGUAAUACAUACUAAUCUUAUUUUUGAUAUUCAACCCUCUUUUUUGGUGAAAAGAUAUUCAACCAUACGAUUUAAGUGGUAAAGAUUAACUUUUGUUUCCUUUAUGCUUCAAAAUUGUUAAAUUUGAACUUACAUUAAACAUCUCGAAAUAUUAGUGUCACCUUUCCUAAAGAUUUCUUUUUUUCUCAACAAUUCCUAAAAGAUUUAAAAGGUUAUUCGUCUUUGUAACCAAUUAAAGUGAUAAUGUGAAAAUAAAAAUUUAGCAUCUAUAUAAAUAUGCUUGGAAUAUUUAAUUUAAUAAAAAAUAGGAGUCCCAAGCUGACAUGAUGAUAUUCUGCCAUGAUUUUAACAAUUAACAAAGUAUGUGUUUUCUAUACCAUGAUGAUAUUUUACUAUGAUUUUUUUUUUCCAAAUAAAUAGUCUCUGAUGAUUUGAAAUGAUAAAUCUUACCGUUCCUUUCCCUUAAAAAACCUACAGAAACUAACUCAAACAAUGUUGAAUCAAGCGAGUAGGAUGCAUGACUAGUCAAUUCUUGCCUCCAUUAUGCAUUUUUUUUUUAGAAUUCCCAAAUCAGUUUGCCCAUAUCAAAUUACCCCUUAUGAUGCAAUAACUUGGAUUACUCUUAGAUCAAGGGUAGUCAUGCUUCUAUUUUAGCAGCAACUCAGAGGGCUAUGAAAAUGGAGAAAUAGCAUGUUUUUUUUACGAUGAGCCUUGGGAUUUCACCUCUGCUUGGCGUCAUAUUUGCUCUGAUUAUGGUGAGAAGCCGCAGUUUAUAUCAACUGGAAAUGGAGAACCCUGUUUUUCUUUCUUGUGUCUGAAAUAACAUCCUCCUUCCGCUCAUUUUUUAAAACUCAAUGUGGAUCAUGAGAGCUAUAAUCCCACUUUGAAUUUAAUCUUAGAUUGGAGACAUCGUUAGAAAUGAGCAUGGGAAUUUGUUCCUGUUCAUGGUGAUGCCUUGUUAGCAGAGAUUUUGGCACUGGAAAGAGGAUUGGAAAUUCUUUGGAAAAUUGAUGAGAAGAAAGAAAUAUGUGAAACUGAUUCUACUGAGGUGAUUUCUCUCCUUUAUGAUUCUUAUGGGCUUCAGUUUUCUUUUCUUUUCUUUCGAAAGCAAAAUAUAUAUAAAUAAAUAGAUGAGGAAAAUGUUCAGGAAAUACAACCCUCCUCAAUAGGAACAAAAAGCUAGCAAAGCCCGAUAACAACCUAUCCUAAACGGAGGAACAACCAACCAAAACCAAACCUAAGAGAACCCGAAAGACGAAGGGGAAAUGAACCCCUGCAAAGCUAAGAGGUCAACACUCAGUUUUAUAGAUACCGUAGCAACUUCUCUAAUAUCUUGCAAUUACUUAAUCAGGAUCGUGUGUUGCAGCUAUCUCAUAUUCCUAGAGAAGCUAAUUCUCCACACAAAAGAAAUCCCCCAUGCCAAAUCAUGGUUGGGCAUGCAAAUAAACAGUCGUAACGUUUGUAGUUUAUUGCAACUCAGGAAAGCUUAAAGACAUUAUCAUUUUUUUUUAAAUCGCCUUCUAAAUAAAGGUUCCGUUCGAAAUGAAGGAACCCUGUUGGAGAAGCUAUGACUGCAACCAAAACAUUCUACAUUAGCAAUACACCUUGGAUCUUCAUAUAAAAGCCACAACAACAAAUUGCAUGAGACAAUAAUACUCAGAUCAAGGGAGCAAACUCUACUACACGGACAAAAACCAGAAGAGCUUUACUGCACACAUAACUUGAAACCAAUAAGAUUCAGAUAAGAUAAUUUUUUUAAGCAGGUUGAAGUAGGCAGUAAUACUCUAGUGGUAAAAUUUGUGAGAGAAGUAACAAUUCUUUAAUCUAACUUACAAACAAACCAAAGUUUGAAAAUAGUUCAUUCUUCUUCUGAGGAGCCUAAGUUGAAAAUAAGCUACACUCAAAACAUACCUAGGUGUAGCAAUAAAUAAUUGGACUGCGAAGUUAAUCAGCAUAUAAGAAAAAAUAAGUUUGUACAGAAAAACGGGGAAAAAAUCUCAGUUAAAUCUCCAAAUCAUCCACCAUGGAAUUUAGCAUCAAAACAAAUAAAUUGAAUAGAAAACAGAUAUCUAGUAUGAUUAAAUAGUCAUCGCUUGAGAGAGCUACUCAUCUUGCACUCAUCAUAACAGGAAAACUCAGAAGUUUCUCACUUUUUCAGUGUGACUCACCUGUUAAUAGUCCCUAUUUUCUUCACCAUUUUGUUAUUUCCAAAUCAUCAAUCAUAUGAAAGAGUAAACAUCUUAAGCCCAAAUGUACUUCAAUCAAGGUGCCAAAAAGCGAUGAAGUCCUAGUAAUUAUCCCCAUAAUGACAUAGUUUUAUGGGAAUAUAGACAAAAAAAAGAUUAAUAUCCAUGUAUCUAGGAAUAUAUGCAAAAGAGUUAGAUUAAUACAUCUAUGUAUCAAGUGUUGGCCUAACCUCUUCUNUUUCAUGCUUCAACUCAUAUAAUCUACUGAGCACUAAGUUACGUAGCUUAUCUGAUUUUGUCCCAAAGUAACAUAGUAUGGAAGAAAUAAAUGCCGAACUGCCAUAACGUACAAUUUUUAACAUAAUAUCACUAGACACUGGUGGUAAGGAACGUUGCCAAAAUUGAGCACUUUUCAUAUUUGAGUACAUGAAUGGCAUGACAGCAAGGAAAUCCCAAUGUCUCAAACUUCAAGCAUGAGCAUUUAAGAGGACCACUAGGCUUGACCAUAACAUCAUAGACUAAAUUCUGAUUCUCAGUGUUACACAAUCUGUAUUUUCUGUGGGUUGUGCCAGCAUCUUUGCUUAACACAAACAAAAGAGUCUCCAAUUUCAUCUCUGAAAGAAACUUCUUGAAAGACUCCCUAGUAAACACAUCAGCAGCAUGUUUCACAAGAGGAUUUGAGAGAGCCACUUGAAAAAUGGCAGAUUUACACUCAGCCUUCCCCUCCUCCCGCCAGAGUGCAUUAAUCGCGUAUUCAAACUCGUUGAGAAAUUCAUGUAGUUUCAGUUUAUUUUGUGAAGACUUCCUCAAAUGUUUAUCAAUGCUUUCACAUAUUUUCGUGCUUUGCAAUCCAGCAGAGAAACUUCCCCUCAAGUAAGUCUCUGCCCACAUAUGACGUUCCCUAUGCAUCCUUUGUAUCCAAGGAUUUUCAGACACUUUAUACAUUUCAACCAUUCUUUUCCAUGUAAGCUCAAAAUCAUCUUGUGAUAGAACCUCCAACAUGCAUGCUUUGAAAUCAGAUAUGAAGAAUGGGUUAUUAACAUUGUCGCGUGCUAUUUUCUCAAGAUGCUGUGUGCAUAGGCGGUGCCUUGAUCGCGGCAACACAAGCUUAAUAGCUUCACGGAUAGCUUGAUGAUCAUCAGUCACCACUGAUAGGGGCAUGCAACCCUGCAUUACAUGAAGGAAUGUUUGAAAUAACCACGUGUAGGCCUCGACAGUCUCAUCUUGAAGCAAAGCACAUCCAAAUACACAUGUCCGAUGAUGAUGGUUGAGACCAGUCAACACUACAAAGUGCAUCAUGCAUAACUCUGUCCUGUAAACUGCCAUCACCUCUCCAAAGCAUGCAUAAUCUAACUGAGAUAUAGAGUCUGCCCAAAAAAGAGAUGUUAAAUGGCCUUCAACAAAUUUUGUUUCAUAGAAUAAGCCAUUGUCUGAGUCCUUCUUAGCACUUAGAAAAUCAAGGGCAGCUUCCACAUCACUGAUUGGAAUCUCAGAUCUACAAGGGGCUUGAGCAUUAACCAAUCUUUUCCUUUUCGCAGAUUCCACAUCACUCAUUGCAAUCAACGCACUACAAGGGGCUUGAUCAUUAACCACUCUUUUCCUUUUCACAUUCACUAAAUUCUUCGGAGAAGAAUCAAUUUGGAGAUGAGAUUUGCAUGUUGGAGUCAGCUCAUGAUGUAUGUGUGCUUCCACAAACUCUUUUACAGACCACUUAUGGUUGACAACGUGUCUGCAAAAUGCAGCAAAACAAUUAAAUCCAUCUUCUAGAUGAUUCUUUUGCUGAAAGCCUUCUUCAGCAAAUUGCAUGGGAAUGACAUCAAUUUCAGUCAACCUUUGCAGUUCCCUUGAAUUGUCCGCAUUUAUAAUCUUGAAACUACCAUCCCUUCUUUUAUUUUGUACAAGAAUAGGAAACAUGUUGUGAUAGUCCUGAUUGUUAUCCCUGAUGAAGAAGCUGCCACAACAAGCACCACCAUUAAGGCUCAUCACAUUCGACCCACUUACAUUUGUUUCUUUCCCUUCGACCAUAAUUGAUGUUUUAAGAAAGCCUGCAAGAAAAUAAAUACAUUUUUCAUUGAUAAGUACACAUUUUUUCCAGCAAUUUCAGAGAAGGAAAUGGUGAAAACAACAAAAUCUAUUCUUCAUCUGUUGCCCUCUUCCUAACAAUCCACCAAUAAAGAUUCCCCAAAUAUGAUCCUUCCUACCUAUGAAGUAUCGACUCCGAUACGACAUUGAAACCGCAACACAGCUUACCUCCAAAAAGUAGGACAUUGGGACACUGUUUAUAUGUAUCUAUAUAUAUACCUAUAUGCUGUAUGUAUAUCUAUAUUUUUAAAGUCAAAACAAGUUCGUAUCUAUACGAAGAGAACAUACAAAAAAUUUCCUAAGCUCUAUAACAACGAGCACACAAAAGAACACUAAGAGACACCAUUUUACAAAGUAACCACUACUUUGUCUCAAAUAAGAAGAGCUAAUCUAUCUAACAGAUUUUGCCUCCUUCUUGACCAUCUUCAUUGAAAAGUAGCCUCUCUCCAUUAGCUAUUUCUUUUAUGCUUUGUAUUUUUAAUUUUUUUUUCAAAUAAUGUUAGUGUCUUAGAGGUAUCCAGCAAACAAGAGGUAUCGGCUCAAGUGUCCGAACCGGAAAAAAUACUUUUUAUUCAGCACCGCGAAUAAGUGUCUGACACAUCGUGUCAGUGUCGUACGAUAGUGAUGUUGUGUCUGACACCGGACACUCUAUAUUUCAGAGGUGUCCGUGCUUCAUAGCCUACCAUAUUAAUACUAUGUGCAUUUCAUAGAAUGGAGGAAUAAAAUUGCAGAGGAAGGGAAGCAAGUGGAAGGAACAUUAACUGUUGCUUGCUUCUCUCCUUCACUCUGCUUUCCUUCAUGAUGGAGUUCCGGUUUUUAUGUCGGGGACUCAAUUUUGAAAGGACCCAAAAACAGAUUGAGCAGGAUAUUGAAUAAAACACUACAUAGUGCUUUUGAAAACGCAAGCAAGCACGUACCUUGGUAUUGGAAUGUAGUGAUGGGUGUGAUAAGUUUCAGUAAAGUGCGCAGUGAAACCACAAGAUUUUUCCUUUUUGCAUUCACUAAAUUGUUCUGAGAAGGAUCAAUUUGGUGAUGUGGUUUGCAUGUUGGUGACAACCGAUGUGUGUGUGUUGCCACAAAGUCUCUUACUAACCACUUAUGGCUAACAAGGUGUAUGCAAAAUGUAGCAAAGCAAUUAAAUCCAUCUUGUAGAUAUUUCUUUUGCUGAAAGCCUCCUUCACAGUUACAAGCCCAUCUUUUCUGGACAACCUCACCAUGCUCGUUUCUUUUUAUAUAAUCCUCUUCAACAACAAAGCCUAUAGCUGAAGCAUAUUUAUGGUAAAAGGAUUCCCCAGCUUCACAAGAAUCAAAUUGAAUGGAAAGGACAUCAAUACCAGUCAACCCUUGCAAAUAUUGUGAUAGUCCUGAUUGUUAGACCGGAUGAAGAAGCUGCCGCAUCCAGCACCACCAUUAAGGCCCAUCACAUUCCACCUACUUACACUAAUUUCUUUCCCUUCCACCAUAAUUGAUGCUUUAAGUAGGGCUGCAAGUAAAGAGGGAAAAAUAAGUACUCUUUUGUCAUUGAUAAUCACAACAAUUUCAGAAAAGGAAUUGGUGGAACAUCAAAAUAUAUUCUUCAACCAUUCCUCUCUUCCUAACAAUCGACCAAUCAAGAUUCUUCAAAUCUGAUCCUUCCUAACUAUGAAGUACCGACUACCGACUCCAACACGACACAACUGACAUACAAAAUGUAGGACACAGGGACGCCGCUUAUAUGUAUAUGUACAUAUGUGAGUACCCAUAUUCUUAAAGUCAACACAAGUUAGUCUCUUUCCUUAGAAAACAUGAAAACAAAUUCCUAAACUCAAUGACAAAGAGCUACACAAAAAAAAAAAAAAAAAAACUAAGAGACAUCAUUUUACAAAGCAAUCACUUUGUCAUAAAUAAGAACUAAUUUCUCUAACCUUUCCAGUCUUUUUCUUGAUCAUUAUCAUUGAAAAGAACCCUCUAGCUCUAGUUCAUCAAGUGACAAAUUAACAAUUUUUUUACUUUUAAAAAAUAUUUAUUUCAAAUAAUAUAAGAGGUGUCGGCUAACCUGUUCGAACAAGUCGUAAACGAAUGUCAAUGUUGAUAUCACCGACACCAGGACAUUCUAUUUCACUGCAUGUGCUUCAUAGCUUCCUACCAUACUAAAACUAUGUGAAUGGAAGCAUAAAAGGAACAUUAACCGUCAUGAUCAAGUUCCUAUUCUAUUUUUAUGUCCCAUGACUCAAUUUGGGGAGGACCCAGAAAAAGAUUGAAUAAAACUAUACUUAAUGCUCUUGAAAAGGAAGGGAAGCACGUACCUUACCUUGGUAAUGGAAUGGUGCGGUGGUUGUGAUCAGUUUCGGUGAGACGUGUGCACUGUGCAGUGAAAGUGAAACCCCAAAACACAACACAAUCCUUCCUAAAUCUUCAUGUAAGAUAGGAAAUAGAGAAACAAAAUAUGAUAGUAUUUUAAAAUGUCCAACAUUUGUUCAGAAAUAACCAAAAUGCCAUUACUCUGGCGGGAAAAAGCUAACGAAACAGAGUUGGAGUUGGCCAGUUUUGAGUGUGUGUUUGGGUUGAGUUUUAGUUUGCUUUUGGUUCCACUUUCCAAGACAAUAAGGCUAUGUUUGGCAUGUCAUUUCAGCNNNNNNNNNNNNNNNNNNNNNNNNNNNNNNNNNNNNNNNNNNNNNNNNNNNNNNNNNNNNNNNNNNNNNNNNNNNNNNNNNNNNNNNNNNNNNNNNNNNNNNNNNNNNNNNNNNNNNNNNNNNNNNNNNNNNNNNNNNNNNNNNNNNNNNNNNNNNNNNNNNNNNNNNNNNNNNNNNNNNNNNNNNNNNNNNNNNNNNNNNNNNNNNNNNNNNNNNNNNNNNNNNNNNNNNNNNNNNNNNNNNNNNNNNNNNNNNNNNNNNNNNNNNNNNNNNNNNNNNNNNNNNNNNNNNNNNNNNNNNNNNNNNNNNNNNNNNNNNNNNNNNNNNNNNNNNNNNNNNNNNNNNNNNNNNNNNNNNNNNNNNNNNNNNNNNNNNNNNNNNNNNNNNNNNNNNNNNNNNNNNNNNNNNNNNNNNNNNNNNNNNNNNNNNNNNNNNNNNNNNNNNNNNNNNNNNNNNNNNNNNNNNNNNNNNNNNNNNNNNNNNNNNNNNNNNNNNNNNNNNNNNNNNNNNNNNNNNNNNNNNNNNNNNNNNNNNNNNNNNNNNNNNNNNNNNNNNNNNNNNNNNNNNNNNNNNNNNNNNNNNNNNNNNNNNNNNNNNNNNNNNNNNNNNNNNNNNNNNNNNNNNNNNNNNNNNNNNNNNNNNNNNNNNNNNNNNNNNNNNNNNNNNNNNNNNNNNNNNNNNNNNNNNNNNNNNNNNNNNNNNNNNNNNNNNNNNNNNNNNNNNNNNNNNNNNNNNNNNNNNNNNNNNNNNNNNNNNNNNNNNNNNNNNNNNNNNNNNNNNNNNNNNNNNNNNNNNNNNNNNNNNNNNNNNNNNNNNNNNNNNNNNNNNNNNNNNNNNNNNNNNNNNNNNNNNNNNNNNNNNNNNNNNNNNNNNNNNNNNNNNNNNNNNNNNNNNNNNNNNNNNNNNNNNNNNNNNNNNNNNNNNNNNNNNNNNNNNNNNNNNNNNNNNNNNNNNNNNNNNNNNNNNNNNNNNNNNNNNNNNNNNNNNNNNNNNNNNNNNNUCACUAAAUUGUUCUGAGAAGGAUCAAUUUGAAGAUGUGAAUUGCAUGCUGGUGACAACCCAGAAUGUGUGUGCGUUGCCACAAAGUCUCUAGCUAACCAAUUAUGGCCCAUCACAUUCAACCCACUUAUAUUUCUUUCUUUCCCUUCCACCAUAACUGAUGCUUUAAGUAUGGCUGCAAGAAAAGAGGGGAAAAUAAGUACUUUAUUUCAUUGAUAAGCACACGUUGUUUUCAGUAAUUUGGGAAAAUGAAACAGGUGAAAACAACAAAAAUCUAUUCUUAAUCCGUUCCUCUAUUCCUAACAAUCAACCAAUAAAGAUUCCCCAAAAGUGAUCCUUCCUAACUAUGAAGCACUGACUCCAACAAGACACUGGCACCGCGACACGGCUAACCUCCAAAAAGUAGGACAUUAUUUAACUGGGAUAUAGAGUCUGCCCAAAAUACAGAUCUUAAAUGGCCUGCAACAAAUUUUGUUUCAUAGAAUAAGCCAUUGUCUGAGUCCUUCUUAGCACUUAGAAAAUCAAGGGCAGCUUCCACAUCACUGAUUGGAAUCUUAGAUCUACAAGGGGCUUGAGUAUUAACCAAUCUUUUCCUUUUCGCAGAUUCCACAUCACUCAUUGCAAUCAAAGCGCUACAAGGGGCUUGAUCAUUAACCACUCUUUUCCUUUUCACAUUCACUAAAUUCUUCUGAGGAAAAUCAAUUUGGAGAUGUGAUUUGCAUGUUGGAGACAGCUCAUGAUGUGUGUGUGCUGCCACAAACUCUUUUACAGACCACUUAUGGCUGACAAGGUGUCUGCAAAAUGCACCAAAACAAUUAAAUCCAUCUUCUAGAUGUUUCUUUUGCUUAAAGCCUUCUUCAGCAAAUUGCAUGGGUAGGACAUCAAUUUCAGUCAACCUUUGCAGUUGCCUUGAAUUAUCCGCAUUUAUAAUCUUGAAACUACCAUUCCUUCUUUCAAUUUGUACAUGAUUAGGAAACAUGUUGUGAUAGUCCUGAUUGCUAUCCCUGAUGAAGAAGCUGCGACAGCCAGCAUCACCAUUACGACUCAUCACAUUCAACCCACUUACAUUUGUUUCUUUCCUUUCGACCAUAAUUGAUGUUUUAAGAAAGCCUGCAGGAAAUAAAUACAUUUUUCAUUGAUUAGUACACAUUUUUUCAGCAAUUUUGGAAAAGGAAUCCAUGAAAACAACAAAAUCUAUUCUCCAUCCGUUGCCCUCUUCCCUACAAUCCACCAAUAAAGAUUUCCCAAAUAUGAUCCUUCCUACCUAUGAAGUACUAACUCCGAAACGGCAUUGAAACUGCGACACAGCUAACCUCCAAAAAGUAGGACACUAGGAAACCGGUUAUAUACACACACACACUCAAAGUCAAAAUAAGUUAGUAUCUAUACAAAGAGAACAUACAAUUUCCUAAGCUCUAUAACAACGAGCUACACAAAAGAACACUAAGAGACACCAUUUUACAAAGUAACCACUUUGUCUUAAAUAAGAAGAGCUACUCUAUCUAACAGUUUUUGCCUCCUUCUUGACCAUCUUCAUUGAAAAGUAGCCUCUCUCCAUUAGCAAUUUCUUUUAUGCCUUGACUUUUAAAAUUUAUUAAUUUUUCAAAUGAUACAAGUGUCUUAGAGAUAUCAAGCCAAUGAGAGGUAUCUGCUCAAGUUUCCGAACUGGAAAAAAUAUUUUUAUUCAGACAUCGUGAAGAAGUGUCUGACACGUGGUGUCCAUGCUUCAUAGCCUACCAUAAUAAAACUUUGUGCAUUUCAUGGAAUGGAAGCAUAAAAUUGCAGAGGAAGAAAAGAAAGUGGAAGGAACAUUAACCAUUGCUUGGUUCACUCCUUCACCCUGCUUUCCUUCAUGAUCGAGUUCCGAUUUUUAUGUCCCAUGACUUAAUUUUGGAAGGACCCAAAAACAGAUUGAACAGGAUAUUGAAUAAAACACUACUUAAUGCUCUUAAUAACGCAAGCAAGCAUGUACCUUGGUAUUGGAAUGUAGUGAUCGGUGUGAUAAGUUUCAGUAAAGUUCGCGGUGAAACCACAAGUUCUUUCCUUUUCGCAUUCACUAAAUUGUUCUGAGAAGGAUCAAUUUGAAGAUGUGAAUUGCAUGCUGGUGACAACCCAGAAUGUGUGUGCGUUGCCACAAAGUCUCUAGCUAACCAAUUAUGGCCCAUCACAUUCAACCCACUUAUAUUUCUUUCUUUCCCUUCCACCAUAACUGAUGCUUUAAGUAUGGCUGCAAGAAAAGAGGGGAAAAUAAGUACUUUAUUUCAUUGAUAAGCACACGUUGUUUUCAGUAAUUUGGGAAAAUGAAACAGGUGAAAACAACAAAAAUCUAUUCUUAAUCCGUUCCUCUAUUCCUAACAAUCAACCAAUAAAGAUUCCCCAAAAGUGAUCCUUCCUAACUAUGAAGCACUGACUCCAACAAGACACUGGCACCGCGACACGGCUAACCUCCAAAAAGUAGGACAUAUGGACACCACUUAUAUUUAUAUGUAUAAAUGUGUGCGUAUCUAUAUUCUCAAAGUCAAGACAAGUUAGCCUAUAUACAAAGAAAACGUAAAAACAAUCUCCUAAGCUCUAUAACGAGCUAUAGAAAAUAUUACUUGAUGCUUUUGAAAAGGAAGGGAAGCAUGUACCUUCCUUCUUAGCACUUAGAAAAUCAAGGGAAGCUUCCACAUUACUGAUUGGAAUCUCAGCUCUAAAAGGGGCUUGAGCAUCAACCAAUCUUUUCCUUUUCGCAGCUUCCACAUCACUCAUUGCAAUCAAAGCACUACAAGGGGCUUGAUCAUUAUCCAAUCUUUUCCUUUUCGCAGGUUCCACAUCACUCAUUGCAAUCAAAGCACUACAAGGGGCUUGAUCAUUAUCCAAUCUUUUCCUUUUCCUUUCCACCAUAUUUGAUGCGUUAAGAAAGCCUGCAAGAAAAUAAAUACAUUUUUCAUUGAUAAGUACAUAUUUUUUCAGCAAUUUGUGAAAAGGAAACGGUGAAAACAACAAAAUCUAUUCUUCAUCGAUUUCCCUCUUUCUAACAAUCCACCAAUAAAGAUUCCCCAAAUAUGACCCUUCUUACCUAUGAAGAACCAAUUCCGAUACAACAUUGACACCACGACAUGGCUAACCUCCAAAACGUAGGACACUGGGAAAGAACACUAAGAGACACCAUUUUACAAAGACCACUUUCUCUCAAAUAAGAAGAGUUAAUCUAUCUAACAGCUUUUGCCUCCUACUUGACCAUCUUCAUUGAAAAGUAGCCUCUAGCUCCAUUAGGAAUUUCUUUUAUGCUUAUGUUAGAAAUAAUAAUAUAAAAUCAUUCAUGUCUCAUGACUCAAUUUUGGAAGGACCCCAAAACAGAUUGAACAUGAUAUUGAAUAAAACACUACUUAAUGCUUUUGAAAAGGCAAGCAAGCACGUACCUUUGUUUAGGAAUGAAGCGAUGGGGGUGAUCAUUUUCGGUAAAGCGUUCAGUGAACCCACAAUUUUUUUUCUUUUGGCAUUCACUAAAUUGUUCUGAUAGUCCUGAUUGUUAUCCUGGAUGAAGAAGCCGCCACAUCCAGCACCACCAUUAGGGCCCAUCACAUUCGAUUCACUUACAUUUCUUUCUUUCCCUUCCACCAGAAUUGACAUAUUAAGUAGGGCUGCAAGAAAAUAGGGGAAAAUAAGUACUUUAUUUUCAUUGAUAAUCACUUCUUGUUUUCAGCCAUUUUGGAAAAGGAAAUAGUGAAACAUCAAAAUCUACUCAUUAUCUGUUCCUCUCUUUCUAUCGAUCAACCAAUAAUGAUUACUCAAAUAUGAUCCUAUUCCUUCCUACCAUUCUAAAACUAUCAGCUCGUUUGCAUACAGGCUUAUUGAAGCUUAUCGGGAAAAAAACGCGCUAAAUAAGCUCGAAUAAGUGCUAUUUGAUUUGCAUCCAAAAGGGUAUGAUUAGGUAUAUUUCAUGGACUUGAAGCAUAAAAUUUCACAGAAGAAGGGAAGAAAGUGGAAGGAACAUUAACCGUUGCUUGCUUCCACUCCUUCAUGAUCAAGUUUCUAUUUUUACGUCCCAAGACUCAAUUUCAGAAGGACCCAAAAACAGAUUGAACAUGGAAUUGAAUAAAAGUUAUAAAACAUUAAUCUUGAGAGCAAGGAAGCACGUACCUUCAUAUUGGAAUGGAGCCAUGGUUGUGGUACUGUGAUCAGUUUCGGUAUGUUGUGCAGUGAAACCACCAAACACGACACAAUGCUUCCUCAAUCUUCAUGAAAUAUAGGAAAAUGGGAAAUGAAAAUGUCCUUCAGUUGUUGAGAAAUCACCAAAAUGCCAUUGUUCUGGCGGGAGAAAAACUGCAGAAACUGAGUUGGAGUCAGACAGCUUAGAGUGUGGAUUUGGAUUUUGAUUAGAGUGGUUUUAGUUUGCAUUGGAAAGUGGGAUCUCACUUUGCCACUUUCCUAGGCAAUAAUGAAAUCAGUAAUCAUAUCUUAGGCUCAUUUUUUUAUUUUACAUGCAGCAAAGUUCUCUCUCCUACGCUUAUACUCUAUAGUCUAUACUCCCUCCGUUUCUGAUCUAUUGUUGUUUUAACUUUUGACCUAAAUUCCAAAACUUUUGUUGUUUUACAAACCCAAUGCAUUUUUUCUCUAUUUUUUCCAUGUAUGGGUUUAUUACUAUAUCUCUCACCAACCACCUCUUAUUUCUACCAAUCAAAAUCAUAACAAGUUUAUUAACCAAUAACUAUCACUCUCUCUUCACUCUAUCUCAACAUUAAAUAAGGGUGUUUAUGUCAACAAAUUUAUCAAUGAUUGCACUCUUAAACAAUGUGCAUAACCUUAAACAACAAAAGAUCAGGAAUGGAGGGAGUAUUUUCAAUGUAGCUUGUUUCGUUUGUGAGUUACAAAAAAGACAAAAGUACAAAGCUUUCACAACAAGGAAGGCAAUCAAAAUAAAUGAUACAUACAUUUCACUUUCUUUCAAAUCUCAUUUUCACUCUUUUUUCUGUAUUUUAUGUCAUAUCAUUAACUGCUCUCAUUUUUUUUUCACAUUUAAAAAUGGUGAAAGUGAUGGAAAACUCAACAUUUAUUCAUAACUAUUGCGAUAUUAUUUACUAUUUUUUUUAAUUAAUUUUAGGUGAAUUUUGUGGUAACCAAAAAUUAUUUUGUGUAAUACUCGCAUUAAGUGACUUAAUAGAUUAUUGUCAUGUGUGAUGAAAUUUUGACUGUCGAGGCUUAUUGACGACAUAGAGACCGACAGUUGAAGAUCGUGGUUGGCGAAGGAUGAAAAUGAUGGUGCAGUUUCAAACAUCUUUGGAACAAAAUUUUGUAGACAAGAAAGGUUGAAAACGAUGUGAAGGAUUACUUUGUAAGUAAUUAUAACAAUAUUCACAUUAAAAAUUUAUAAAAGAGAAUAUUAAUACAAAUAUAUGAAUGUUUCUCGAUCAGAGCAUGUAUAUUUAUUAGUACACGUCAUUUUACUUGAUUUGACUUGAGAUACUCCAACAAUAUGGGUAUUUAUUCUUUUAAUAUUUCCUUUCAUAUAUAUGAGAGAAGUCAUAGGGAAAUCUCUCACUUUUCAUUAAUCAUAUCAUUUGAAUCUAGCAAAAAAAAUUAAAAAUGGAAUAAUUUUCAAUUUUUUAAAAUCUUCCCAAGUUCUUAAGUUUUAUAGAUAAUUAUAAGGUGAACCAUCUUUAAAACAAUCUACUGACCUACAUAGUAAUUUAACAUAAACAUGCAUUUCAAAUUGCCUUAAACUCAAUGUUCUACCUUCUACCAUGGCAUCUGUCAACCACCAAUCUUGGAUUGUCGAUUACCAACCCUACUCUCUAAUCCCUCUGCACUCAUCUCCCUCUCCCCCCACCUACACACUCCCCUAUAAAUUUUGGCUGCAUUUAAAUACUCGUUGGUAAUGGUGCUAACAGACGUUAACACUCAAUGAACGUUAACACUCACUUCAAGGUAAAAGGUGAACACAAAAGUUCGUCACAUUAACUCGAUUAAUAUUUAAACACAAGAUAGUUUAAAACUUAUAAUAGAACAUCAGGAGAACCACAAUAUUUGACCGCAAGAGUUAUCCCACAGUGAUGAAAGUCGAUAUAUCCCGGAAUUACAAUUGCCUUCAAGAAAUAAAGAAUAUUGUGACAUUUCUAUUAUUGCAUUGCAUGUCAUGGCAUGUUUGGAAAAACUCCUACAAGUGAAUCUAAAGUCAUAAUCAAUUCUAGAGAGAAGCUUCUAGAUCCAAGAAAUGAUUAUAAGAAAAGGAGAAGUCGAUCCAAACAUGCUAAUAUGACUACUGUGUGCAAUUAUAUAAGAGACCUGGGAAAAAUGGCAAUUAGGUCCCUUUGCUGCAACAAGUAUUUGAUUUACGACAGGGCUCCGUAGUUUUUAUACAGAAUGAUUAUUACAUCAUUUGUUCCUCAAAAUGGUGAACAUAUCAGUGUCUGGAGCGCUUCAAGUAGACCAGUAUGCCAAUGCUUGUUAGAACAACAGCACUUGCAAAAACACCGGAUCGGAGAGACAACAUACCGGUUUUCUCUCCAGAGGCUGUACAAGAUUGUGGUGUUACCGGUUUGGUUGAAUCAGAAAACUCCAAGUUCAACUUUAGAGCCUGAAAUACAAAAAUGCGUGCAUCUAAUCCGUAUGAACAAACCCAUGGACAUCAUUAAAUGAAAAAACUAGUAAAAGAAGACAUAUUCACCUUCAGUCCUGCAGAUCUAGCAUAGCUGACAGCAGCAGCUAGAUCGUUAUCUGUUGAAAUAAUAAUUUUAUCACCUUCAUCAUCUUCAUACUAGAAGGGAAGAAAAAGACAGUGUCAUAAUAAAUACAGAUAGAAGCAUAGAACAACAUAAAAGCAGACAAAACAAAACUAGAAUAAAACACACCAGUAUUUUUGGGCCUUCUCCAUCAUUAAUUUGACCAAUUCUUUGCAUCACAGCGGAGACAAGCUCAUCUUGAUGUUCUGCACCUGCAAAAAAAGGCAAAGGAAAAUAAAUACCUUAUGUUGAGAUAAGAAUCAGAAGAGUACGAAAAGGUGAAAAUUAUGUGGCCCAAGCUAUAUGCACAAGAUGUUAGUUGCAGCAGAAAAUUUAUUAAGAUAUUUAAGUUUAGUUAAGCUUGCUACGAGAUGUUACUCACCACAGCUGAAUCGAUGCCCAUGACCAUUAGGAUCCUCAAAUUUAAAAGUAAAUGAAUUUCCAAAACCAGCAGAUUGAUAUGUAGACUUGUUGGUAUCUGCACCAUCUAAGGUCAGUUGUCCAGAGACUUCACUGCAAUCAAACAUAUAUGCUUAUUUACAAAACAAAACAAAAUUAUAUGUUGAAAGUUGAAACAACAUAGAUAUCUCCAAAAUACCUGCGAGUAUCGUAAUCUUCAGGCGGCUCAAGAGCAAAAGCUGAGUCCCAAAAUUUUUGCAUAACUGUGCUUGCCACAUCAUUAACAGGUCCUGAGCUACUCUCAACCUAAAAGUACAAUAGUACAUAUCUCAGAAACCACACACUAGUAUCUGCAUAUUAGUAUAUAGUAAUACAAAAAUGUAUACAGAUAUACAAAAUUAUCCUUCAUUGUUAUUUAAGGUGAGUGGACACUCAACGGAUAUAAAAUCAACUAUCAUGACAAAGUAGGAAGGGGGAAUGAAGUUGCUGCCUAUUCAUUCUAUAAGUAUAGGCUACGUAGAUAUUAUAAGAGAACAGUUUCAUAUAUCUAAUGCUUUAAGGUUUAGGGACAAAUAAGAUGUUAGAUUCACUCUUGUGAUUUGUAGUCUUGGUCCACUAGCGCAGACCGCAGACCCAUGGUUUUUGGGCUCCCCUUGUUCCCCAAUAGGAUCAUAUAAAAAUUUACCAUUUAAGAAAAACAAAGCGAAAGUCAUAUGUCGGGGAACUGAAACAAAAUCUAGAUUGAAGUAGUCCAUCCUCAUUUUGCAACACCCAGCUAUCACAUAAAACACAGACAUAUACACCCAAACUAAGUCGUGCAAACCCAGACAUCCAGCAUACACUGGAAAACCAGACCCCUCUACAUUUCAAUCUUCAGCGUAAUCCAAUUAAUUUGCUUCCUCUACCCUAUAUUCUAUUUGUAUCUAAAACAUGGAAUUUACCAGAGAAAUUGCAGCAUGAGUUAUCUGCAAAACAUCCACACAGGCAGCAACAUUUCCAUCUACAAAACAAAUAAUAUUCAGCACAAUAAUGAAAGAAAUUAAAUAUGCAAUUGAGAAAGCAAAGCUAACCUUUGUCCACCACAGGAAGAUGUAAGAACUUCCCAUCAUGCAUCAUAUGCAGUGCAUCAAGAAUUGUUGUGUCUAGUGAUGCACAUUCUGGGUUUGGAGUCAUUACCUAACAAAAAUUAGUGAUAAAGAGAAGAAUGAAAUACUAAAUACCUUGCAAAAAUUAGAACCCGACAGAAGAAAUGACAUCUCAGAAUAAACCACUUUCCAGUAAAGCUACUUCAAAAAAUAAAAUCAUAACAACCUUCUCCACUAGAGUCUGCUCAGGGGAAAGAUUUUGAGCCACAACACGCAUGAGGAUGUCUUUUGAACUGCAUAACAGAUUCACAAAACAAUAUAUUACACCAACAACAAAAAAACUAUCUGAAGUCCAUUUGAUAGAUCUCAAUCAAGGAAGUUUCUAAUCCAAAAAUUAAGCAAUCAUGUUACGUUAUUCCACGUCAUAGAUUUCUAAAGGAUGAGAAUAAAGCCUCAGAAAAGGAUUUUACGUCAGUAUCCCCUGAAUCUUGGUAUCGAUCACAAUCACAGCUGAAUUAACACGCAACUCCCGCAUCUUUAUUGCAGCUACAUAGACAGUGUCUGAUGCUGAUGCAAUAGCGACCCUAUAAAGACAUAAAGUAACAGAUCUUAUCUUCUUACAAAAGAAAUCUUAGGCAAUAAAUAGAUAUUCAAGAAAAUAUGAUCUAAAAAAUACUUUAUAUUUUCACCCAGUAUAGUUGACAGCGAAGGCUUGAACAUGCGCUCCCUCAAUGUUUCAAUUAAAGCAUUUGGAGCUGACAAAAAUGGUCACAAUUGAAACAUAAAAUUAGCAUCAUUAAAAUGUGAAGGAAAAAUAUGGCAAUCUUCAAUACUCUGAAAGAUUACUAUGAAAAGCAGUAAGUUUUAGGACAUAAAACUUGCAAGGUUUUAAUAAAUUUCUAUUGAUAGUACUCAGUCCUCCAUUUACCUACUUUGCUUAAACUUCACAGAGAAAACCUUACAGAUUAAGCUCCCGAGUAUGACACAAGUAUAAAUAUGCAAAGAAGCAACACCUAGACUUGGUCCCUAAUAUGAAAAUAAUUAAAUACAAUAGAUGAAUUUCUGGCAAAAUAUUCAGUUUUUCUUUGUGAAAAUAUUAUGUCUUCAGUUUAUUAACAGUUAACGGCACAAGAGAUGAAGUCAUGGAUGAUUCACAUUAAUCACUCUUUGGGCAUUGAUUUAAUAUAAUAUAUUUUAUUGGAUACAAAGGGAGAGUAUUGGAGGGGAGAUGAAGAAUAAUAUAACCUCAUGAAAAGGAAAAUGAAACAAAUAGUGAGACAAAGCACUCAUUUGAUAACUCUCGCUAACAUUUUUGGUGCUUCCGGUUCCUUUGAGCAUUAUUUUCUGCCAUAAAGGUGACAACGCUUUAAAGUUUGUCUAUAAAACCCAGCAAGUCAGCUUAUGACUUAUGAGCAAGCCCAAAAGUUAGAUUCCAACAACCUAAGUCUUUCCUCAUUCAGUGGAGUCAGCUACAUGGAUCAAACAACACUGUUAUGUUCUAUCAUAAAUCAUGUCUAGUAGCACGCCAUUUAAAUUUGAAUCCUUCUCUAUGGCUUCACUUAUAAUUAUCUUUGUUCUCUCCCUAAGGCUAACUAUUAGACUAUCCCCUUUUCAAUCUACCCAUCUUAGUCUUUCCUAGAGCUUCUAUUGGUCUUCUCCACACAUACCACAAUUAUCAAAAUCAAGACUCUACUACUUUUUCAACAAUAGAUUCCACUCUAACGUUCUCUCUGAUACUUUCAUUACUAUUCCUAUGUUGUUGCUAAUGUGUCCACUCAUCCACCAUAACAACAACAACAAAAGCCUUAUCGCACUAAGUGAGGUCGCCAGGUCGGCUAUAUGGAUUAAACUACGCCAUUCAGCUCGAUCAAAAGCCUUAUACCACUCAUCCAUCAUAACAUUGAGCUUAAUUUCUAAUUGUAUUCAUUGCCCAACAUUUAGCCUUCAUACAACACAACUGUCUUAUACGUUCGGAUUAAAAUUUCUCUUUGAACUUUAAUAGGACUUUUCUAUUACAAAUUAUACCCAAACUGUUGCUCAAUUUCAUCCGCCUCGUUUAAAUCAUACGCUUUACAUAUCCCUCUAUUUUCUUGUUACUUUGUAUGAUGGACCUAAAAUAAUUAAACCAUAGGCCUAUAGCCCGUAGGAUUUAUGAAUUUAACCAUGGCAGUUAUGAACAUAAACAGACUUACCACAUGCAAGUAGAACAAAUUCAUCUGUUUAUGUACGAGCAAUACCAUAAAAUGUAUGUAUGAAGAUAAUUGUUAACUAACCUAUAUUACUACUACGCUGAUUUUCGACCCCAUCAACUGCGGCAGCAAUGGCACUCCCUUGUUGAGCAGCCUUCUCCACCCUAGAUAUGGCAUCAUAAAGGCAUUUGGCAAUAUCCAGCAUGGCAAUGACUUCACCAUUUUCCACAACAGGGAGGUGCCUGAAUUUACCUAUUAGUGAAGAAAAAAGUCAAAUCAUUAUAUCUCCCACCUCAUGAAUUAAUAAGCAAUAUGAAUACAUAGUGAAUCUAAUGAAAUCACUUGCUCGCCAUAAUCUAGUUAAAGAAGCAGAAAUAGUAAAGAGAAAAUAAAACAUAAAACAUAAUAAAAAACAAAGACAUGGAGGAACCCUAUAAAAAACAAGGAACAUACAGAAUUCAUGAAAGGUUUUGUCGCCAACCACACAUCAUUUUGCUUAUUAACUAAUUUUCCCCUGUAAAAGGUUUUAUAGGGUUUUGUCGCCAACGACAGAAUACAUAGUGAAUCUAAUGAAAGGUUUUGUCGCCAACCACACGUCAUUUUUUUUUGUUCAUGUGUGAGAUGGAAGAGGGAAACAAAGAACAUGAAACAGGGGAAAAUUCAAAUAACAUUAAAUGAGAGAAAAUUUAAUGUUUUUCAGAAUAACACUAGUAAAGUUAGAAGCUACAAAUUUAGUACCAAGUAAAGUAAAGAACCAAGGAGUCAGAGGAAGAAUGCACAGAUGGGAAUGCACAGAUGGGAAUGCACUAGACAUGUUUAUAGAUGCCAUCAAAACAGGGUUCCAAAAGAUGCAUGUCACAUAGAACACAACUAUUAUCUAACAGCAAAUAGUCUCCAUUCCAGAAAACACCUUUUCACUGCAAAAGUGAGGGACAUCGCAGCCCCAACACAUGGUAAUAACAAAAUUCACAUAUCCAAUUGUCUGUCAUCAUUGUCACAACAACUAACGACCCUUCAACCACGGCACGCAUGAUUCUCGUAGAAUAGUAGCCCCAAUAUAGAAGCAAACAACUUAUUUAAUAGCACAAAUAUAAACACAUCUACAUUACUACAUGUAGUCCAUAUCCCAAGGUAUAGACUUUGUCCUGCCAUGUUAGAAAAUAGAAACCUCACUGAAAUCAACCAUGUCUAAAACCAAACUCUUUGAUUCCAUUGCAUCCUCUGAGCACACCAUAACAAAAUCUCUGCUCAGUGCUCAGUGCAGAAUCCAAUUGAUUAAAAAAUUAACUCACUCAGAACUACAGCAAAAUCCAAAUGUAUCUGUUUCCAACAACAACAACAAAUUAAUUAAAGUGAAGAAAGAACGAAGCUAACCCUGAACCAUUUUCUGAAGCGCUUCAAUAGCCAGCGCAUCCGAUGUCACAAAGAUAGGAUUCCUCGUCAUCACCUUCGAAACCGUCGUCUCCUCCGGCCGCAACCCCUCAGCCACAACUCUAGCACCAACAUCCUAACCACAAACAACAACAACCUCCAACUAAAACAACAUGAAAAAAAACAUUCCACAAACAAAGAAUAAAGAUAGAAGCUUCUAGAAACCUUAUCCGUGAGAAUCCCUGAAAGCAGAGCAUUGGAAUCCGUCAACAAAACAGCGCCAACGCGACGAGCGGCCAUUCUCCGACAUGCUUCGGAAACCGUUGUCCCCUCAGGAAUGGUGAGCGCCUUCGAUAAUCGAAGCUUCUUCACCGUCCUUUCUCCUCCUUCAUCGCUAGUAACCGACCACAAUUCAAUUAAUUCAACAGAAAUUUCAAUUUCAAUAAAUUAAUUAAAAUUAUGAAAAAAAAUGUAGAUUCAUUUAUUGAUUUCGACGCGUGCAUGAAUGAAAUUGUGAUGAAUUUACGGUUGCGAAGGCGGAGAGGAAGCUUUGGCGUUGGUUCCAUUUUCGGCGGGAAGGGAUUUCUUGGAAGAGCGUUGUUGUUUGGUCUUCUUCAUCUUGUAAUAAUCUCUGUAGUUUUUGGAAUUGGUAUUAUUAUGUUAAGAAGAUCUGUUACCAACAACCAUGCCCCACCAUGUAUCUCUCUAUCUCGUGUUCAUGUCAAAUCACCGGGAGGUUAGGGUUCUGGUUCUGCUUCUUCCUCUCUCCCUCUUUCCUUCACCUCAAAAAAUGGAAUUAUUAAUUUAUUUGUUUUAUUCUGUUUUUUCCCACCUCUCAAAGGUUCAAAUUGCUUGCUUUCAAUUUUUACACAAUUAUUCAAUCCAUUAAUGAAUGAAUGCUGUGGUCGGAUUUAAUCAAUGAAAUAAACAGAGGAUUUAAUUUAUAUGUAAACUAGGUGUUUUCAGACUUUAACAUAUUCAUUUAUUUAAAGCUCUUUAUUUAUUAGAAAUUAAUUUCUAUGCACCCGUAGUCAUUUAAUCAUUCUUCGUAUCUGAUAACUCAAGUAGUAGAAGCUGGGGGACUUGUGGGUUGGAUAGGGGGAGGUCCUGACGGGCGCAAUUUAUCUUUCUGAUAUAUAAAAAGAAAACAAUCAUUUAAUCACAUCUCUUCAUUUUACUAGCUUGUAAUUAAUAUUGAAUUUAAUAAUAUUUAAAAUAGGAAAUGAAAUGUUGUGACUUGUGAUUGAAUGAUUACGGAAAACUUUUUGCACUGUCAGUGUAUAAAAACUAAUCUAAACUUUUUUAUUUUAAAUGUGUUUAGAUUCAAAUUAAUUGUAACAUGAUAAAUUAAUAAUUAUAAUUUUUCGAUGUUAAUAAGGUAUUCUUCGUCCGAUAGGCGUGAAACUAAUUUUUUUACUUGAUUAUCAGGAAAUUAAGAGUAGGAGGCUCAUCAAUAAAAAAUUUCAUUCUGAGUUAAAAAUGUAACAUUUCACUACACCAUUUCAUUUGGUUAGUGAUGAAAUCUAAUCAGAUGAUUAUGUAAAAAAAAUAUUCACACGCAUCCGUACAUAUUAAACUCUAAAAUUUAAUUAUAAGACAUUGUGAUGAGCAUAAAGCCGCACUACCUCUCUUAUUUUAGUUUAUCUUAAUUUGGAAAAUAAUAUCUAUUCAUUCGAGCUUCCUAUAAGUUCAUGCUCCAGCCGCAUGUUUCUUGCCUCUCACGCUAGCGUUUUGUUUUGCCUUUUAUUUUUACCAAUUGUCGUUUAAGUGAUAUUUUGGGUCCCAUGUGGUCAGUUAGUGAAUUGAUAUCAUUAAUCCACACAUUUUAAAGUCUCAAGAAGAUUAGUCUCAUACCUACCGUCAGCUUUGGAAAUACCUUUAAAAAAGGAAAAAAAAAAUCCACAAAAUCCAAAUGAGGUUGUCUUGAGGAUUAAAAUCUUAUGUUUCAUCUCUAUCACAAACCUCUAUCCCACCAAUUAUAGAGUGACAUGUAAUUAAGAAAUUUAAACUCAUUUUUCCAUCAAAAUUAAUUGGGGUUAACACCAUUAGACAUCGUGAGUUGGUAACCAUCUCUCAUUCUCAUUCUCAUUCCCGUUUCUGUUCCUAUUGCCUCAUCUUCUCCAUUAUCGAUCAAUCGCAACCAACUGCAUUGACCCAAAUGGCCCCACCACCUGCACACGCACCUCCUUCUCCAACACCCAUGAUCAUUCACUUUCCUCGUCAAAUACCUUCUUUCGACAGCUCCGUCUCCACCACCUGAAGGGAGCUUCAAUGGAACAAGUUAGAGACUUUGUUUGAUCGACAAAAGCAAGUACUUGAUCAAAGUGUUAUGAUAUUGAAGUGGAAGAUUCAGGCGAAGAUUUUGAGGGCAAAGUGUAAGUUGUUGAGUCAGUUUCGCUCGAUUGACAAGUUGUGCUCCCUUUCUACUACCUUGUAAUGUUUCAGCUUCGCUGACUUAGUGAAGUUUGUUGUCUAUUAGAAGCAUUAUGGUAGCUGGAAAUUCUGAUGAAGUUGAUAAUGAUAAUGAACAUGAUGGCACAAUUUUUGUUAGUGUGGACCUCAAAGAGGCUUUUACUACCGAUAAAGUAAGUAUUAAAAUGAUUUAGUAAGGACAUAGUUACGUUUACGCGAUGCGAUAAUGAUUUGUAAUUUUGUAUAUGCAUGCUUUUGCAUCCCACACUGAUAUUAUUGAUUGGGCUCGCCAUGUAGGUAAAGAGAAUGGUUAUGUUGUUAUCGUGAUUAUGUCUGACUACGGAUCUGAAAAAAGGAAGCCUGUGAUGACAUUGGGAUGUGAGCGUGGUGGGAAGUAUACACAAGCAGCUCAAGUGUUAAAGCGCAGUCAAACUGGAACAAAAAAAUGUGAUUGCCAUUUCAAGCUAAGAGCAAAGCCUAGCAAGGUUUAUGGGCGAUGGAAGUUGAAAGUUCAUUCUGGGAUUCACAACCAUGAUACAGCUGAAACAUUACAAUCUCACUCUUUUGUUGGUCGUCUAAAUCCUGAUGAAAAGACCAUGGUGGGAAGUAUGAUUGAGAAAAGGGUUAAGCCAAGCGACAUGUUGAUUGCACUAAGGGAGAAAAACCCCAACAACCUGACUAGAAUCAAACAAAUCUACAAUGAGAAGCAAGCCUACAAUAGGAUUAAGAGGGGGUUCUCAGAGAUUCAACACUUGAUGAAGUUGUUGGAAGGUGACAAAUAUGCACACUGGUCUAGGGUUGACGGUGGUUCUAAUGUGAUUAAAUCUCUCUUCUAGGCUCACCCUGAUUGUAUUAAUCUUUUUAAUGAAUUUCUAUUGUGGUGCUUAUGGAUAGUACAUACAAGCCCAACAAGUAUAAGAUCCUUUACUUGAAAUGGUUGGGGUGACAUCAACUAAUUUGACAUACUCUAUUGCCUUUUCUAACAUGGCGAAUGAGCGCACAUAUGAGAUGGUAUGUGCAUUAAAUAGGUUGAAAGGGUUGCUCGUCAAGGAAGAAAUUCUUCCUAAGGUAAUUGUUACUGACAAGGACAAUGUUUUAAUGAAAGUCGUGGAAGACGUCUUCCCCGUAGCUCGCCAUUUGUUGUGCCAAUUUCACGUUUCAAAGAGUGUGACCGAGAAGUUGAAGACACUUGUUCAGUCGGUAGAAAGAUGUGAAUUUAUUACUAAUAUCUGGAAUCGGUUGAUGCGUGCUACAACUGAGGCCGAGUACAUUAAUUAGGUUGGAGCGAUGCAGGUGAAUACAUGUGACUUUUGGACAUACCUUGAAACCAAUUGGUUGUCGUUGAGACAUAAAUUUGUGAAGUUCGAGAUUGAUACUUGCAUGCAUAUUGUAAGACCCAAGAUUUUAGAAUUAAAUAAAUAAAUUAUUGAAGAAGAAAAUUCAUGGAUUAAUUAAUUCUAUCCCUGUAGUCAAUUUAGUCGAUAACUUGACUUAUUUACAUGACUGCCUUAGAACGAGAGUGUUUAUAGAGAGCCAAAGUACUCUUAAAACACUGUAGAAACUAAGUCAUAAGAAUUCUGGAGAUAUACAGAAUUGCUCGUAUACCUUCCUACGACAAGCAGAUUAAUACGAAACCCUGGAAUUUACGAACACUCAUUUCCGAUACCGGGAGGUUUGCCGAAACUGAAUCCCUGGUUUUUCUAGAGCUAUUAAAUUAACCUACGAUGAAGACUUUUCCUGUUCGGAGCUUCAAACGAAGAUUCCACACGCAAACGCCCACUCUAAUCGACGUUCCAAAUCUUUCUUCAGAAGGAAGUUUCUGCAUCCGAGGUCAAAAUCAAAAAGUGCAUAAAGUGCAUUUUAAAGCCGGUAAACAUUAAAAACAAGCCUCGAAAACCAAAAAUCAUACUGAUAUUUCUUUGAAGAAUUAGAAGAUUCAGCGGGAAGAAUAUCGUGUCUAAAAUACGUUGGAAUCAGUAGGAAAAAUCGGAAUCGCGAAAUAAUCAUUUUCUCGCGUUUUCAAUUUCCUAUAUAUAGGACUUCAGAAACUGAGAAAAAUCACACCUUCAUUUUCUUUCUUCUUCUUCUGCAGACCACGUUCUCUGGUCUUUCUUUUCUUUUUCUUUUCAUUUUCUUUGUUGUUUGUGGGUGAGCUUGAGGGAGAAAGGAGGAAGAGUUUUUUUCCGGUUCUUGCCUGAUCGUUGCUCUGUUCGUUGCUACGCGUAGGCCUCGAGGUACUGAUGUUAUUUCUUUCUUCUGAUCUUUAAAUUCCAUCGCUUUUUGUUAUGUCUUUUUGUGCUCAAGUUUUGAGCUUUUUGUAAAACUGUCCAAAUAGGUUGAUUUUAGUGUCUAAAUAUAUUCUCUUCGUACCCAAGAGUACUUCUAGCGGAUUACAUUUUGCCGAAUGUCGCCGAAAUGCUGCCGAAAUUCAUUUCUAUAGAAAAUACCCAUUUUUGGCUAAAGUUCCGUCCUUUGGGCUUAAAACUCUCGACUAAGCUUAGCGUCAGUAGGAUUAGUCGUCAUAAUCGUCGUUGGUAUCAACCCCAUCUAAUUUAUUUUUCGAAAUUCUGAUUUUUGAGUUUCCGAGCUAAAAAUAUUAACCAAAAUACCCCUGCGAUAGUUUUCGACCCGAUAAUUUUUCUGAGAGUUUCCCUGGCCUAGAUAUCGCCUAAGAAUACCUAGGAAUCAAUUUAGAUCGAAGAAAAAGUUCGGAAACCCUAUUUUACAUAGUGGCCGAAACCUAUUGCUUAGGGUACCGUGUCCAAAAAUAAUUUUUGGGUCUCUAUGACCUGAGCCAUUGCGUAGCUCUUUCGAUUGUCGAAAUUUUGGCGCUGGUUUCGUGUCAUUCCGAGUUCUGUAGCUCGAGUUAUGCUCGUUUUAGCGAACGAAGUUCUGUUGUCAAUUCGUGCCUAAAAAGGAACUCUGAAGCUUUAAAAGCUUUCUUUCCGGUUUCGAUUAGCGUUAUUAGAUAGUGUUACUUCUAGUAGGGCUUGUGUUGAUGAUUGUGUUUCCUUGUUCUAGGUUCACAACUUCCAUGCCCAACUUCUACUCACGAAGGUAAGGGUAACUCGGUUUUAGAGUGUCUUUGAGUCUUGCCUGUUUUUAUCGCACUGCAUGCGUUUGAGAUGAAGGUGUUUAAAUUGAUUGGCAUUGGAUUAUGAUUAUUAUGCUUGCUUAUGUUGACUGUUUCUGAGGCUUGUGCCAAAUGUUUUCUGAAGGCUUCGGCCGAGUAAACUUAUUGAGACGUGUGUCUCCGUUUUCUGAGAGGCUUCGGCCGUUUACUGGUUUCUGUCAUUGAGUUGAGUUGACGUAUGCUUGUUGAUAUUAAGAGUAACAUAGGGUUACUCUGUCUUGAUUAUUGGAUUUGAAAUUGUUGAUAUAUAUUUGUGCAUAUGCGUUGUUGGAUUGUACUGUGUGGCCUUCGUGGCGUUAUUAAGUGGCGAUGAGGAGGUGUGGUCCUAUCAUUGUCCCGUCUUGUGAGACGUUAUAAGAGGCGAUGAGGAGGUGUGGUCCUAUCAUUGUCCCGUCUUGUGAGACGCUAAGUGGCGAUCAGGAGGUGUGGUCCUAUGAUUGUCCUGUCCAUUGUGACGUUAAGUGGCGAUGAGGAGGUGUGGUCCUAUCAUUGUCCCGUCUUGUGAGACGUUAUAAGUGGCGAUGAGGAGGUGUGGUCCUAUCAUCGUCCCGUCUUUUGAGACGUUAUUGAUUGACUCAUAUUGUUGGUUAUUGCUAUCUGAUUUGAUGUUGUAUUGCUGAGGAUGUCGAUAUCUGAUUUGAUGCCAUAUUGUUGAGGUUGUUGAUAUCUAGUUUGAUUUACAUUAUUGCGGAUUAUUGAUAUCUGGAUUUGUUGUUAUAUUGUUGAAGAUUGUUGAUAUCUGAUUUGAUGUUAUAUUGCUGAAGAUAAUGUUAUCUGAAUUAAUCUAUGCUGUUAAGUUAUUGAUUCAUGAGUUAGUUUAUGUUGUUAAGUUUUGUUGGUAUCUGUUCUAAAAUCAUAUCGUUGAAUUUACUGAUAUGCUGAUAUGUCUAAUUCUGUUAAAUAUGUGAUUUGAUUUCAUGAUUCGAUAGGAUGAGUUGUCACCUAAUUUGAGUUAAAUUGCUAGUUCAUUUACCAUGCUAGGUCAUUAAAUUUGAAUAGCAUGAUUUUCUCUUUUAUACAUGGUAAUUGCAUGGAGUUAACCCUUUCUAUUUGCUACUUGUUGUUUGGGCGCUUAAGGCUAUUAGGCGAUGGAGAUCCUUCUGCCGAGGCUUAGCUGUUCGAGUUGGAGAUCGAGUCGUAAGCAGUGGGGUAGAGGUGCGAGAAGCAGCUUUGCUUCUCUUCUUGUGAUUUAUGUUUGAGCCUCCCUUUCUUUAGGAGAACUCUGUUAUUAAAGCCUUGUUUCCGCCACUGUUAAAGUGCGCAUGUUUAUUCUGAACCUUACUUGGUGUUGUAAGCUAUUAUUAUCAUAUAUCGGGAAACAGGUUAUUUAAAUAAAGUUAUGACAUGUUCCCACCUUUUAGCCGAAGUGUUUAGUUGUUUUUCAGAAAAAAAUUACCCUUGGAUUUUUUUUAGGGAUUGCAGAAUAGUCCUUAGACUUUGUUAGGUUACUAAUGUGACUCCUCAGUUGUGAAACCGGGGUGUUACAAUUGUGGUAUCAGAGCUUUGGUCUAGAAAACCAGAGCUUUUGGGUAGAGUGUCUGCUUAAGAUGUUUGAACUCUGAGACCGAUUGAUGAGGUGUCAAUCAGAGGAAGAGUGUGCUUGAUUACUGUUUAUAUAAAUUAUUCUUGAAGGUUGUUCGUAGGUGAAUAACCUUAUGCUAGUUAUCAUUAACUAUACAUUUGAUAUAAGUAUAUACAUAGUUAGUUAUUAUAGAACCUCGUGUUGUUCUGGCCUAAGUAUCUGUUGUGGUCUUUGACUGUUCAUGAAAACAGGAACAGGAGGUUUCCACAACUGGACGAGACUCAAGGUUCAGACAACAUGAAUCCGAUGGAGCAAGCUAUUGCUAACCUGACUGCCCUUAUGGCACAACAAGUUACUAACACUGCGGCACGGGAGGAAGCUGAAGCUCAACGUGCUGCUACUGCGGUUUUGGUGGCUGCCCAAAACCAAGCUGAAGAGAAUGCUCGCCGUGUUCAGCGUGAGGAACGUGAACAAGCUGCUGCUCAGACCAGGGGUCUGAACGAUUUCAAGCGUCAGGAUCCGCCGAAGUUCUCUGGGGGCUUCGAUCCGGAAGAAGCUGACUUAUGGCUCCAGGAGUUGGAGAAGAUCUUCACCUUUCUGCGUACCACUGCAGAGAUGAAAGUGGAUUAUGCGACCUACCUGCUAACUGGUGAAGCUGAGUAUUGGUGGCGCGGGGCUAGAGCUAUGAUGGAAGUUGACCAUCAAGCCAUCACUUGGGAGUGUUUCCGGGGAGCUUUCCUGGACAAAUACUUUCCUGCUAGUGCUAGAGCUGCCAAGGAGGCACAAUUUCUGAGGCUUCGUCAAGGAAGCAUGUCUGUGGCCGAGUAUGCUUCUAAGUUGGAGUCAUUGGCGAAACACUUUCGCUACUUUCGAGGAUUGGUGGACGAAAGUUAUAUGUGUGAGCGCUUCAUAGACGGGCUGAGUUAUGAGCUGCAGAGGGCGGUGCAACCGCUAGGACUGAAUCGCUAUCAAGUAUUGGUGGAGAAGACCAAGGGGAUUGAGGCCAUUGAUAAUGCAAGGGGAAAGUUCCAAGGUCUGAACAAGCCUCACCAGGAAAGUGGAGGUCCGGCUAGGACUAAUCAAGGAAGAAAUGACAAGGGUAGGCAUUACCCGAAGAAGCCGUAUGUUCGUCCUCAGGGUGAGGGGAUAGCUUCCGGUUCCUUUUAUCCUUCGGGCGGAAAUGCAACUGCACUGGGAAAUCCACCGAUGAGCCGGGAGAGUGUGACUUGCUUCAGGUGCAACAAGGAGGGGCAUUAUGCCAGCCACUGUUCUCAGAGUCUUAGGACGUGUUGGAACUGCAACAAGCCAGGUCACACUGCUGUAGAGUGUAGGGCUCCUAAGGUUGAGGUUGCUGCGAAUGUUGCUGGGACAAGGAGGCCUACUGCUGGUGGAAGGGUCUACUCAAUCAGUGGAACUGAAGCUGAGGAACAAGCAGGUUCCUCUGGUAAAAGUGAUUUGGAACCAAGUCACGGGCGAUGCUACCUGGGAACUAGAAGAGAAGAUGAAGGAACAGUAUCCGGAACUCUUCACUGAGUCUUAAGUUUCGAUGACGAAACUUUCUUUUUGGGGGGUAGUAUUGUAAGACCCAAGAUUUUAGAAUUAAAUAAAUAAUUUAUUGAAGAAGAAAAUUCAUGGAUUAAAUAAUUCUAUCCCUGUAGUCAAUUUAGUCGAUAACUUGACUUAUUUACAUGACUGCCUUAGAACGAGAGUGUUUAUAGAGAGCCAAAGUACUCUUAAAACACUGUAGAAAUUAAGUCAUAAGAAUCCUGGAGAUAUACAGAAUUGCUCGUAUACCUUCCUACGACAAGCAGAUUAAUACGAAACCCUGGAAUUUACGAACACUCAUUUCCGAUACCGUGAGGUUUGCCGAAACUGAAUCCCUGGUUUUUCUAGAGCUAUUAAAUUAACCUACGAUGAAGACUUUUCCUGUUCGGAGCUUCAAACGAAGAUUCCACACGCGUACGCCCACUCUAAUCGACGUUCCAAAUCUUUCUUCAGAAGGAAGUUUCUGCAUCCGAGGUCAAAAUCAAAAAGUGCAUAAAGUGCAUUUUAAAGCCGGUAAACAUUAAAAACAAGCCUCGAAAACCAAAAAUCAUACUGAUAUUUCUUUGAAGAAUUAGAAGAUUCAGCGGGAAGAAUAUCGUGUCUAAAAUACGUUGGAAUCAGUAGGAAAAAUCGGAAUCGCGAAAUAAUCAUUUUCUCGCGUUUUCAAUUUCCUAUAUAUAGGACUUCAGAAACUGAGAAAAAUCACACCUUCAUUUUCUUUCUUCUUCUUCUGCAGACCACGUUCUCUGGUCUUUCUUUUCUUUUUCUUUUCAUUUUCUUUGUUGUUUGUGGGUGAGCUUGAGGGAGAAAGGAGGAAGAGUUUUUUUCCGAUUCUUGCCUGAUCGUUGCUCUGUUCGUUGCUACGCGUAGGCCUCGAGGUACUGAUGUUAUUUCUUUCUUCUGAUCUUUAAAUUCCAUCGCUUUUUGUUAUGUCUUUUUGUGCUCAAGUUUUGAGCUUUUUGUAAAACUGUCCAAAUAGGUUGAUUUUAGUGUCUAAAUAUAUUCUCUUCGUACCCAAGAGUACUUCUAGCGGAUUACAUUUUGCCGAAUGUCGCCGAAAUUCAUUUCUGUAGAAAAUACCCAUUUUUGGCUAAAGUUCCGUCCUUUGGGCUUAAAACUCUCGACUAAGCUUAGCGUCAGUAGGAUUAGUCGUCAUAAUCGUCGUUGGUAUCAACCCCAUCUAAUUUAUUUUUCGAAAUUCUGAUUUUUGAGUUUCCGAGCUAAAAAUAUUAACCAAAAUACCCCUGCGACAGUUUUCGACCCGAUAAUUUUUCUGAGAGUUUCCCUGGCCUAGAUAUCGCCUAAGAAUACCUAGGAAUCAAUUUAGAUCGAAGAAAAAGUUCGGAAACCCUAUUUUACAUAGUGGCCGAAACCUAUUGCUUAGGGUACCGUGUCCAAAAAUAAUUUUUGGGUCUCUAUGACCUGAGCCAUUGCGUAGCUCUUUCGAUUGUCGAAAUUUUGGCGCUGGUUUCGUGUCAUUCCGAGUUCUGUAGCUCGAGUUAUGCUCGUUUUAGCGAACGAAGUUCUGUUGUCAAUUCGUGCCUAAAAAGGAACUCUGAAGCUUUAAAAGCUUUCUUUCCGGUUUCGAUUAGCGUUAUUAGAUAGUGUUACUUCUAGUAGGGCUUGUGUUGAUGAUUGUGUUUCCUUGUUCUAGGUUCACAACUUCCAUGCCCAACUUCUACUCACGAAGGUAAGGGUAACUCGGUUUUAGAGUGUCUUUGAGUCUUGCCUGUUUUUAUCGCACUGCAUGCGUUUGAGAUGAAGGUGUUUAAAUUGAUUGGCAUUGGAUUAUGAUUAUUAUGCUUGCUUAUGUUGACUGUUUCUGAGGCUUGUGCCAAAUGUUUUCUGAAGGCUUCGGCCGAGUAAACUUAUUGAGACGUGUGUCUCCGUUUUCUGAGAGGCUUCGGCCGUUUACUGGUUUCUGUCAUUGAGUUGAGUUGACGUAUGCUUGUUGAUAUUAAGAGUAACAUAGGGUUACUCUGUCUUGAUUAUUGGAUUUGAAAUUGUUGAUAUAUAUUUGUGCAUAUGCGUUGUUGGAUUGUACUGUGUGGCCUUCGUGGCGUUAUUAAGUGGCGAUGAGGAGGUGUGGUCCUAUCAUUGUCCCGUCUUGUGAGACGUUAUAAGAGGCGAUGAGGAGGUGUGGUCCUAUCAUUGUCCCGUCUUGUGAGACGCUAAGUGGCGAUCAGGAGGUGUGGUCCUAUGAUUGUCCUGUCCAUUGUGACGUUAAGUGGCGAUGAGGAGGUGUGGUCCUAUCAUUGUCCCGUCUUGUGAGACGUUAUAAGUGGCGAUGAGGAGGUGUGGUCCUAUCAUCGUCCCGUCUUUUGAGACGUUAUUGAUUGACUCAUAUUGUUGGUUAUUGCUAUCUGAUUUGAUGUUGUAUUGCUGAGGAUGUCGAUAUCUGAUUUGAUGCCAUAUUGUUGAGGUUGUUGAUAUCUAGUUUGAUUUACAUUAUUGCGGAUUAUUGAUAUCUGGAUUUGUUGUUAUAUUGUUGAAGAUUGUUGAUAUCUGAUUUGAUGUUAUAUUGCUGAAGAUAAUGUUAUCUGAAUUAAUCUAUGCUGUUAAGUUAUUGAUUCAUGAGUUAGUUUAUGUUGUUAAGUUUUGUUGGUAUCUGUUCUAAAAUCAUAUCGUUGAAUUUACUGAUAUGCUGAUAUGUCUAAUUCUGUUAAAUAUGUGAUUUGAUUUCAUGAUUCGAUAGGAUGAGUUGUCACCUAAUUUGAGUUAAAUUGCUAGUUCAUUUACCAUGCUAGGUCAUUAAAUUUGAAUAGCAUGAUUUUCUCUUUUAUACAUGGUAAUUGCAUGGAGUUAACCCUUUCUAUUUGCUACUUGUUGUUUGGGCGCUUAACGCUAUUAGGCGAUGGAGAUCUUUCCGCCGAGGCUUAGCUGUUCGAGUUGGAGAUCGAGUCGUAAGCAGUGGGGUAGAGGUGCGAGAAGCAGCUUUGCUUCUCUUCUUGUGAUUUAUGUUUGAGCCUCCCUUUCUUUAGGAGAACUCUGUUAUUAAAGCCUUGUUUCCGCCACUGUUAAAGUGCGCAUGUUUAUUCUGAACCUUACUUGGUGUUGUAAGCUAUUAUUAUCAUAUAUCGGGAAACAGGUUAUUUAAAUAAAGUUAUGACAUGUUCCCACCUUUUAGCCGAAGUGUUUAGUUGUUUUUCAGAAAAAAAUUACCCUUGGAUUUUUUUUAGGGAUUGCAGAAUAGUCCUUAGACUUUGUUAGGUUACUAAUGUGACUCCUCAGUUGUGAAACCGGGGUGUUACACAUAUGGGGUGCACAACAAGAAACGGGUAGUUACUAAUUAUAGCAUGUUCAAUAAUCUUUGUUUUUUAGUGAAUUUAUGUGAUAAUUGUUAUGUUAUUUGUUGAUAGAGUUGAAGGUGCGCAUUCAAAGUUGAAGAAGAUUCUUUCAGAUAGCAAAGGUGACUGUAGGAUCACGCGCUUACCACUACGCCAAAACCAAUUGGUGUUAGUGAGGGCGCAACGUUAUUUCUUAUAGCGUAGCAGACAGCGCCCCGUUUCGAAUGCUACCUGCAGGCAGGAUGCUGGCCCACCUGGACCCAACAAUCCCCCCCCCCAGCACCUGCCAGCCAAACUAGCUGCACAGCAUGCCUUCCGUGGGAUUCGAACACGGGACCUGGCUCUGAUACCACUUGUAGGAUCACGCGCUUACCACUAACGUUUUCAGUACAAAACUACCACCUUAAAGAUUUUAACAAAUCUUUUCGAGAACUAAGUGCAAAAGAUAGAUAUAGAAAAGCACACAAGGAUUUUAUCCUGGUUCACUUGAUAAAUCACUCAAGCUACUCCAGUCCACCCGUUAAGGUGAUUUCUUCCUUCUUAGAAUGAAGGCAAUCCACUAAUCAGGUAAGAGUUACAACUGCACUUGAAACCUACAAGUGACUAACAAUUACACUGACUUAGCUCACACUAAGAUUCACUCUCUUAGUCUUCUCUAGGAUCCGAUCAACCUUGAUCUCCUAAAGGAAAAUCAAACAACUGUUUGAGGUUGGUGUUUACAAGGGUUUGCUUCUGAAUAAGCUGAGUGUAAACUAAAUAAAUUACAAGAUGAAAGAAAGCUUAGAAUAUUUUGAAUAUCUUGCGCGUGUGUUGCUUCUUGUAUUCACUUCACUUCUCUAGCCGCUUCUUUCAAUCUUCAGCCUCUAUAUAUACUCCAAGGAUUAGGGUUGAGCGUUGCAUGGGAAAUGCUACCGUUGGAGGGCAGUUCUGGAAAAUCCAGCUUCUGCUGUGGCUGAGAACGUUAGGUAAGUCGUCAGGAAGGUACACUUGCUUUUGUACUUGGAUAGCGACUUGACCUUUUAACCUAGGAGACUUCUGAUCAGAGGAAUGCUUCGUAUUGGAACUUGUGAAGCCGGUUGAUCAGAGUCAGAGGGAUAGCACAGAUCCUCUGACCAUUGUAUCUUCUGAUUCUGAACUCAGAGGGAAGAACAUGGCCUUCAGAGUUUCUUGCUUCUGGACUUCAGAGUUUCUACUAUUCAGCUUCUGGAUCUUCAGAGUCUUCUACACCAUCGGAACAUCUGAACCUUCAGUGUUUCUUGGUUGUCAGAACUUCUGGAUCAUCAGAGCUUCUAGCGACUGAGUCCUCAUCAGAGUUUGUAUAGCUUCAGAUCUUCUGAAGCUUUUCCACUGUUCAUACUGAACAUGGUGAACGCGAAAGCGUUGCUUGGGUUACCCUUUAUACACAGUGCUUCUGAUUUGUGUGAAAUUGAGUCAGGGUCAGAGCCUGUAAAUAGCACACUCAGAAAAACACGUUAGAGUACCACAAUUGUUCAUAUCAAAAGGUUAACUUGUAAUCAUCAAAACAUAGAGUUGUACUACUAGAUCAAAACUUGAUCUUACAAUCUCCCCCUUUUUGAUGAUGACAAAACUAAGAUUUUUGAUGAACAAUUCUUAAACAUUAAACUGAAUUCACUCAGAGUUUAGAGAUAUGGAAUAAGACUUAUCCUGAUGUGAAUAGUUUAUCUUGCUCAUUCUGAAUUCAAGUCACUGCUUGAUUCUGAGCUUAGCUCCCCCUGAAUCUAAUACUUGAUGAAAACGUUAGUAAAGUCUAGAUUCUGAGCUAAAUCAUAUAAGAGUUCAGAGUGAAAAGCUUAUGACAUAGAUGAAAAACGAAUAAUCAGAGCGCAUAAGUGAUCAGAGUCAUGGACAAGGUAUCAGAGUCUUGGGUAUCAGAGUCAACUUAGAAUCACUUCAGAAGAAGUGAAAUGUAUUCCUUGUAUUUGCCCAGUGACACAUCUAUGGUCAUGAAGGUGGAACUCUUAAAAUCUCCAAAAGAAAAAUAAGUCACACUAACACAUCUUACACAUCAAAAACUGGGUUUACUCCCCCUUUUUGUCAUAAGCAAAAAGCUCGGGGUGUGAAAAACUUAGCUUGAAGUACAAGGUACUCCCCCUUAGAGAAGGUCUAAGUUGAAAGAAAAUGAGGACGAUGUAAGAAUCAGAGUGAGGCGAUAAUAAAUAGAAGAGUUAAUGCAAGGGAUGAACGUUUACCACCGGUCAAGUGAGUAAAUAGAAGGGUCAGUUACCAAGAACUUAACCUCGAGAAACUGUAAGAGCAUUAACUUUCAGAGAGAAAGUGAAACCUAUAUAAAGCGUUGGAGAGAAGGUAAGCUUCACAUCUCGAAUAAUUUUCAGUAAGAAAAAUGGCAUCAUACAGAAAGGCAUUAGAAGAGCUCAGAAGGAAGGCGUUUGAGGAAGAUAUAUUCCUCAAUAUUAGGCAUCCCGAUGGUACAAAGACCAUACAAGAGCUUACGAAGACACUGCUGGAAGAAGAUCUUGGUCCAGAGAUGGAGAAAGAUCUGAAGGAGUUCCUCUGCUUCGUGGAAGAGAUUCAGAGGCUUUGCCAGCGGGAGCUGAAUCUGCUGGAAGAGAAGGAGACUGUGGAAAAGAGACUUAAGACGACAGAAGAUAGUCUAGAAAAAGAUGAUCUGAGCAUCAAACUCGGCAACAUAGAGUAUGCAUUGGAUCGUCUGGAGAAGGAAAGAGUGGAGCAGCGCCAAGAAUGCAGAAGAAUGAGGAAGGAUCCUCCAUUCUAGAUAUAGGGAAUAAUGUAUGAUGGAAAGAAUUAUGAUGUAAACAUAGAACAAUUAUGAAUAAAACAGGUUUUGCAAACAUAUGUGACACAAUUAUAUAUAGCUAUAUGCAUAUAGAAUCACAAAUGAACAAAUUAAAGUAAGUAAAUAAGCAGAGUUUAAAUAAAACAACGUUAAAUAAAAAGGAAAAGGAAGAAAAAGAAGAGAUCCUAAAAAAAACUAAGAUUUGUCAGUACGGCGCAGAAGUUCCAUCAUCAUGUGCUUCAUCUCAAUCAACAUGGAUUCAUGAGUGUCAAGACGUUGUUCCAUGAUGUCGAGUCUGGAUGAGCUUGGCGGAGUAGAGCUGGAAGGAACGUUCUGAGCAGCUUGAGGUUCUGGAAUGGAAGCAGAAGCAGCAGGAGUAAACAGAACUGGUGCAAGUCGCUCUGCCUCAGCCUCAGCUUCAAGACGUUCUGCCUCAAGUCGGGCUUGUUCAGCCUGAGCUGCUGCUUGACGGGCAGCUUCUUCUUCUUGUUCUUUCUGUCUCUUGGCUUCUUCAAUGGCGUCAAGAAGCUUGGUUCUCUGUUCGAGUUCAUGAAGAGCCACCCUCCUAGCAAACCUUUGCUUUGCAGCCUCAAUGCUCUGACUUCCCUCUGCAUGCAGGAGCUGCAGCAUAACGGGAAACUGAGCCACCAGCCAAGUGCUCAAAUUAUUCCACUCAUCAGCCACAUUUUCAGCAUUCUCACUGAGGUCAGUCUGACCGUGCACAUUGCGGAGCCUCAAGGAGGCUUCAUGAUUGAAAAUAUUGAUGCACUCAGAGAGAGAUGUGGGUUGAAGGUGAGUAUAGGGAAUGAUGGAGAGGUUGGGUGCAGGAGAGGCUGAGUGAUUGCUGCUAUGAGCUUCAGAGGCACCUUGUGGAGAACCAAUGUUAAUUAUGGGAGCAUUGGGUUCAGAGGUUCCACGGUGAGGGUCUGAAGUUUCAACCAGAGGGUGAGGUGAUCUAACCGAGGAUUGGUUAGAUACUGAUUGUUCAGGUUCAGGGUCUGGUUGAAUUGGCUCUUGUUGGUCAGGGACAGGGUGAGCCUGUUGGACUAAGGGGUCUGCCUCUUGGAUAGGAUGGGCCAAGAUAGGGUCAUCUGGGUCAACUAGACGUUCAGGUCUAGGGCCAGGAUAUUGCCUAGGGCUUGGACAGGUAAGGUAAUAUUCUUCCAAGGCAGAUACCUUCUCUUUCCUAACCUCCAUGAAUUUUCUAAGUGAUUCAGAGGUAUUGGAGGGAGGAGAGUCAAUGACAUUGAUGGGGAAGGAUACAGGUGUGAAGACUGAGGAAGAGUCUGUAUCCGUGGUUCUGACAGCAGGACGUGCUGAUGCUCUGGGAGCAGAGUGAUCAGACGUUCUGGGUUGUGGUUCUGUUGGUUUGGGUUCUGGUUGGUUUUGGAUGAUGGGUUCAGAAAGUAAUGGGUCGUAUGGAAUGGUAAGGAGAGAGGUUGGAUCUUCUGACCUAGAGGGUUGGUUCUGAAGCAAAUUCCAGAGUGGUGCUUCAGUAGGAGAAGGUUGAAAGAAUGAAGAUCUUGGGGAAUGUGGUGGAGAGGUGGUUUGUGCGGCUGGCUGGGAUUCAGGAAUAGGAGUGAGGGGAUUUGAAGAGUGUUGGAGUAAGGCAGAAAUUGGGAGUGCAUCAAAUAAAUUCAAAUCAUCAUCAGAGGUAAGUGCAGGCUUACUUGUAUGUGCUGAUGAUCGAGUCACUCUGGCAGGAGCUUCAGUCCUUCUGACCUCUGCAGCAGCUGGUUCCACCCGAGUAGGCUUCACCACAAUUCUGACUUUCUUCUGCUUCUUCUUUGGAGGACCAUCCUCACUAUCAUCACCAUCAUCAUCAUCAGGCUUGCUCUUCGCCUUCUUGACCAGAGGGACAUCAGAUUCCUCUGAGGAUUCGUCCAGAACCAUCUUCCUCUUGGUUUUCUUCUUGGGAGGAGAAGGAAACUCUGGAGCUGGUGGAAGUCUGCUGACGAAAUCAUCAAGGUCAAUCUCGAAUCCUUGAGCCCUGAGGUCUUCAACAUAGCAUCUGAUGGCUUCAGGAUGGUCUGCUUGAGUCCACAGAGGGUAGUCAUUCAGAGGCAUUCUUCUUCCUCUGAUCUCAGAAGAUGUGUCCUCAUGAGCAGGAGCAAUCUUCUUCUGGACCAAACCCAUCUUCUUCAGAGAGUUGGCGGUGAAGACAUCGCUAACAAUUGUGCUCAAGUCCUCUGUGCAACCAGCAUUGAUCAAAUCUUGCACCAAGUUGCUUUCAAUGAGAAAGUCUGAGAGCAGCCUCCCAAAAGGGAUAUAUUUGAUGGCUGACUUGAUGGAGGAGGUGGUGCGAGACUUCCGGAUGCAUUCCUUCAAAUAGGAGAACAGGAAGUAGGGAAGGCAGAUCUUCUCCUUGUCUUGAAUGAAGAACAGCAUCGCCUUCUGAUUGAAGUUGAUGUAGUCUGGAGAACUGCCCUUUGGUCGUUGAUUGAUGCAGUUGAGCAGGAUCUUGUGCCAGAUUCUCAGUUUGGGGUGAAGGUCCAUCACUUUGUAGCUCGUCUUGCCUGGUUUGAAGGUGGUGUACAGGGCCUUGUUGACGAUGUCCUUGGUUCUGGGUUUCAGCUUCGAUUCCGUCAGUGAGAACCGAUACCCAUGAGCAGUUUCUGCACCUAGCAGAUUCACGAAUGACUUCUCCGUGAUGAUGAUCUUCCUACCCAGUAUGUAAGAAACCACCUGAGUGUCAUCACAGUCGGCGUGCUUCCAGAAUUCCUUUACCAGCUUCUCAUACACCGGUCCUCGAAGUCGAUUGAAGUAGUUUCCCCAACCUUGAGCUUGGACUUCAGGACGGAGAUCAAACCCAUUUGCAGCCAAGUUGUCGAGGUUGAAUCUCCAUUCUGCCAGGACUUGGAGUUCCUCAGGAGGAAAUACACAGUGAACGGCACAGCCCCGUUCUGCAAUAGGAACAAUCUCCUCUUGAGCUUGAGCUUGUUCUUGUGCUGGGUUCUCAGAGCCCCGUUGACCCGUUGCCAAACCGACUACCAUGUGAGGGAACUGAGGUGCAUCUGCAGUAGAUCUGCUGGUUUGUCUCACCAUCUUGAAGAGGUUGAAGGUUUGAGGUAGAAGAUGAAGUUUGAAGGAUGAAGAGAGAUCGAGAGAGAAUUCGAGAGAAAGGCGGUUUUGAAAAGCAGAGAGUGCGAGAGUGAAAACCGGAAGUGUGAGAGAACGUGUGUGUAUAGUGGGUUUUAUCAAAUAACCGUUGUUGAUUCAAAAAGCACUUUAAGAUCAACGGUUGAAAAUUAAAGAUAGAUAGUAACAGUAAAAUACACAAUCACACACAGGAGAUAAGCAUAUCUACACGCAAUCAUAACAGACUGUCACACGGGCACAAGGAACUAUGCAUCAGAAAUUCUGACGCACGUGUUGUUGUCUCAGCUUCAGAGUCAGUACCAGUGGGCACACACACUCUGAUUGAGUUACCUUCUGGACUAGACAUCUUCUGAACAAGAAGUAUCAUAGUCAGAGGUUCUGAUCUAUCUUCACUCUGGACAAAAGUCCAUGUUUAGAUUUUUCAGAAUAAAAUUAAAUCUAUCUUCAGCUAAGGGCUUUGUAAAGAUAUCUGCCCAUUGAUGGUCAGUAUCAACAAACUUCAGAAGAAGUACGCCCUUCUGCACAUAAUCUCUAAUGAAGUGAUACUUUACCUCAAUGUGCUUUGCCCUUGAAUGCAAGAUAGGAUUCUUGCUCAACGAAAUUGCAGCAGUGUUAUCACAAUAGAUUGGGAUAUUGCUCUCAAGGAUCUGAUAAUCCUCCAGCUGAUGUUUCAUCCAGAGCAUCUGAGUGCUGCAUAUUGCUGCUGAGAUAUAUUCUGCCUCUGCAGUUGAUAGAGCAAUGGUUGAUUGCCUCUUGCUUGCCCAUGAGACUAGAUUGCUUCCCAGAAAUUGACAAUUUCCAGAAGUACUUUUUCUCUCUGUUCUAUCUCCAGCAUAAUCAGCAUCACAAUAACCUGAAAGCUUAUACUCUGAUGUUUUCUUAUACAUCAAGCCAAGGUUAGUGGUGCCUUUCAGAUACCUUAGGAUCCUCUUAACAGCAGUUAAGUGGGUUUCCCUUGGAUCUGAUUGGAAACGAGCACAUAAAUGAACACUAAAUAAUAUGUCUGGCCUAGAUGCAGUUAAGUACAGAAGUGAACCUAUCAUGCCACGAUAGAGCUUCUGACAUACUUUACCACUUAUAUCUUCUUUUUCCAGAAUGCACGUUGGAUGCAUUGGAGUCUUGGCCACUGUAGAUUCCAGCAUAUUGAACUUCUUCAGAAGUUCCUUAGUGUACUUGCUCUGAUGGAUAUAUGUUCCUUCUGGUGUUUGAUCAACUUGUAUUCCCAGAAAGUACUUUAAUUCUCCCAUCAUACUCAUCUCAAAUUCAGCCUGCAUCAUCUCAGAAAAUUCUUUGCAUAGAGAUUGAUUAGCAGAACCAAAUAUAAUAUCAUCAACAUAAAUUUGCACAAUUAAGAUAUCAUCUUUAUAAGUCUUGCAAAAGAGAGUUGUAUCUACUUUACCCCUUACAAACUCAUUCUCCAGAAGGAAUGAGCUAAGUCUCUCAUACCAUGCUCUGGGAGCUUGCUUCAGACCGUAGAGUGAUUUCUUCAAUUUGAACACAUGGUCUGGUUUCUUUUCAUCUUCAAAACCUGGGGGUUGAUGAACAUAGACUUCCUCUGAGAUAUAACCAUUUAGGAAGGCACUCUUUACGUCCAUCUGAUGUAGAACUAUGUUGUGAUUUACUGAGAAAGAAAUCAAUAGUCUGAUUGCCUCCAGUCUUGCUACUGGAGCAAAUGUUUCAGUGUAGUCUAUUCCUUCCUGCUGGCUGUAGCCUUGAGCAACUAGCCUUGCCUUGUUUCUGACUACAUCUCCUUUCUCAUUUAGCUUGUUUCUGAAUACCCAUUUCGUUCCAAUAACAUGGACAUUCUCAGGCUUCUUCACUAAGCUCCAAACAUCGUUCUUGGAGAAUUGAUUCAAUUCUUCUUCCAUGGCCAGAAUCCAAUCCUUGUCCUGAAGAGCUUCAUCUAUGGACUUGGGUUCAAUUAAGGACACCAAUCCUUUCAGACUCAGCAAGGUCUCUUCAGAGGGUCUGAAGGCAGAUCUGGUUCUGACUGGUUCAUCUUUGUUGCCCAGAAUCAAUUCCUUAGGAUGAGCUGCAGUGAUUCUGCUCUUCUUCAGAGUUUGUGAGUUAGAGGGACCAGCUUCUUCCUCUGGUUCAUCUUCCUCUGGCUCAACUUCCUCUGGAGCUUUGCCUUUGUCAGAAACAUUAAUGCUUAAAUCUGCAAACUUUUCAACUAGCUUUGACUGGUCAGAGUCAAGCUUAUCAUCAAAUCUAACAUGAAUAGAUUCUUCAAUAGUCUUAGCAUCAGUAUUAUAAAAUCUAAAACCUUUAGAUCUAUCAGAAUAACCAAGUAAUAGACACUUAGAAGAUUUAGCAUCAAAUUUAUGCAAUCUAUCCUUAGUAUUGAGAACAUAACAAACACAGCCAAAAGGAUGAAAAUAAGAAAUGUUGGGUUUUAUGUUCUUCCACAAUUCAUAAGGAGUCUUAUUCAGAAUUGGUCUCACAGAGAUUCUGUUCUGAAUGUAACAUGCUGUAUUUACUGCCUCUGCCCAAAAGUGCUUAGCCAUGCCAGUUUCUUGGAGCAUGGUUCUAGCCAUCUCCUGAAGAGUUCUGUUCUUCCUCUCAACAACACCAUUUUGUUGAGGAGUUCUGGGACAAGAGAAAUCAUGUGCAAUUCCAUAGGAAUCAAACAGACUCUCAAACUUGUCAUUCUCAAACUCUCCACCAUGGUCACUUCUGACACGCACAAUUCUACAAGCCUUCUCGUUUUGCACUUGAGCAAUGAAGGUAGAGAACACAGCAUGAGACUCAUCCUUGCGGGUUAGAAACUUUACCCAUGUCCAGCGGCUAUAGUCAUCAACGAUAACCAUCCCAUAUCUCUUGCCACCUAUAGACUCAGUUUUCACUGGUCCAAACAGGUCGAUAUGCAGAAGUUCUAACGGCCUUGAGGUUGAGACAACAUUCUUUGCCUUGAAAGGGACUUUUGUGAAUUUGCCUUUCUGACAUGCUUCACAAAGAGCGUCUGAAGCGAACUUCAGAUUGGGUAAGCCCCUGACAAGGUUUAGCUUGCUCAGCUGAGAAAUCUUUCUCAUACUGGCAUGCCCUAACCGUCUAUGCCAUACCCACUGCUCUUCAUUAACAGACAGAAGGCACUUCACAUUCUGAGCCUCCAACUCAGAUAAUCUGAUCUUGUAAAUGUUGUUCUUCCUCUUGCUGUUAAACAGAACAGAGCCAUCGAUCUGACUUACAGCCCGGCAGGACUUUUGAUUGAAUAUAACAUCAUAACCCUUGUCAGCUAAUUGACUUAUAGACAAUAAGUUAUGUGUUAAGCCGUCUACCAAUAAAACAUUAUCAAUGCAUGGACUACUAUCUACACAAAUAGUACCAGUACCAAUAAUUUUACCCUUUUCAUUUCCUCCAAAGCCAACUUCGCCUCCAGGCUUAAGUUUCAGCUCUCGGAACAUACGCUUUUCUCCCGUCAUGUGACGCGAGCAUCCACUGUCCAGAUACCAUGAUUGGUGUUUCAGUGGAGCUAUCAAGGAUAUCUGCAACAUAGAUAAUCUUGUCCUUAGGUACCCACUUUCUGGGUCCUCUUUUGUUAGUUACCCCAAAGGUUCUGAUCACCUUGGGUGUCUCAACAUGAUAUUUUAAAGGAAUAUUUGCAUGAUAUUUAGUCAUAGAGAAAGAUCCCUUUUUAAGAGGGUUUUUAGCAACUUCAGCAGGUACAGGAUCAGGCAAUAUGGUACCAGAGGGAACAAAGCAUUCAUACAAGGAUUUAGCUUUAGACACAGAAGGCUCAUUUCUAAUUGGUUUAGAAUAGCCAAUGCCAUGCAUUCCAUUUCUGCUUACACCAUAGAUCAUUGAAGCCAUUAAGCUUCUAUCUACGCUUUUAGCCAGGAAUCUUUGAAAAGAUUUUUCAUACUUAGAUUCAUGCUUACUAUCAGAGGCAUCGCAGGCAAUAACUUCUUCUAACUUUGCAAUUUGAUUCUUAAGCACAGAGUUAGAAUUAACUAAAGCAUGGUUAUCAUUUUUCAAAUCAGAUAUGAUUUUCUCAUGUUCAGAAGGAGUUUUAGAAACAGCAGAUAAGUUCUUUUUCAGCUUCUUAUGCUUAGACAACAAGGAGUUAUACUUAUCCAUGAUAUCAGACAAAGCAUGUUUCAGUUCAGAGGUAGAGAAGGAAGCAAAUACCUCAUUUUCAUCGUCAGAGUCUGGAUCUCCUUCUGAUUCUGAGUCAGAGUCAACAGCUUCCUUUGACUCUGUUCCUUUGUCUUUGACAAUAGCCAUGAGUCCUUGGACUUCACCAUCAGAGUCAACAUCCUCUGACUCUGAUUCAUCGAAUGUCACCAUCAGACUCUUCUUGGUCUUGAAGUGCUUCUUUGGCUUCUUGUCCUUCUUCAAUUUUGGACAGUCACUUUUGUAGUGCCCUGAUUCUUUGCACUCAAAGCAAGUGACUUCCUUGAUUGAUGACUUCUUCUGACCUGAGGAUUCAGACUUUCCUCUUGCCUUUCCAGAGCCUUUGAACUUGCUCUGCCUGUGCUUCCAGAUGCGGUUGAGUCUCUUGGAGAUCAGAGUCAGCUCAUCUUCAUCAGAAUAUUCUGAUGCUUCUUCUGAUUCUUCUUCUUCAGCUUGAAGAGCCUUUGACUUCUCAACCUUAGCCUUUUCAGAUUUGGAUUUCAAGGCUAUGGACUUUUUCCUCAGAUCUUGCAUCUCUGAGCGCUUCAGCUCAUGGCAUUUCAAAAUGCUGAUGAGUUCUUCUAAACUCAUAUUCUCAACAUCUCUCGUGAGCUCUAUUGAAGUCACCAAAGGCAUCCAACUUUCAGGAAGACACCUGAUGACCCUUAUGACGUGAUCUUUUGUUGUGUAGCUCUUGUUGAGAGGACGUAUGCCAGCUACAAGCAGUUGAAAUCUGGAGAACAUUUCUUCAAUGGACUCAUUUGGCUCCAUGAUGAAGGAUUCAUACUUUUGGAUCAAAGACAAUGCCUUUGAUUCUUUGACUUUCUUGUUUCCUUCAUGAGACAUCUUCAGAGAAUCAAAAAUGCCUUUAGCAAACUCACGAUCUGUAAUCUUCUGGUACUCCUCAUAGGAGAUAGCACUUAGAAGAAUUGCUCUUGCUUUAUGAUGUUGUGAGUACAGCUUCUUUUGAUCUGCAGACAUCUCUGACCUUGGGAUCUUUUUGCCAUCUGCAUCAACUGGACGCUCAUAGCCAUCCACAAUAAUAUCCCAGAGAUCUGCAUCGAAACCCAGAAAGAAACUUUCCAGUCUAUCUUUCCAAUAUUCGAACCUUUGACCAUCGAACAUAGGAGGCUUUGCGUUGUAACCAUCUCUUUGAGUUUCACUGGUGGUGGCAGCCAUUGUUUUUCACACCGGCCCGGAUCACUGAACACUGUUAGGUGUGGUAAUCAGAACUUGCGCUCUGAUACCACUUGUAGGAUCACGCGCUUACCACUACGCCAAAACCAAUUGGUGUUAGUGAGGGCGCAACGUUAUUUCUUAUAGCGUAGCAGACAGCGCCCCGUUUCGAAUGCUACCUGCAGGCAGGAUGCUGGCCCACCUGGACCCAACAGUGACUUGGUUACAACUUGGACUGCUAUCAACAAGCUUCUUAUCAUGCAGCAUGACAAGAUAAAAGAAUCCUACCAGCUCACCGUUUUUGUCACCGAGCAUACUCUCAAUGACGUGUUUUAUAAGCAUUUGCGAGGCUUUGUUUCUAGAGCAGCAUUGCACAUGAUUGUUAGAGAGAGGAAACGAAUCGGUAAGAUUCGUGUUAUGGUUUAUAUUGCGCUUGUGCGAUUAGAAGAACCCAUGGACUACCCUGUGUCUGUGAGCUUCAGAAGUUAACUUCUGUCCCAUUACUUGCGGUACAUCCUCGUUGGAGGAAAUUGAAUUGGGAUUGUUCAGACCCUGCCAUUAAUCCUGAGUUGGGAGUCAGUUUUGAGUCUGAACUUGAAACUUUAAGAGUUAAAUUUGACGGAGCUUCUGCGGCAGUGAGGAAGUCCAUGAUUGAUAGCAUUAGAAUGAUUUCUUUCCCGGAAAGGACUUCCAUGUGUCCUCCAAAGAAGGCCACACCUAAAGGUAGACAAAAAGGCUAUUCGAAAAAGGAAACAAAGAAGGCAGCAAAGGGUAUCAAAUUACCUAGUAUGGGCUCUACGAAACGUCAUCCAUCUCGUUGGGAGCAUAUUGAUGCCUUGUAUCCGGGCUCUUUGGAAGAUAGCAACUCCACACCAAAUAUUGCCAUUUCUCCCAAACGAGUAAAGAAUCUAAGCCUCCACCGGGGCAUGUUGAGACAAAUCCCCGAAGAGUUUCGUCCAUUCAUUGAUUCCUUGGUUCAUGUAAAGGGAGACAAACAUUGCAGAUUUAGAUGUGUUGCAGCAUUGUUGGAUAUGGUAGAAGACAAAUGGCCGAUUGUUCGUAGGACUUUGAUCCAGGAGCUUGACACUGAGUUUGGCAUGUAUGUAAGAUCAAGUUUUGAUCUAGUAGUACAACUCUAUGUUUUGAUGAUUACAAGUUAACCUUUUGAUAUGAACAAUUGUGGUACUCUAACGUGUUUUUCUGAGUGUGCUAUUUACAGGCUCUGACCUCAACUCAAUCUCACACAAAUCAGAAGCACUGUGUAUAAAGGGUAACCCAAGCAACGCUUUCGCAUUCACCAUGUUCAGUAUGAACAGUGGAAAAGCUUCAGAAGUUCUGAAGCUAUACAAACUCUGAUGAGGACUCAGUCGCUAGAAGCUCUGAAGAUCCAGAAGUUCUGAUAGCCAAGAAACACUGAAGGUUCAGAUGUUCUGAUGGUGUAGAAGACUCUGAAGAUCCAGAAGCUGAAUAGUGGAAACUCUGAAGUCCAGAAGCAAGAAACUCUGAAGGCCAUGUUCUUCCCUCUGAGUUCAGAAUCAGAAGAUACAAUGGUCAGAGGAUCUGUGCUUUCCCUCUGACUCUGAUCAACCGGCUUCACAAGUUCCAAUAUGAAGUAUUCCCCUGAUCAGAAGUCUCCUAGGUUAAAAGGUCAAGUCGCUAUCCAAGUACAAAAGCAAGUGUACCUUCCUGACGACCUACCUAACGUUCUCAGCCACAGCAGAAGCUGGAUUUUCCAGAACUGCCCUCCAACGGUAGCAUUUCCCAUGCAACGCUCAACCCUAAUCCUUGGAGUAUAUAUAGAGGCUGAAGAUUGAAAGAAGCGGCUAGAAUAGCAAAAACAACACACACACACAAGACAUAUUCAAAAUAUUCUAAGCUUUCUUUCAUCUGAAAUUCAUUGUGUUUACUAUCAGCUUUUUAGAAGCAAAUCUCUUGUAAACAAUUCUUUGAUAAACAGUUUGUUUAGUUCCUUUAGGAGAUCAAGGUUGAUCGGAUCCUAGAGAAGACUAAGAGAGUGAAUCUUAGUGUGAGCUAAGUCAGUGUAAUUGUUAGUCACUUGUAGGUUUCAAGUGCAGUUGUAACUCUUACCUGAUUAGUGGAUUGCCUUCAUUCUAAGAAGGAAGAAAUCACCUUAACGGGUGGACUGGAGUAGCUUGAGUGAUUUAUCAAGUGAACCAGGAUAAAAUCCUUGUGUGCUUUUCUAUCUCUUAUCUUUAGCACUUAAGUUCUCGAAAGAUUUGUCAAAAUCUUUAAGGUGGUAGUUUUGUACUGAAAACGUUAUUCAAACCCCCCCUUUCUACCGUUUUUCAUACCUUCAAUUGGUAUCAGAGCGCAAGUUCUGAUUACCACACCUAACAGUGUUCAGUGAUCCGGGCCGGUGUGAAAAACAAUGGCUGCCACCACUAGUGAAACUCAAAGAGAUGGUUACAAUGCAAAGCCUCCUAUGUUCGACGGUCAAAGGUUCGAAUAUUGGAAAGAUAGACUGGAAAGUUUCUUUCUGGGUUUCGAUGCAGAUCUCUGGGAUAUUAUUGUGGAUGGCUACGAGCGUCCAGUUGAUGCAGAUGGCAAGAAGAUCCCAAGGUCAGAGAUGACUGCAGAUCAAAAGAAGCUGUACUCACAACAUCACAAAGCAAGAGCAAUUCUUCUAAGUUCUAUUUCCUAUGAGGAGUACCAGAAGAUUACAGAUCGUGAGUUUGCUAAAGGCAUUUUUGAUUCUCUGAAGAUGUCUCAUGAAGGAAACAAGAAAGUCAAAGAAUCAAAGGCAUUGUCUUUGAUCCAAAAGUAUGAAUCCUUCAUCAUGGAUCCAAAUGAGUCCAUUGAAGAAAUGUUCUCCAGAUUUCAACUGCUUGUAGCUGGCAUACGUCCUCUCAACAAGAGCUACACAACAAAAGAUCAUGUCAUAAGGGUCAUCAGGUGUCUUCCUGAAAGUUGGAUGCCUUUGGUGACUUCAAUAGAGCUCACGAGAGACGUUGAGAAUAUGAGUUUAGAAGAACUCAUCAGCAUUUUGAAAUGCCAUGAGCUGAAGCGCUCAGAGAUGCAAGAUCUGAGGAAAAAGUCUAUAGCCUUGAAAUCCAAAUCUGAAAAGGCUAAAGUUGAGAAGUCAAAGGCUCUUCAAGCUGAAGAAGAAGAAUCUGAAGAAGCAUCAGAAGAUUCUGAUGAAGAUGAGCUGACUCUGAUCUCCAAGAGACUCAACCGCAUCUGGAAGCACAGGCAGAGCAAGUUCAAAGGCUCUGGAAAGGCAAGAGGAAAGUCUGAAUCCUCAGGUCAGAAGAAGUCAUCAAUCAAGGAAGUCACUUGCUUUGAGUGCAAAGAAUCAGGGCACUACAAAAGUGACUGUCCAAAAUUGAAGAAGGACAAGAAGCCAAAGAAGCACUUCAAGACCAAGAAGAGUCUGAUGGUGACAUUUGAUGAAUCAGAGUCAGAGGAUGUUGACUCUGAUGGUGAAGUCCAAGGACUCAUGGCAAUUGUCAAAGACAAGGAAGCAGAGUCAAAGGAAGCUGUUGACUCUGACUCAGAAUCAGAAGGAGAUCCUAACUCAGACGAUGAAAAUGAGGUAUUUGCUUCUUUCUCUACCUCUGAACUGAAACAUGCUUUGUCUGAUAUCAUGGAUAAGUAUAACUCUUUAUUGUCUAAGCAUAAAAAGUUGAAAAAGAACUUAUCUACUGUCUCCAAGACUCCUUCUGAACAUGAGAAAAUUAUUUCUGAUUUGAAAAAUGAAAAUCAUGCUUUGGUAAAUUCUAACUCUGUGCUUAAGAACCAGAUCGCUAAGUUAGAAGAAAUUGUUGCCUGUGAUGCCUCUGAUUGUAGAAAUGAAUCUAAGUAUGAAAAGUCUUUUCAAAGAUUCCUAGCUAAAAGCGUGGAUAGAAGCUUAAUGGCUUCAAUGAUCUAUGGCGUAAGCAGAAAUGGAAUGCAUGGCAUUGGCUAUUCUAAACCAAUUAGAAAUGAGCCUUCUGUGUCUAAAGCUAAAUCUUUAUAUGAAUGCUUUGUUCCCUCUGGUACCAUAUUGCAUGAUCCUGUACCUGCUAAAGUUGCUAAAAACCCUCUUAAAAAGGGAUCUUUCUCUAUGACUAAAUAUCAUGCAAAUAUUCCUUUAAAAUAUUAUGUUGAGACACCCAAGGUGAUCAGAACCUCUGGGGUAACUAACAAAAGAGGACCCAGAAAGUGGGUACCUAAGGACAAGAUUAUCUAUGUUGCAGAUAUCCUUGAUAGCUCCACUGAAACACCAAUCAUGGUAUCUGGACAGUGGAUGCUCGCGUCACAUGACGGGAGAAAAGCGUAUGUUCCGAGAGCUGAAACUUAAGCCUGGAGGCGAAGUUGGCUUCGGAGGAAAUGAAAAGGGUAAAAUUAUUGGUACUGGUACUAUUUGUGUAGAUAGUAGUCCAUGCAUUGAUAAUGUUUUAUUGGUAGACGGCUUAACACAUAACUUAUUGUCUAUAAGUCAAUUAGCUGACAAGGGUUAUGAUGUUAUAUUCAAUCAAAAGUCCUGCCGGGCUGUAAGUCAGAUCGAUGGCUCUGUUCUGUUUAACAGCAAGAGGAAGAACAACAUUUAUAAGAUCAGAUUAUCUGAGUUGGAGGCUCAGAAUGUGAAGUGCCUUCUGUCUGUUAAUGAAGAGCAGUGGGUAUGGCAUAGACGGUUAGGGCAUGCCAGUAUGAGAAAGAUUUCUCAGCUGAGCAAGCUAAACCUUGUCAGGGGCUUACCCAAUCUGAAGUUCGCUUCAGACGCUCUUUGUGAAGCAUGUCAGAAAGGCAAAUUCACAAAAGUCCCUUUCAAGGCAAAGAAUGUUGUCUCAACCUCAAGGUCGUUAGAACUUCUGCAUAUCGACCUGUUUGGACCAGUGAAAACUGAGUCUAUAGGUGGCAAGAGAUAUGGGAUGGUUAUCGUUGAUGACUAUAGCCGCUGGACAUGGGUAAAGUUUCUAACCCGCAAGGAUGAGUCUCAUGCUGUGUUCUCUACCUUCAUUGCUCAAGUGCAAAACGAGAAGGCUUGUAGAAUUGUGCGUGUCAGAAGUGACCAUGGUGGAGAGUUUGAGAAUGACAAGUUUGAGAGUCUGUUUGAUUCCUAUGGAAUUGCACAUGAUUUCUCUUGUCCCAGAACUCCUCAACAAAAUGGUGUUGUUGAGAGGAAGAACAGAACUCUUCAGGAGAUGGCUAGAACCAUGCUCCAAGAAACUGGCAUGGCUAAGCACUUUUGGGCAGAGGCAGUAAAUACAGCAUGUUACAUUCAGAACAGAAUCUCUGUGAGACCAAUUCUGAAUAAGACUCCUUAUGAAUUGUGGAAGAACAUAAAACCCAACAUUUCUUAUUUUCAUCCUUUUGGCUGUUUGUUAUGUUCUCAAUACUAAGGAUAGAUUGCAUAAAUUUGAUGCUAAGUCUUCUAAGUGUCUAUUACUUGGUUAUUCUGAUAGAUCUAAAGGUUUUAGAUUUUAUAAUACUGAUGCUAAGACUAUUGAAGAAUCUAUUCAUGUUAGAUUUGAUGAUAAGCUUGACUCUGACCAGUCAAAGCUAGUUGAAAAGUUUGCAGAUUUAAGCAUUAAUGUUUCUGACAAAGGCAAAGCUCCAGAGGAAGUUGAGCCAGAGGAAGAUGAACCAGAGGAAGAAGCUGGUCCCUCUAACUCACAAACUCUGAAGAAGAGCAGAAUCACUGCAGCUCAUCCUAAGGAAUUGAUUCUGGGCAACAAAGAUGAACCAGUCAGAACCAGAUCUGCCUUCAGACCCUCUGAAGAGACCUUGCUGAGUCUGAAAGGAUUGGUGUCCUUAAUUGAACCCAAGUCCAUAGAUGAAGCUCUUCAGGACAAGGAUUGGAUUCUGGCCAUGGAAGAAGAAUUGAAUCAAUUCUCCAAGAACGAUGUUUGGAGCUUAGUGAAGAAGCCUGAGAAUGUCCAUGUUAUUGGAACGAAAUGGGUAUUCAGAAACAAGCUAAAUGAGAAAGGAGAUGUAGUCAGAAACAAGGCAAGGCUAGUUGCUCAAGGCUACAGCCAGCAGGAAGGAAUAGACUACACUGAAACAUUUGCUCCAGUAGCAAGACUGGAGGCAAUCAGACUAUUGAUUUCUUUCUCAGUAAAUCACAACAUAAUUCUACAUCAGAUGGACGUAAAGAGUGCCUUCCUAAAUGGUUAUAUCUCAGAGGAAGUCUAUGUUCAUCAACCCCCAGGUUUUGAAGAUGAAAAGAAACCAGACCAUGUGUUCAAAUUGAAGAAAUCACUCUACGGUCUGAAGCAAGCUCCCAGAGCAUGGUAUGAGAGACUUAGCUCAUUCCUUCUGGAGAAUGAGUUUGUAAGGGGUAAAGUAGAUACAACUCUCUUUUGCAAGACUUAUAAAGAUGAUAUCUUAAUUGUGCAAAUUUAUGUUGAUGAUAUUAUAUUUGGUUCUGCUAAUCAAUCUCUAUGCAAAGAAUUUUCUGAGAUGAUGCAGGCUGAAUUUGAGAUGAGUAUGAUGGGAGAAUUAAAGUACUUUCUGGGAAUACAAGUUGAUCAAACACCAGAAGGAACAUAUAUCCAUCAGAGCAAGUACACUAAAGAACUUCUGAAGAAGUUCAAUAUGCUGGAAUCUACAGUGGCCAAGACUCCAAUGCAUCCAACAUGCAUUCUGGAAAAAGAAGAUAAAAGUGGUAAAGUAUGUCAGAAGCUCUAUCGUGGCAUGAUAGGUUCACUUCUAUACUUAACUGCAUCUAGGCCAGACAUAUUAUUUAGUGUUCAUUUAUGUGCUCGUUUCCAAUCAGAUCCAAGGGAAACUCACUUAACUGCUGUUAAGAGGAUCCUAAGGUAUCUGAAAGGCACCACUAACCUUGGCUUGAUGUAUAAGAAAACAUCAGAGUAUAAGCUUUCAGGUUAUUGUGAUGCUGAUUAUGCUGGAGAUAGAACAGAGAGAAAAAGUACUUCUGAAAAUUGUCAAUUUCUGGGAAGCAAUCUAGUCUCAUGGGCAAGCAAGAGGCAAUCAACCAUUGCACUAUCAACUGCAGAGGCAGAAUAUAUCUCAGCAGCAAUAUGCAGCACUCAGAUGCUCUGGAUGAAACAUCAGCUGGAGGAUUAUCAGAUCCUUGAGAGCAAUAUCCCAAUCUAUUGUGAUAACACUGCUGCAAUCUCAUUGAGUAAGAAUCCUAUCUUGCAUUCAAGGGCAAAGCACAUUGAGGUAAAGUAUCAUUUUAUUAGAGAUUAUGUACAGAAGGGCGUACUUCUUCUGAAGUUUGUUGAUACUGACCAUCAAUGGGCAGAUAUCUUUACAAAGCCCUUAGCUGAAGAUAGAUUUAAUUUUAUUCUGAAAAAUCUAAACAUGGACUUUUGUCCAGAGUGAAGAUGGAUCAGAACCUCUGACUAUGAUACUUCUUGAUCAGAAGAUGUCUAGUCCAGAAGGUAACUCAAUCAGAGUGUGUGUGCCCACUGGUACUGACUCUGAAGCUGAGACAACAACACGUGCGUCAGAAUUUCUGAUGCAUAGUUCCUUGUGCCCGUGUGACAGUCUGUUAUGAUUGCGUGUAGAUAUGCUUAUCUCCUGUGUGUGAUUGUGUAUUUUACAGUUACUAUCUAUCUUUAAUUUUCAACCGUUGAUCUUAAAGUGCUUUUUGAAUCAACAACGGUUAUUUGAUAAAACCCACUAUACACACACGUUCUCUCUCACUUCCGGUUUUCACUCUCGCACUCUCUGCUUUUCAAAACCGCCUCCUUCUUGAUUUCUCUCUCGAUCUCUCUUCAUCCUUCAAACUUCAUCUUCUACCUCAAACCUUCAACCUCUUCAAAAUGGUGAGACAAACCAGAAGAUCUACUGCAGAUGCACCUCAGUUCCCUCACAUGGUAGUCGGUUUGGCAACGGGUCAACGAGGCUCUGAGAACCCGGCACAAGAACAAGUUCAAGCUCAAGAGCAGGUUGUUCCUAUUGCAGAACGGGGCUGUGCCGUUCACUGUGUAUUUCCUCCUGAGGAACUCCAAGUCCUGGCAGAAUGGAGAUUCAACCUCGACAACUUGGCUGCAAAUGGGUUUGAUCUUCGUCCUGAAGUCCAAGCUCAAGGUUGGGGAAACUACUUCAAUCGACUUCGAGGACCGGUGUAUGAGAAAUUGGUAAAGGAAUUCUGGAAGCACGCAGACUGCGAUGACACUCAGGUGGUCUCUCACAUUCUUGGCAGGAAGAUCAUCAUCACUGAGAAGUCAUUCGUGAAUCUGCUAGGAGCAGAAACUGCUUAUGGGUAUCGGUUCCAACUGACGGAAUCCAAGCUGAAACCCAGCACCAAGGACAUCGUCAACAAGGCCCUGUACACCACCUUCAAACCGGGCAAGACGAGUUACAAGGUGAUGGACCUUCACCCCAAACUGAGAAUCUGGCACAAGAUCCUGCUCAACUGCAUCAAUCAGAGACCGAAGGGUAGUUCUCCAGAUUACAUCAACUUCAACCAGAAGGCGAUGCUGUUUUUCAUUCAAGACAAGGAGAAGAUCUGCCUUCCCUACUUCCUGUUCUCCUAUUUGAAGGAAUGCAUCCGGAAGUCUCUCACCACCGCCUCCAUCAAGUCUGCAAUCAAAUAUAUCCCUUUUGGGAGACUGCUCUCAGACUUUCUCAUUGAAAGCAACUUGGUGCAAGAUUUAAUCAAUGCUGGUUGCACAGAGGACUUGAGCACAAUUUUCAGUGAUGUCUUCACUGCCAACUCUCUGAAGAAAAUGGGCUUAAUCCAGAAGAAGAUUGCUCCUGCUCAUGAAGACACAUCUUCUGAGAUCAGAGGAAGAAGAAUGCCUCUGAAUGACUACCCUCUGUGGACUCAAGCAGACCAUCCUGACGCCAUCAGAUGCUAUGUUGAAGACCUCAGGGCUCAAGGAUUCGAGAUUGACCUUGAUGAUUUUGUCAGCAGACUUCCACCAGCACCAGAGUUUCCUUCUCCUCCCAAGAAGAAAACCAAGAGGAAGAUGGUUCUGGAAGAAUCCUCAGAGGAAUCUGAUGUCCCUCUGGUCAAGAAACCGAAGAGCAAGCCUGAUGAUGAUGAUGGUGAUGAUAGUGAGGAUGGUCCUCCAAAGAAGAAGCAGAAGAAGGUCAGAAUUGUGGUGAAGCCUACUCGGGUGGAACCAGCUGCUGCAGAGGUCAGAAGGACUGAAGCUCCUGCCAGAGUGACUCGAUCAUCAGCACAUUCAAGUAAGCCUGCACUUGCUUCUGAUGAUGAUUUGAAUUUAUUUGAUGCACUUCCUAUUUCUGCCUUACUUCAACACUCCUCAAAUCCCCUCACUCCUAUUCCUGAAUCCCAGCCAGCCGCACAAACCACCACUCCAUCACAUUCCCCAAGAUCUUCCUUCUUUCAACCUUCUCCUACUGAAGCACCUCUCUGGAAUUUGCUUCAGAACCAACCCUCUAGGUCAGAAGAUCCAACCUCUCUCCUUACCAUUCCAUAUGACCCAUUACUUUCUGAACCAAUCAUCCAUGACCAACCAGAACCAAACCAACCAGAACCCAAAACAACAGAACCACAACCCCGAACGUCUGAUCACUCUGCUCCCAGAGCAUCAGCACGUCCUGCUGCCAGAACCACGGAUACAGACUCUUCAACAGCCUUCACCCCUGUAUCCUUCCCAAUCAAUGUCAUUGACUCUCCUCCCUCCAAUACCUCUGAAUCAAUUAGAAAAUUCAUGGAGGUUAGGAAAGAGAAGGUAUCUGCCUUGGAAGAAUAUUACCUUUCCUGUCCAAGCCCUAGGCAAUAUCCUGGCCCUAGACCUGAACGUCUAGUUGACCCAGAUGAACCUAUCUUGGCCAAUCCUAUCCAAGAGGCAGACCCCCUAGUUCAACAAGCUCACCCUGUCCCUGACCAACAAGAGCCAAUUCAACCAGACCCUGAACCCGAACAAUCAGUGUCUAACCAAUCCUCCGUUAGAUCACCUCACCCUCUGGUUGAAACUUCAGACCCUCACCGUGGAACCUCUGAACCCAAUGCUCCCAUAAUUAACAUUGGUUCUCCACAAGGUGCUUCUGAAGCUCAUAGCAGCAAUCACCCAGCCUCUCCUGAAACCAACCUCUCCAUAAUUCCCUAUACUCACCUUCAACCCACAUCUCUCUCUGAGUGCAUCAAUAUCUUCAAUCAUGAAGCCUCCUUGAGGCUCCGCAAUGUGCACGGUCAGACUGAUCUCAGUGAGAAUGCUGAACAUGUGGCUGAUGAGUGGAACAAUUUGAGCACUUGGCUAGUGGCUCAGUUUCCAAUCAUGUUGCAGCUCCUGCAUGCAGAGGGAAGUCAGAGGAUUGAGGCUGCCAAGCAAAGGUUUGCUAGACGGGUGGCUCUUCAUGAACUAGAACAGAGAAAUAAGCUUCUUGAAGCUAUUGAAGAAGCCAAGCGAAAGAAAGAGCAAGCAGCAGAAGCUGCACGUCAAGCAGCAGCUCAGGCUGAACAAGCCAGACUUGAGGCAGAGCGUCUUGAAGCUGAGGCUGAGGCAGAGCGACUUGCACCAGUUAUGUUUACUCCUGCUGCUUCUGCUUCCAUUCCAGAACCUCAAGCUGCUCAGAACGUUCCUUCCAGCUCUACUCAGACAAGCUCAUCCAGACUCGACAUCAUGGAACAACGUCUUGACACUCAUGAAUCCAUGCUGAUUGAGAUGAAGCAAAUGAUGAUGGAACUUCUGCGACGCACUGACAUACCUUAGUCUUAGGAUCUCUUCUUUUUCUUCUUUCGUUUACUUUGUUUUCCUUUUUGUUAAACUCUGUUUCUUUUUUAUUUACUUAUUUUCAUUUGUUCGUUUGUGAUUCUAUAUGCAUAUAUCUAUAUAUAUUUGUGUCACAUAUGUUUGCAAAACUUGUUUUAUUCAUAAUUGUUCUAUGUUUACAUCACAUUCUUUACAUCAUAUAACUCUAGAAUGGAGGAUCCUUCCUCAUUCUUCUGCACUCCUGGCGCUGCUCUGACCUAUUCUUCUCCAGACGCUCCAGUACAUGCUGGAUGUUGUUGAGUCUGACCUCUAGCUCAUCUUUCUCCAGAAUCUCUUCUGAAGUCCUGAGCUUCUCUUCCAAGAUUUCUUUUUCUUCCAGCAGCUUGAGUUCAAGCCGGCUGAGUUCUUGCACCUCCUCCACGAAGGCAAGAAAUUCCUUCAGGUCCCUCUCCAACUCUGGACGCAGGUCCUCUUCCAGCAGUGUCCUUGUCAGCUCCGCGAUGGUAGUUUCACCCUCUGGAUGCCUGAUGUUCAGGAACAAGUCCUCUUCAAAGGCCUUCUUCCUCAGUUCUUCUAGUGCUACGUUGUAUGAUGCCAUUUUUUUGAAAAUUAUUCGAGGUGUGAAGCUUACCUUUCUAUGGUAAACGCUCAUCCCUUGCAUUAACUCUUCUAUUUAUUUUCGCCUAACUCUGAUUCUUACAUCGUUUUCUUUUUCUUUUAAACUUAGACCUUCUCUAAGGGGGAGUACCUUGUACUUCAAGCUGAGUUUUUCACACCCCACGCUUUUUGCUUAUGACAAAAAGGGGGAGUACACCCAGUUUUUGAUGUGUAAGAUGUGUUAGUGUGACUUAUUUUUCUUUUGGAGAUUUUAAGAGUUCCACCUUCAUGACCAUAGAUGUGUCACUGGGCAAAUACAAGGAAUACAUUUCACUUCUUCUGAAGUGAUUCUAAGUUGACUCUGAUACCCAAGACUCUGAUACCUUGUCCAUGACUCUGAUCACUUAUGCGCUCUGAUUAUUCGUUUUUUCAUCUAUGUCAUAAGCUUUUCACUCUGAACUCUUAUAUGUUUUAGCUCAGAAUCUAGACUUUACUAACGUUUUCAUCAAGUAUUAGAUUCAGGGGGAGCUAAGCUCAGAAUCAAGCAGUGACUUGAAUUCAGAAUGAGCAAGAUAAACUAUUCACAUCAGGAUAAGUCUUAUUCUAUAUCUCUAAACUCUGAGUGAAUUCAGUUUAAUGUUUAAGAAUUGUUCAUCAAAAAUCUUAGUUUUGUCAUCAUCAAAAAGGGGGAGAUUGUAAGAUCAAGUUUUGAUCUAGUAGUACAACUCUAUGUUUUGAUGAUUACAAGUUAACCUUUUGAUAUGAACAAUUGUGGUACUCUAACGUGUUUUUCUGAGUGUGCUAUUUACAGGCUCUGACCUCAACUCAAUCUCACACAAAUCAGAAGCACUGUGUAUAAAGGGUAACCCAAGCAACGCUUUCGCAUUCACCAUGUUCAGUAUGAACAGUGGAAAAGCUUCAGAAGUUCUGAAGCUAUACAAACUCUGAUGAGGACUCAGUCGCUAGAAGCUCUGAAGAUCCAGAAGUUCUGAUAGCCAAGAAACACUGAAGGUUCAGAUGUUCUGAUGGUGUAGAAGACUUUGAAGAUCCAGAAGCUGAAUAGUGGAAACUCUGAAGUCCAGAAGCAAGAAACUCUGAAGGCCAUGUUCUUCCCUCUGAGUUCAGAAUCAGAAGAUACAAUGGUCAGAGGAUCUGUGCUUUCCCUCUGACUCUGAUCAACCGGCUUCACAAGUUCCAAUAUGAAGUAUUCCCCUGAUCAGAAGUCUCCUAGGUUAAAAGGUCAAGUCGCUAUCCAAGUACAAAAGCAAGUGUACCUUCCUGACGACCUACCUAACGUUCUCAGCCACAGCAGAAGCUGGAUUUUCCAGAACUGCCCUCCAACGGUAGCAUUUCCCAUGCAACGCUCAACCAUAAUCCUUGGAGUAUAUAUAGAGGCUGAAGAUUGAAAGAAGCGGCUAGAAUAGCAAAAACAACACACACACACAAGACAUAUUCAAAAUAUUCUAAGCUUUCUUUCAUCUGAAAUUCAUUGUGUUUACUAUCAGCUUUUUAGAAGCAAAUCUCUUGUAAACAAUUCUUUGAUAAACAGUUUGUUUAGUUCCUUUAGGAGAUCAAGGUUGAUCGGAUCCUAGAGAAGACUAAGAGAGUGAAUCUUAGUGUGAGCUAAGUCAGUGUAAUUGUUAGUCACUUGUAGGUUUCAAGUGCAGUUGUAACUCUUACCUGAUUAGUGGAUUGCCUUCAUUCUAAGAAGGAAGAAAUCACCUUAACGGGUGGACUGGAGUAGCUUGAGUGAUUUAUCAAGUGAACCAGGAUAAAAUCCUUGUGUGCUUUUCUAUCUCUUAUCUUUAGCACUUAAGUUCUCGAAAGAUUUGUCAAAAUCUUUAAGGUGGUAGUUUUGUACUGAAAACGUUAUUCAAACCCCCCCUUUCUACCGUUUUUCAUACCUUCAACGUAUUGUUCCAUAUUUGGGAUAGCUGAGACAAAUGAGAUACGUUCUACUUUACAUGUGACUUCAGGUGGGUUUGUAGGAGAAGAUAAGUGGAUGACCGUUCCUAAUAUGGAAUACAUUAUAUCCAUAGCUUAUAAAGUGGUGUUCAUGACCCUUGGUGUUAGUGGAUGUAACACUUUCUUUUCGUUGAGAGGAAGUCCUGACCCACUGGCACUCCACAAACGCAUGACAGUUGCAUUUGUUAACAAAAAUCACUUUAUAGGGGUAUUUGACUCUUACUGUAUUGUUGUCUUUUUAAGUAUAUCUAUAUUUAUGAUGUUCUAAGAUGCUUAAUUUCCCAAUGCAGGUUGUUCUUCGUGAUGGGCACCCAAUGCCGCUCACUGCUCACAUGUGGGCAUAUAAGCGCAGGGACGAGGCCAAGGAAUGGGUUGAACCCUAUUCUGAUCGAAUUGAAGCUUAUAGUGCAUAUUUUACCGCUAAGCAUGGUGGUGGUGAUCAAUCUGUAAUAGACCAUACUGAGGAUUAAUAAUUGUUGUAAUGUGAUAGUCUUCAGUGAAUUUAUAAGCAUUCUAAAUUACGUGAUUUGUCUAAACCGCUUUCAUGACUAUAUACAUGUUCGUGUUUAUGUUUGAUCCAUAUACAGUUCAAGAUCCAUAAACAUAAACACAACUAGCAAAGUCCAACAACAUAAUAAAAAUAAGGAACAAUGUCAAACAACAUAAACCACAAUGUCCAACAACAUAAACAACAUAAAGCAUCAUGUCAAUCAACAUAAACAACAUAAACCACAAUGUCCAACAACAUAAACACAAGCAUCACUCAUAAUCCGCUGAAGUCCCAACCCGCUAGCAUUCCUCCUCUUUCUCCGUUGUCGUGGCUCUUCCGGUCCCUGCAGUGCAUUUUGAAUAAUGGAAUGUAUAUUCUGAACUACAUCCCACAUGGUUGUGCCCUCUGCGGGUGACCCAACAGUCUCUGGAUCAACAUCAGCAGUAGAGUAUGUCGACAACAAAGCAAACUGACCCCGUAAGAUUCCAAGAAAGUGUCAAUAUUCGCCAGGUAAUAUUCCAAGAAAGUGUCAAAUACCCUGUAUAUACAUGCACAAGGUUAAGUUUGACCAACCUCAAGAAAUGACCAACGGUCAACUCUCAACUCCUCAGGAAUCAGGAAAGGAUGUGAGUGUUGUUUGUACCAGUCAUUGUACUCAUCAACACACUCGUGCGGGUAAGCAACAUAGGAUCCUCUAAUAGUAUGGUUCGGCCAAUCCAUCCACCUAGCAUCACAUUCCUCACAUGAAACUAUCGCUAGAGGGUCUCGAGGCUUGGUCUGCAAAAUCCCAAACUUCCUGGUUACAUGCUCAGGUAGGUAUGGAUAACCUGAGAUGCUGAACCUGAUGAAUCCACUAUACAGUGAGACAUGUGCAGAUGGACGAUGAACAUAAUGGCCCACAUAAGGCCUCCAAUUCACUCCACCACCAGGAAAGUUAUCAAGAUUAAGCCUCUUCUGCUCCACUUUAUUUGUCCCCCUGCAUGCCAACCACCUCCUAGCCACAGACAUAUCAUCUGUGUAUUUAGGGAACUCCUGCCUCUCAAACAACGACCCAGGAAAGCGUGCAUAUACCCACACCUGCAACUCUAAGAUGUUAGUAUAAAAAUACAAAAAAUACAAAUGAACUUAGCAACAAAUAAGUCAAAUACUAACCUGUAACAAAGUCAAAUACCCAGCAAUUGUCCUUCCAGUCUUUUAGCAAGCCUCCCCUAACUGACCAUACAUAUAUGCCAACCCGGGCGCACCCGUAGCAUACUGACCAGCCAAGCUAAGAUCCCUGAAAAGCUGAAGAUACGCAACACUAACACACAUGUUACUCUUAUCACAAAAAAGAGUCAUGCCAACCAAGCGUAACAUGUAAGCUCGAGCUGCUUCUGUCCAUUUCUGAUCCUUCACAUGGUCCUCCACAAGUUCAAGAAGCCAAGCAUACCGAAGACUAGGACCUCUACAUUUCCGAAACUCAGCCUUAGUCGGCUUGCCCAAUGAGAAAAAGGACCCUUGCACAGGAAUGUGCAAUAGAGCUGAGACGUCAUCCAGAGUGAUCGUCAUCUCGCCCCACGACAUAUGAAAUGAGGACGUCUCUGGCAUCCAUCGCUCAACAAAGGAAGUCACGAUGCUAAGGUCAACUGAGCCGCCACUAGUACAAUACACAAGGUUUAUUAACCCUGCAUCCGCCACAAGUUUCUUCACAUGUCUAGAGUAGAACUUUACAGGCUUGAAGUGUCUGCCAUGAUGAUAGAUCUUCAAUGGGGCCCUACAUUGGAAGCCAUCUCAGAUGUUUGACUUCCAGAUGUCAUGUGCUAUGUGUUGUCCAAACUUAGGCAACAGAGACAAGUUAGGGACCUCCAGGAUACUACACACACUCCGUUCCAUCUCCAUCCUUAGACUCUCCAUCCUGCUCGCCAUCAGGACCAUCAACAUCCUCAGACUCUCUAUCCUGCUCAUCAUCAGGAACAUCAUCAUAAGAACCCAUCUCAUUAUCAUUCUCAUCCUCUGAACCAGCAUAAUCUCCAUGAGCACUCUCAAUAUGAGCAUUCACCGCUCCUAGUGUGGUGCAUUAACAACAAACCCUCCUCAACUUCAUCUCCCAUACCCUGAGUCGCCUGACGAUUUCGGCGAGCAGAAGCAUGAGUUCUCGAACGGUCCCGUGGAGGAUGAGGAGGUCGUGAAGCAUCUCCCACAAUGCGGGAUGUUUGUUCUGUCCUCGCCAUGCCUGUGUUAACAAAGCAAAUCAAUGUUAUUUCUUUAAUUACAAAACAAACCCAACAAAUCCUACAAACUCUGUUACCACAAUUUAGAUCACGGACACUACCGCAAUCAUAAUUGAGCAAACAACCACAAUCAAAAUCGAGGAAACAUCCGCAAUCAAAAUUGCGGACACUACCGCAAUCAGAAUUGCGGACACUACCGCGAUCAUAAUUGCAGGCACUUCCGCUAUCAAAAUUACGGGCACUAUUAGUGGCAUCACAGUAACGAUAACAAGAUUGUAAACCUACAUAACUACCUCAAAUCAGAGAGAGGAUCAACAGGCAUGCAGUUGGGAUAAAUAAUGGCUCGAAAAUUAGACAAGGAAAAGGAGAAUGGGACUUACCAGAGAAAUCAGGAUUAGGUUUAGGUUUCCCUCCUGGCCUUCCCUCUUCAUUCUUCUUCCUUUGCUUGUUCUUCCUCCUCCUUCGUUCUUCCCUUCUUUCUUUGCCCGAGAAAAUGAAACGUGACUGAGAGAGGGAGAUGGUGGGAAAAAUGGAGCCGUUUGGACGAGAGAGGGAGAACGUCCGGUAGGUAUCAUGAAUGAGAGAGGGAUAUGGUGGGGGAAGUAGGUUUUUUUUCUUUAAUUGAAUCAGUAUUUUUUUUUAAUUGGGGGUAUAAUUAUAUUUUUGCUCAAAAGGGGAUGAUGUGGAUAGUAAAGGGGGAUGGUACAAAUAGUUUCAGCCAAUAUAUGUUGGGGCUUGGGGUGAUGUUGAGUUUUAAUCGUGCAUUCAAUUACAUCUCUUUAUUUUUCAAUUUAAAUAUGUUUCAAAUUUCAUUUUGACAUGAUAAAUUAAUGAUUAUAAAUUUUCGAUGUUAAUAAAGUAUUCUUUUAACAUAUAGACUUAAAACUAAUUUCUUAUUUUAGUUCAGCACACUAAAUAGUUAGAGAAUCAUCAAUAACUUUUUUUUUAUUCACAAGAUAUUAAAAAUCGAACAUUAAAAUACUAUCUCAUCUCAUUUGGUCAGUGAUGAAUUCUAAACAGAUAAUUAUGGAAAAAAAAAUUCACACACAUACAUAUAUAUUAAACUCUAAAAUAAAAUUAUAAGACAUAUGGUGAUCAUUCAGCCGCAAUACCUUUCUUUUUUUAGUUUAUCUUAAUUUUGAAAACUAUAUUUAUUCAUUCGAGCUUCCUCUAAGUUCUCGUUAAAAAAAAUAUUCCUCUAAGUUCAUGCUCCACUAGCCGCAUAUUUCUUACCUCUCACGCUAGCGUUUUGUUUUGUCUUUUUAUUUGGGGUUAAUCAUUAAAUUGACCCCUAUCUUUAACAUUGCGCAUUGCCAUAACAUUUAGAGUUUUUCCCCGUUGUACACAUGGGUGGGAAGAUAAGAUAUAGUAUCAUUAUAGGUAAUUUUCUGUUUGGAGAAAGUAAUAUAUAUGGCUUAAAUUUGAAUACAACUUAGGAUAACCCAAACAUAAUUCCAUAGCCUUUUCAUUAACUUCAAAUGCAAUACACUUCAAUUGGAGGUACCAAGACCACUCCAUUACACAUUAACAUCUUACAAAAAGGUUCUCUAACUAAUUGGCAAGUUAACCUCAACAUCUCACAAAGCACCCUAUUGUGACCAUCAAUGACAAAAAAGCAAAUGCCAAGUUCUUUUGGACCCUCUCUGCAUCCAUCUUGUUCUUAAUCUUCAUCUUGUUUUUAAGAUCUACAACCUAUUGAAGAGAGUUGGAAGCAUUGAUAGUCUUAGAAUUGGAAGUAUCGGGUUCACCUUCUGCAUCCCUAAUAUUUCCAGCUUCAUCAAUCCAAAAAAAGAAGUCACAAGUUCCUGGCAAUUGAAUUAAACAGAUCAAGGUAAAAACACAUGACAAAAGAAAUUCAACUGAUAAUUCAAGAACAUUAGACAUUGAUGAACUUACUUGCCAAUUUCUGCACCUCAAAAACCUCCUACCUGGGUUGUCAUCUGUCCCAGAAGUGUACAGUAAGAGAGGGAGACCACAUUUACACUUUGUUCUAGGACCUGCAGACCUUGGACCUGCAUACCUAGCACCAGACCUUUGACCAGCGGGUUGGAACCAUCACUCCUCGACUGAACGCGAGACGAUGAAGCAGAAGACCUAUCCAUACUCAAACCAGAACCUCAAUUGCAGGAGAGGGAAGGAGAAACUCGAUUGCAGGAAGGAAGGAGAAGAAGUAAGGUAUCAUGAUUUUACAGGGGAAGGAGAACAUACGCUUACGAGAUUGGUUCUUGAGUUUCUAAUUGAGUUUUCUAAUUUGGGGAAAAAAGGGUUUGGUUUUUGGGUUGGGAGGGGAUCUGAUGUGUUUAAUGAAUUAAGGAUUUGAUUUUGGGUUUUAGUUUGAUUUGGGGUAGGAUUUAGUAUUAAAGGUUUCUUUGGGGUAAAAAAAUAAAAGGUUUUUCAAAUUAAAAAAAUUAAAUGCCACGUAUUGACUCAUUAAUCUAGCCAUACGUCAACGUCAGUGAUAAGUGCCAGGUUUACGUAUAUUCUGAUAUCUUUUUUCGGCACUUAUUUGACUUGUAUGCUUGAAUUAGUAAUCGUUUCAUCUCCUAAUCGAUUAAUUUGAUAUACAUAGUUUUAGGAUAUAUAUUAUAUAAAAAUCAUAUUUAAUCCCAUAAUUUUGAUGUAGGAUGGAAGCUUAAAGAAAAUCAAGGAAAUUCAAGUCAUUUCACUAGGGGGAUCAUGUAGAAAAUGAAGAUUCAAGGAAGAGGGCAAGUUUUGGCAAGAAAAAGGGACUUUGAAGAUGUACAGGGCGCCCAACGGGUUGCAGAGGCCGCCCAGCGCCCAUGGCGGUUCCAGAAACCUUCCUUUGAAGUAAUUGGCCGCUCAGUAGCCAAAAAGGGGUGCUCAACGCUCUGGCACUCGACAACACACUAUAAAAAUGUCAUUUUCAUAUUUAGACAGAAAUAACUUUAUCAGAACUUCGACCCAUCAAAAAGAAACACUAGAGAAACAAGGAGGGAGGAUUAGGAGGCUAGAAAAGAGGCUUGGGCAUCGGAUUCGGCGGCGAGACAUCGCGACAGUUUCGAUUCGUCUCAUUCUUCUUCUCUAUUUGUAAAGCUAUCCAUGAAAAUGGAUAACUAAUCUCUCUUUUGUUGGGAUUUGAUGUAGUUGUAUGAUACUUAUGCUCUCUAUGUGAUUCUCUUUUAUAUAAAGCAUGUUUCUUGUUUAUGGUUUAAUGGUUUUCUCUUGAUCUUCAUGCUAUAUCUUAGAUUGAUCACCUAGGAUAUUUUGCUUGAUUCAACUUGUGAGAGAAAGCUACAACGUUUUGAGUCCGAACUAGAGUUAAUCACCUAAUAAUCCUAAUUGCUAGACAUAGAGUUAGGUAUGUUAAUCAGUUAAACACCUAAACUUCAUGAUAACUAUCUUUCUUAAUCAUGUGAGACAUCAAUGGUUAGAAUUAGAUAGUUAUUGUUAUCCACUCAUGCGAGACAUCGAUGAAGUAGGGUUGAACUGGUCUAGAUGAAUCAUAUUCUUAGGCUUGGUUUGUAUUUGAAUCACUAGAACGUACAAAGGUCAUUCAAUGAAAUCUAAUUCCAACAAUUCCUCAUACUUAUUGUUUCUCCGUUAGUUUAUUUUCUUUUCAUUUAUUUUCAUGCUCUUAAACAAACAAUCAAACUAUUGUGCAACCAUCAUUUAAGAUUGACAACUAUUGAAUGACAUAAGUAUUACACAUCUCUGUGGAUACGACAAAACCCUUUAUUAUACUACAAUUGAGUCUUAAGAUAUUCAAACGUAGAGUGGUAAAAAAUCUUUCAUCAGUCAGCACCGGGGAGCCAGUCAUCAAGCUUGCCUAAGCUCUGCCCUCCGGUGAGGACUCAACACAAACAUGCUGCAAUCGGAGGGAUCAUAUGCACAAUUUUAUCCCGGGAGGGACCAAUCUCAAACGGCCUUACAAAGACAGGGACCAAUUUGAUGAUUAGCCCUUUUAUUUUUACCAAUUGUCGUUUAAGUGAUGUUUUGGGUUUCAUAAUGCCCUUUGGUCGAGCUUAGUGAAUUGUUUUAGCUAUCAUUAUUUCACACAUUUUUUAGUCUCAAGGGGAUUAGCUUCAUAGCUACCGUCAACUUUGAAGAUACCUUUAAAAAACUGAAUAAAUAAAUAAUCCACAAAAUCCAAAUGAGGUUGUCUUGGGGAUUAAAAUCUUAUGUUUCAUCUCUCUAUCAACAACCUCUAUCCCACCAAUUAUAGAGUGACAUGUCAUUAAGAAAUUUAAACUCAUUUUUCCAUCAAAAUUAAUUGGGGUUAACACCAUUAGACAUCGUGAGUUGGUAACCAUCUCUCAUUCUGAUUCUCAUUCCCGUUUCUGUUCCUAUUACCUCAUCUUCUCCAUUAUCGAUCAAUCGCAACCAACUGCAUUGACCCAAAUGGCACCACCACCUGCACACGCACCUCCUUCUCCAACACCCAUGAUCAUUCACUUUCCUCGUCAAAUACCUUCUUUCGACAACUCCGUCUCCACCACCUGAAGGGAGCUUCAAUGGAACAAGUUGGAGACUUCGUUUGAUCGACAAAAGCAAGUACUUGAUCAAAGUGUUAAGAUAUUGAAGUGGAAGAUUCAGGCGGAGAUGUUGAGGGCAGAGUGUAACUUGUUGAGUCGGUUUUGCUCGAUUGACAACUUGUGCUCCCUUUCUACCAAAAGUUUCUCAACCACAUUGUCACUCAAAGCUCAAAGUCGAUGUCCAUCGGGUCGAUCUCUAACUUUGGUGCUCAAUCUCAAACACCGGUGCUCGGUCUUAUCUAUGGUAAUGUUUGGCCCGAUCACGAUUAUGCCAAAAAUGUGAAAUAGCAUUUAGAUAAGGCCCUAAUAUAUGGGGGCUCCUAAGUCAAAUAACUUGGUUCUUAGACUUAAUGGACAUGGGAUUGUCAUGGAGAUAGGGGAACAAGGACGAACACCUCAUAAGCAUAUUGAAUGCGGAGAGGGUCCCUUGUGUAGGUAUUUGGGACACAGGGGGAGUCCAAAUCACCAAUGAGAAUCAGACAUCAUGUCUUAACCCAAAAUCUUAAGGCAUUGGUUUUACGAGUCAUAUCGCUUAUAAAGUUUUCACCUCACUUAUUAUUAACCAAUGCGGGACUCCAAACUCACACUUGAAUGCUCAACACAUUCUCCCCCUUUUUUUGCUACAUCGGAAAAUAACACAUUCUUCCCCUUAAGUGUGAGUCAUCGCCACAUUACUAUGUUCCACUUCCCCCUCAGCAGAAGCUAUUCACACUUGUUGGGAAGACAAGGAGCCCAUGAGCCAACAUAGAAUUUUAGGUAAAAUUUACCCAAAAUCUUAAAAUUUAAUUUUAGGUAAACAAGUGGUGUUCAAAUCUCUUAUUGGUCUUCGAUGUUGUCCAUUUGGUGUUUUGGACCCGUCUCCUCAAAAAUUGGUUCAUGAUCUCUUCCCUUUUAAUUUAUUUGGAAUGUGUUAAUUAUGAUUAGGAUGUUUAUGAUUUUUGGCUAAACAAUUUGCUUAAGAUUAUGAUAUAAUUGGUGAUUUGAAACUCGAUCAGUUUUGUUGUUUUAUAUAUUUAGUAUCAUCACUAAUUGGUAUUUUCUCUUUAUUUUUAUUCAAUUUAUUCUAUAUUUCAGACUGGUCGCUGGUAGUGAUUAGUUUGCUCUUAGUGAAAAGGUUAAUUUAAUGGAACCGAUAGUGAUCGAGUAGAUAGGAAGGUCACUCUUAACUCACCUUUGAUGUGGGUGUUAGGACUAGACUUUCUAAUAUUUCUGAUUCAUAUAGGAUGCAGCGCGCAGACUGUAGCAGACCAUGCAUGAUACAUUCCCUCUCCUUGUUAAUUUGUUUUCUUUUAAUUUCCGCAUGCUUGAAACCAACCUUUUCUAAGCAAACACUUGAUUCUCCUAGACAAUAUAAUGAAUAAUAUCUUAAAAUUAAAUAUUUAUGUCGAUUGUUGUUGUACGAUAAUUGUGAUUUAUUCAUAUAUUACUUUUGUAAUAGAUGAAACUUACUCUUUGCAUGUGAAUUUAAAAUGUAAUUUUUUUCUAUUUCUCUUUACAUUUCUUAUCAUAUCAUUUAUUAAUUAUAUCACUAAUUUUCCUAUCUUCACUUGUCAUGCAUGAUUAAUUAUUUUUAUCUCUGGGUUUUAUAAUUUUUUUCAUUUUGAAACAAUCAAUAAUAUAUACAAAAAGGGUAAAAGUAAUUUAAUUAUAAAACUCCUUUUAUCCUCUGGUGAACCAACAAGCAAAUAACCCUCCACUCUCAUUACUCUCUUAAACAAACGAGAUAGCUAAUUAAAAACUUUCUCAUUCUCCCUUCUCCUCUCUUUUGAACCAAAGAGACCCUAAUAAACAUGAAGCAAUUGUUUCUCUACACUACUCUUAUCUUCUUCUACUGUUUUUCUUUUUUCGGUUCAGAAUUACCCACUCUGUUUAGUACGUAUGGAGCACUAACAAAAUGAGGAUUGGUAAGCCUAGCAUUUAUGGUAAUGAGGAUUGCCCACUCUGUUUGGACCACAAACUAAGAAUACAACGAAAGACGUGGCUAUGGUUUGAUAGAAAUGUCCUCGUAGUCGUAUGAAACUUCGUUUCCUACUUUCAUUUCAGCAGUUUUUUUUUUGUGAAACACAUUUCAGCAGUUCACUUCAACGUGAUUCACACAUUCACUCCAAUAAUAAGUCUAGCGUCACGUUAUCGGUGACCUCUAAUAUACACCACUUUUAGAGUGUUGCAAUUUUACACCACUUUUUUUAACCUAUUAUAACAGGUCAACACAUCUUUUUUUUAAAGAAAUUUAAUACAUAACAAAUUUUUAAUUAUAUUUUUUUAAAAAAAAUUAAUGUGUUAACCUGUUAUAACCGGUCAAAGUAAGUGGUGUAAAAUUGUACCACUUUUAAAGUGGUGCAUAUUAGGGAGACCCCACAUUAUUAUCAAUAUCAUUUUAUCAUGCGGACCGGAUAGAUUGAAAAAAUGUACCGUUUUCCUUGGAUACAUAAAUCUUCAAUUAAAAUAUGCUAUCUUAGCUGAUGAUUAAUUUAAAUGAUUCAUAUUUCAUUAAUUCUUCAUAAGCACAAUCUGGAGUUUGAGUUUUUCAUGAGAAAAAUUCAGGAGUGCUAGCCCCAAUGUGAGUGUUCUUGCCUUAAACAGAAUAUCUCCGAUUGUUAUGUAUAGUUAGUUAUUUAUAUUUUUAUCCGCCCCUUUGUUAUGCUUUUUGAGCUUUCCUUGGGCUGUGAAAGGGUUGUACGUCCAUCAGCCGGUUUCAGUCGAACUCGGGACAAAAUAGUCAGUUUAUUGGGUGAGAAACAUCAAAACGCCAGACCUGCCACCGAUCGAUUUGUGGCUACGGGUUGUUCAGGUUCGAUUUGCACGGGUUACGGUUUGGUCGGGUGGGUUCAUACAAUUGUUAAUCCAUAAAAAUUUUAUAAAAAAAAAGAAGAAGACGACACCACAAAGUUGGCUCCCCCUUAACGAUGCUCGACAGUGGCAUAUAAUGAAACUCAUCUACUUGGAUAGAUGUCACUCAUCCGAAUGAUGGAACUUAGACAAGACCAUACUAGCCUUCACCCAUUCAAAUUUAUGAUUGUUAAAGAGAAGUGAAAAGUUAGAGGGAGGAGGCAAGUCAGACAACAAAGUUAACAGUGGAGUAAUGUGAAGUUGUGAACCAUUUAGGUGGGAGGGAAGAGAUGUCAAUUGGUCGGACUCGGGCUAUAAUAGUCGGUUUUAUCGGGUUAAAAACAUCAAAACACUAGAUCCGCCACCGACCGAUUAGUGACUACGGGUUGUUUGGAGUCGGUUUCUCGGGUUACGGUUUUAUCGAGUGAAUCGAGUUUUGGUAGGUAGUGAUAUUUUGGACAACCUACUUAAUGCUCCUCACCCGAGGAUCUAACUUGUUUUCUUAGUAGCUUUAGAAAGGAAAACGCUAGCUCAUCGAUUAGUUCACUUGCUUGCCUCUGUCGUAUUUAGUCUUCACCCGAUGAUCUCACUUGUUUGAGUAAACUCAUUUCUAAAUUAAGGAAACCGAUACCAAAUCUCAUAUCAAAAGCAAAAACCGACAAGAUGUGAUUAAUUGAUAUAAUGUGAUUGAAAAAUGGAAUAGAAAUAGAAGAAUGGAAAAUGAUAUGUUCACACCUCAUUUUUAAUACACCUCACUUCCACCUAUUUUUAUUUUCUCUUUCAUUCUAUCAUCUAUCAUUGCUUCUAAUUUUUUUUAUCAUUUAUCACAUCUCAUACUUUCUCUUUCUUACUUUUUCUUUUCUUUCUAUUUAUUUCCUUCUUCCACCUCUCUCCACCUCAAAGAGAGGUGUGAAGAUAACAUUAUUCAGAGAAGAAUAGAGGGGUUGAAAGCAAAAUAAUAGAGAAAAAUGAGUGUAUAGUGAUCUUCUUUUGUUCAACAAAUCAAACCAUUACUUAUUUCACGUGGGAUUUGCGAGGAAAAUAACCGUGAAAAAUGUUUUUUUAGAUGAAAGCAUGAAACAAAAAAAGGAGAACACGGAAUUUCCUUUUUAAUAAGUAGCUAUUUUUGUUUCUGGUCCACAAGUACUAGGUUAUAUGUCACAUCUAUAUAUAUGGGUUAUGAUUAAACGCAUAGAAGCACGAAAGCAAAAAAGCCAGAGAAAGAGUGAAGCAAAUACAAUAACGAGAAUGGAAGUUACACAGGUUCUACACAUGAAUGGAGGCGUUGGAGAAGCAAGUUAUGCAAACAACUCCUUAGUUCAGGUAUAUAUGUUAAUCAAAUAAUGAUAUAAGCAUAUUACGUAAUGUUUUUGGGUUCAUAAGCAUGUUACCCAUAAUCACUUAUUUGAUGGUACGUAAUGUGCUUAGCUGAAAUUAUUAAAGUAAAAUCAACAUGUAUUAGAUUUAGAGCAUGUUUGAUUUCAUAUUAGUUGAAAGUGUUAGAAUUGAUUUUCCACUUUCACAAUUGAUUCUACCUCCAAAUCAAUUAUGGAUAAAAUUACAAAUUCUAACUUUUGUGUGUACAUGCAUGUCAAUUGUAAGAUGGGGCUCUCUAGCGUCCAUCACCCGAUGUGGUUUAUGUAAAUUCUGCCAUAAAUUGCUGUGAAUUAGUUGUGAGAAUAACAAAUUUAUAAUUAUUUAACAACUAAUUGAUACCUAUUUUAUAACUAUUUUUUGAAGUUACAAACCUUAUCUCAUAUGAUUACAAUUUUUGUAUUUAUAAACUAUAAGCGGUAUACUAAUACACCACCCAAACAUGUGGUGGACAUUAUACAAAGCCAUCCAAAAUAAAUCAUUUUCCUUUUAACUCAUAUUUAUGAUAAUCAAUUUUAUCAAAAACUAAUUCUUUCAUGGACCAAUUAUGAUCAUAAUGACAACACUUAUUCAAAGCAUUUAUUAAGUAAUUGUUCUCAAUUAAUUUGAUGUCAUUGGUCAUACAGCAAAAGGUGAUUUCUUUGACAAAGCCUAUAAGAGAAGAAGCUAUAACCAGCCUUUAUCGUAGCACAUUCCCAAGAAGCCUUGCAAUUGCAGACAUGGGUUGUUCUUCAGGACCAAACACUCUGUUUGUGGUUUCAGAAACUAUCAAGGUUGUGGAAAAGCUUUGCCAAGAGCUGAACCUUAAAUCUCCGGAAUACAAGGUGUUUUUGAAUGAUCUUCCUGGAAAUGAUUUCAACAACAUCUUUAAGUCCCUUGACAACUUCAAAGAGAAACUAAGUGAUGAAGUGGAAUCUAGGAUAAUUGGUCCAUGCUACUUCUAUGGGGUUCCUGGUUCUUUCUAUGGCAGGGUUUUUCCUAAUCAAAGUCUGCAUUUUGUCCAUUCCUCUUACAGCCUUCAUUGGCUAUCUAAGGUAUGUCUAAUCUAUAGAGGAAUUGUAUAUUAUGAGAAGAUGAGCGCACACAUUCUUUUAAAGACACACUCCAACACAUUUAUUGUGAUUGGUUUAUUAUUUGAAAAAUUCAACACAUUUAUCUCACUUCUAAAACAAUUUGUUGACUUUUCAAUAAAUAAACCAAUCGUAAGAAGUGUGUUGGAGUGUAUUCUUAAAAGAGUGUGUUACUAUAACAUUUCUCAUAAUGAGAAAUGUGGUGUUAUAUGAUAAUGAUAGAAAUAAAUAAUAACCGUUAGAUCUAAUCAUGAUUAAUAUCAUGAUCAAAAGUUAACUAAUGGUUACAUGAUCACUUAAAAUUUUUAUGUGACUUUGACUUAGUAUUUUAAUCUUAAUUAGUUAAUAUUAGAUCUAACGAUCAUAAUUUAUUUCUACCAUUAUACUUAUAGAGCACAUUUUUUUCAUAAGAUUCAUCUCCUAAAUUCACAAUUAGUAAUAAUUGAAUGUAAAUAAUUUAUGUUCUAUGAAUUAGGUUCCUGAGGCAGUAGACAACAAUAAGGGCAAUAUUUACAUAUCCAGCACAAGCCCCUCAAAUGUUGUAAAGGCUUACUACAAGCAGUUCCAAGGAGAUUUCUCUGUUUUUCUCAAGUGCCGUGCCGAGGAACUAGUUGAAGGGGGUCAUAUGGUCCUAACAUUCUUGGGAAGAAGGAGUGACAAUCCAUGUAGCAAAGAGUGUUGCUACAUUUGGGAACUUUUGGCUACAGCUCUUAAUGAUAUGGUCAUGCAGGUAGAUCCCAAAUAAUUGGAACAAAUUUACUACAGCCGUUGGUUCCUACAGUCAAGUUUUGUAUUUUCAAAAGUUUUUAUGAAUUUUAGAUUUAUGUUUAUUUUUAUUCACAAUCUAUUGUUAGAGAAAUAAUAUAUAAUCAUUCAUGUGACCCUUACGCAACAACUUAUGUUUUUGGGAUAAUUAGUUGUUUGACAUGAUAUCAGAGUCUCUAUGACCAAGCGUCCAGAGUUCGAUUCUUGCCGCAUCUAAUUCUUAUAAUAAAAAGUUGAAUUUAAGAACAUAGGUGGGCUGUGCAUUUAUCCACGCUUCAAGCUCAAAGGGCUUUUGCGUGAAGGGGCGUGUUAGAGAAAAAUAAAAAAUCAUUCAUGUGGUCAUUACCCAGCUGCUUAAGCUUUUGGGAUAAUUUGUUGCUUGACACCCAGUACCUGAUAUGAACUAAUCUGAAUAUUAUCUGUUCGGUUCAGAUUCGGUUUCGAAAAAAAAAACUGUGAAAUUCAAUCCAAACCAACCCUAACACUAUUAAUUGGUUCAGAUUCAGAUUUGAUCAGGAACUGAUCCAAACUGAGACGUAUGUGCACCAGUACUAAACAAACUAGCUGGUAGUAUAUACCUUUUAAUAUAUAAAUAAAUUUGACAAGAUUAAUCUGAAUAACAUUUUUAUAUGCUAUAGGGAAUUAUAAAGGAAGACCAAGUGACUACUUUCAACAUCCCUCUUUAUACUCCAUCUUCAUUAGAAGUGAAAUUGGAAGUUCUUAAAGAAGGAUCAUUCGCCAUCAAUCGCUUGGAGGUGUCAGAAGUGAAUUGGAACGCUAUGGAUGAACGGAAUGCCUUUGAAUUUGAAUCUGAAAUGAAUGAAUCACUGAGUGAUGCUGGAUACAAUGUUGCUCAGUCUGUGAGGGCUGUGGCUGAACCUAUGCUUGUUAAUCACUUUGGUGAAGCUAUCAUUGAAAAUGUUUUUAGUCGCUACCAAGAAAUCUUGGAUGAUAGGAUGUCUAAGGAGAAAACUAAAUUUGUCAAUGUUACUAUAUUGUUGACAAGGAAAGGAUGAGGAGAAGAAGCCUGCGCAAUCUAUGAUUCAUAUUUGUGGUUUUGUCAUAAAGAUUUUCUUAAUUGUUGUGUUGGUUUGUUUGGUUUAACUUUAGAUUGUAAUCAGGCAGGAAAUCUUAUGCUAAGGAAAAAUAAAGACAAAACUAGGAGUAUUUUGUUGGGUCAUGGCUAGUGAUAUUUGUUUUCAAUUGUGUAAUGAAAUUAUUUAAGUGUGGAUUAUAUAUGAUAAUUGUUCUAUUACUUCAUAGGUUUGGGUAAUGGAAUGGAAAUAUGAAAUCAUAAGGGUAGAAAAAAAAUGUUGCCAAAGGCAUCAUGUUUUGCAACAAAUACAAUAUUAGAUGAAAUCCCCCAAAAGAAAAGAAGCCCCAAUAUGUCUCGGACAAAUUACAAUGCUUUCUUUUAGCUAGAAACAAUAUGCUACUGCUACUAUUCUUCCUUUUAUCUUCUUAAUAGAUCAUAAUAAAUCUCUGGCUUUCUGUAGUCCGACAUGCAGAUAGGUUGAUAUCACAAAUAUACCACAACUUGUUAAGAACUUUGCAAAAUCACUAGUUAUAAUAUUGGAGAAAUUUGGGAACUGAAUUAGCACAAUCGAAAGUAUGGAAACCAAAAUCGGAUAAUAGUAAAAAUAGGAGACCAAAAGCAUAAUUAAAUGAAAAUUAUUCGAUUGAUAAUAGAAAUUGAUCAACAAUGUAGAAGCAGCUAUUAUAUAAAGGGAGGAAUUUUACCUGCAUUGCAUAUGCCAAGUGGAUCAAUGUUGCUUCAGACCAAUAGGCAAACCCAAUUUAUCACACCCAACCUGUGAAGUGUGAAACACACAUGUAAAUAGCAUCUAAAGUGUUGUGUAAAUUAACAUAUGGUGUAACUGAGAAAAUUUGAAUAUAACUCCACAUGAAUGGUGACAGUAGGAAGUCCUAGGAAGUUUCCUGCUAUGAAGUAACGAACGAGCGCAGCUGAAAUGAUACCAACAACUUUAGAAACAAAAUAAAAAUGCAGAGUUCAAUACUACAAUAAUGUCAUUAACCAAAUGAUUUUCUCAUGUACCUCCAUUGACAUAGUUAAGUUCACCGGUCUCCAAGGCAUCUUCUUGAAUUGGAUAUGCAGUCACACUGUCACAAAUAUCAUAAAUGUGUCACCUUAGACCAUUUACAAUGGUUUUCAACACUCAACACCACUUUUUCUUUUUCCAACACUCCACAUCAUCUUCUCUCUCCAAUUCAACACUCAUUCAACUUUUACCUACUCCAAUGGUUUUUCAUUCAACACCUUACCGCACCACUUUUUUAUUUCAUAUUUUUAUUCCAAGCCACUUUCUCUCUCCCCCAGCGACCAACCAAAACGUGCCACGCGUUCCCACCAUCAUUUGUUGCGCUGCCACUUUCUCUCUCCUCCCUUUUCAGAUUCAACUAUGUUGAGAAAACUCAACACCUCUCUCCUAUCUCCUCAACUUCAACACAACACUCAACACCAGUACACCACUCAUUUAACUCUCAACUACCUUCUCAACAUCACCAUUGCACAUGGUCUUAGACCAUUUACAAUGGUUUUCAACACUCAACACCACUUUUUCUUUUCCCAACACUCCACAUCAUCUUUUCUCUCCAAUUCAACACUCAUUCAACUUUUACCUACUCCAAUGGUUUUUCAUUCAACAUCCUACCCCACCACUUUUUUAUUUCAUAUUUUUAUUCCAAGCCAAUUUCUCUCUCCUCCAGCGACCAACCAAAACGUGUCACGCGUUCUCACCAUCAUUUGCUGCCACUUUCUCUCUCCUGCUGCCACUUUCUCUCUCCUCCCUUUUCAGAUUCAACUAUGUUGAGAAAACUCAACACCUCUCUCCUCUCUCCUCAACUUCAACACAACACUCAACACCACUACACCACUCAUUCAACUCUCAACUACCCUCUCAACAUCACCAUUGCACAUGGUCUUAGAGCAAACUGCUAUAGCUUCAAGAAAACCAUUUUGUGAAGUUUGAGAAAACUUGACAAACCCUAUUGUUGGUGAAGAAGUUAUGUUACCAACAACCAUGCUCCACCAUGUAUCUCUCUAUCUUGUGUUCAUGUCAAAUCACCGGGAGGCUAGGGUUCUGCCUCUUCCUCUCUCCGUCUUUCCAUCACCUCAAAAAAUGGAAUUAAUAAUUUAUUUGUUUUAUUCUGUUUUUUCCCAUACCUCAAAGGUUCAAAUGGUUUUCAAUCUUUAGACAAUUCUUAAGUCCAUUAAUAAAUGUUGUGGUCGGAUUUGAUCAAAUUAUGAUCAGCAUUUACAUACAACCAGUCAUAAUGCAUUUAUUUUUUCAGAAUUGUUAUUCAGACCCCCCCCACAGCUAUUUAGACCUCUGAAAAAGUGCAAAAUUACUUAAAUAUCCUUAAUGAAAAAAAUAUAAAAAAACCCCACCCCUCCUCAAAUUCUCUCUCCUUACCUCUUUCCUCUUACUCUCACCCACCACCACACACCACCACCACCACCCACAACCACCGCCACCCCUAUGGUCGCCGCCACCACUGCCGCCGCCACCACCACCACAAGCUCCAUCUUAUGUCGUUUUUGAAAAUUUUCAAUUGUUGGGAGUUGUUACUGUCGUUUUUAAUUUUUUUUUCUGCAAAUAAACGCACUUUAGAAGUGCGUUACGCAUGCACUUUUAAAGGGCGAAUUGCUGUAAAUUUGUACAUAACUGAUGUCAGAUGAUUUUUAAAAAUUAUGAGACUCCACAGUAAAUCAAGUUAGAAUAUUUGGAGAUUUAUGGUGGAAUAAAAAAUGUUUGAAAUUCAAAAUAAAAUACCAGAUGAAGGGAUUUGGCUAAAUUACACAAAUCUUAGCACCUUCAAAUAUGAUCGUUUGAUUUUUCUCUUCAACUUUGCAGUUUGUCGCCUGAGCAUCCGACACCAAAAACUGUCCACUUUUUCAAACCGCACUCCUCCUGAUUCUAAAGAGACUACUAUAAGGUGGCAGAAUUUGGAGAUUCUGACUGCAUAUUUGAGCUCAGAAUGGUCUUAUUACCUUAAUCAAGAAGUGUCAGUUCCAAAUUUCUUCCAGAAAUUAAACAGGAAAAAAAAAAUAAAUCAGUGCGUUUCGCUCGCACUGUGAAAGUGCGACCAAAACGCACGUUGAAAGUGCGUGAUGGACGCACCUUCCAAGUGCGUGAUGGACGCACUUUCCAAGUGGGGUUUGGUCGCACUUUCACAGUGCGUACGAAAUUUUUUUCAUAAAGGGUUUUUUUUCGGAUUUUACGAAUUUAAUAGGGUCUGAAUAGCUGUGGGGGGGUCUGAAUAACAAUUCACCAUUCCAAAACCCCCCAUUAACUACCCACUACUUCCCUCUUCUUUCCCAUUUCAUUUCAACAAAUCCCUCCAUCAAAACAUCCCCAAACCCCCCAAACCCUCCAUUUCAAUCUACAUUCAUCAUCAUCCUCUGCAUCCUCUGCUUCCUCAUCAUCAUUUUUCCGGGACUUAUUUAGAUUAAAAAAGAAAUUCAGGGAUCCCAAAUUGGAAUUUUUUUAGGGACUUAUUUUCAUACACCAUACAAUUUCAGGGACCUCCAGAGUAUUUAAGCCUUAAAAAAAUUAUGCGCUAAAAAAGUAUGAAGUCAUGGCAAUUGUUACAGUAGGUAAUUAAAUAAAGACUGUACUGGUACAAUUCAAAAUAGAGGUGAUAUAUAUCCAAGACAAGUGGUGAUCACUUAUUUUGUUUUUGGUACAUAAUGGGAAAGAAAACAGAAACAAGACAGAAAAAGAUUAGGCUAAAAAACAGUUUUGGCCCCUAAUGUUUCAAUUUUGUGCAGAUUACACCCCUACUCUUUUUUUGUCGUUGAAACUACCCUCCAUGUUAUCAAAAGGUCCACCGGUUACCCUUCUGUUAGUCUGACGUUAAUUCACUAACGGAGAAGCUGACCUGGUCUUUUAUUUUUAUUUUUAUGUAAUGCCAGGUGGAUUAAAAGAAUAAAAACAACAAAAAAAAAUUAAAAGAGGGACCACACGCCAGUCACGUGAUCUGAUGGGGGACUUAAACACCUUUUGGGGAUUUAGGGUUUCCCAAAUCCCUAGUCGACGACGAAAUCGAAGAAAAUAGAAAGGGGGAGAGAAAGAAGAAGGAGAACGAGCGAUUGUCAUCCCUGAAGCUUUGUGAGUGCCAUCGGUGGUCCCAAAUCGUCUUUCAACCCGACAUUGUCACAUGGCUGGUUGUGUGUCUCCAAAAUGUGGUGGUCGAGGACGAGGACGUAAAGGAAGGGGGAGCCCGAGGCAGAAGAAGGGGAAGAAUGUGGUCCCUGAGCAAGGCACAUGCGAAAAGCCAACAUAUGACCCUACCUUCUGGGGUGGGGAGAAAUUUCCAGACCAUUUCAGGUUUAAGUAAGUACCUUUUGAAGAUUCUUAGAUUCUUUAUCAUUUUUCUUUGGUUGUACGUGGUCCUGAUCUGUUUGUGGUUAUAAUUUAUUCGAUUAUUGCAUAAAGUGGGUUUAUUUUAUUCUGGGGGUGGGCAAGUCUUUGUCACUGCAUUUGUCUAUAUUUGUCAGUGAUGACUUUAUUGGCUUCAAUUUAUUAUUCCUUUACAUUGUUUACAUUAUUGGCUUUGUAGGCCCAUUAAUAGGAAUUUAGUAACAGUGCAUGUUUGACAUGGGGGCAAGUUUGUGUCAGAACCUGGACUGGAAUAUGUGAAGGGUACAUGCUUAAAUAUACCCAAAUGGGAUGUAGAUGAGAUAAAUUCCAUUGAUUUGGGUAAAGUUGUAAAAAGAUUGGGGUACGUGUCAUUUAAUGUAUGGUAUAGACACCAUGAGUUAGGACUUGAAAGUGGUUUUAAACCAUUCAGGGAUGAUGCAGAUGUGUUGACUUUUCUGAAUGAUGUAAAGGGGCAUAAUGUGAUAGAAUUUUAUGUUGAGCAUAUAAUAGAGGAACCACAACUUGAAGAUGAUAUUCCAUUGAUUGAUUACACACAAACUGAUGAUGGUCAGGGUUCUGUGAGGGCCUUAAUGAUGAGGCAGUUAAUGAUGUACAGGGUGGUCUUGGUGAGGGAGUUAAGGAUGCUGAGAUAAUUGGUGAAGUAGUUAAUGAUGCUGAGGAGGGUGAGGCAAAUGCUAAUGUACAAAAAAAUGCACAGGGGGUUAAGGAGGCUGAGGUAAUUGUAGAGGGUGAUUCUGGUGAGGGGGUUAAGGGGUCUGAGGUCAUUGUAGAGGAUGGUUCUGGUGAGGGGGUUGAGGAGGGUGAGGGAGAUAAGGACAGUGGGGGAGAUAAGGAUAGUGAGUUCAGUUUGGAUGAUAGUGACUUUGAUGAGAGAUGGGAAUGGUCCAAAGUCCUUCCACAAUUUGAUGAAGAUGGUUCAGUGGAUGAAGACCAAGAUGCUGCCAAGGAUAAAGCCUCAACUUGCUGUGAAGACUUUGCCAAUGAGGAUGGAUCCUCAGAUGACUUAGAGACACCACCAGAUAGUGGUGAUGAUGAAAAUGUUGUGCAGAAGAAAAAGUAUCCAAAUUUCAAACUUGGUCCAGAUGGUACAGAGGUGAAGUUUGAAAUUGGCCAGGUAUUAUUCUGAUUUUUCUUAAUCUGUGUUUUGUUAUUGAGGAUUCAUAAACUGGAUUUGUUUGUUGUUAUGUCUAACUAGUAUAACUUCAUUUUUUGUUGCAGAAAUUUGCUACCUCCAAACUCUUUAAAACAGCUAUUAAAGAGUAUGCUCUACAAAGGAAAAAGAAUGUGAUUGUAGAGAAGAGUGAUAGUAAAAGGGUUGUCAUUAAAUGUGAGGGCGAGUGUCCAUUUUAUUGCAGACUUUCGAAGUAUGAGCAAAACAACUUCUGGCAUAUUGUUUCCCUAGUUGAUGAGCACUCAUGCUAUAGGACCUCCAAGAAUCGCCAUGCUAAGCCUAAAUUACUUGCAAAGAAACUGCUACCAACCAUAAGGCACAAUCCUGGUAUGAAGUGUAAGUCAGUUGCUGCUGAAAGCCAACUUAGGUGGGGAGUAGUUAUCAAUAGAUUCCAAGCUUCCAGAAUUAGGACACAAGCCAAGGAGAUGAUUGAUGGGUUAAAGAAGGAUCAAAACAAACAUCUCAGGAGUUAUGCUGAUGAGCUACUAAGGAGUAACCCAAACAACACAGUUAUUAUCAAGGCUGAGAUGGGAGUGGAUGGCCCUGUUUUCCAAAGGAUGUAUAUUUGCUUUAAUGCUUGCAAAAUGGCUUUUGCACACCACUGCAGACCACUUAUUGGAUUGGAUGGGUGUUUCUUGAAGGGGGUUUAUGGUGGACAGCUGCUUACUACUGUUGGCAAGGAUGGGAACAACCAGAUGUUGCCAAUUGCCUUUGCAGUUGUUGAGUCUGAGGCAAGAGACUCUUGGGAGUGGUUUGUGUCACUGUUCCUGGAUGAUCUGAACUCACUAAGGUCAAGGAGGUGGUCAUUUAUUUCAGAUCAACAGAAGGUGGGUUAUUCCUCAACACGAAGCUUGUAUUGUAUUGUAUAUAUGUGAUUAAUGUAUGAGUGUUUUCAUUUCAGGGCUUGGUUCCCACAUUAGCUGCAUUGAGUGAAGAUGUGGACCAUAAAGUGUGUGUUAAGCAUGUCUAUGGAAAUUGGAGAAAGAAGUAUCCAGGAGAGGAGAUGAAAGGUGCAUUAUGGUCAGCUGGAAGAGCAUGUAAUGUGCCUCAGUUUGAUAGGGCAAUGAAAAAGCUGAAGGAGAUGAAUGAAGAAGCAUGGAAAGAUCUAUGUGCAAUACCUCCUAAGCAGUGGACAAAAGCCUAUUUAGUACUGAUUCACUCUGUGACCUUCAAGUGAACAACAUGUGCGAGGCUUUCAACAUGGAAAUUCUUGAGCAUAGGGAUAAACCUAUUAUAUCCCUCGUUGAAGGCAUCAAGUACUACAUCAGCUCCCGGAUUGUGAAGCAGAGGGAGUUAAUGUUGAGGUACAGGGGAAAUAUAUGCCCCAUGAUUCAGCAGAAACUGGAGGAUCACAAGAAGGUAGCAGAUGGUUGGGCACCACAUUGGAAUGGGGAUACACUUAAUUCCAAAUUUGAAGUGUCAAAUGGGACUUACAAGUAUAAGGUGGAGCUGGCAAAAACCCACUGUGCAUGUAAAAGAUGGGAUCUGACAGGUAUCCCAUGUUGCCACGCUAUAGCUUGCAUUUGGUUUAACCGUGGUCAUCCUGAAGACUUUGUAGACAACUACUAUAGGUAAUGCCCUAAACAUUCAAUGCUAUUUUGUUAAUUAUGUUCAUCUAGAUGAUUGACAAUUGUAUACUUUGGUUGUGUAGGAGAGAAACGUUCCUGUCUACUUAUGCAUUCAUUAUUGAACCAAACAAUGGACCCAAGCUUUGGCCUGUGAAUGAUCUGCCACCACUGAAUCCUCCAUAUGUGAGAAGGGCACCUGGAAGGCCAAAAACUCAAAGAAAUAAAAAGAAUGAUGAGCCUAGAAAUCCCUAUAAGCUACCAAGGAAUCAGAGCAAAGUUAAGUGCAGCAGGUGUGGGAAGUGGGGUCACAAUGUCAGGACUUGUGGAGGGAAAACUGGAGCUGAUAGGGAAAUAGAAAAAGGGGGAAUAAGGUAAAUGCCUUUAUUGUUUGGCUUAAUUUUGCUUGCAUUAUGAGUUAAUGUUUGUAUAUAUUCCUUUGCAUAAGUAUACACUAAUUACCAUCAUUUCAGACUAAUUUGAAGAAGACCCACCCAAAAGAUAGGGCAAGUGGCAGUGGUACCAUACCUGGGACAAGAAGUGCAGCUGCUGCUGCUAGGGCUUCUGCAAGGGCUGCUGGUACCAUACCUUUGAAACCUACAUACAAGCCUGCUGCAAAAAGAAAGAAGAAGUCUAAGGCAUCUGAGGCAAAUGCAUCUCAGCCUACACCAAAUGUAUCUCAGCCUCCUGCAUCUCAGGCUCUUGCAUCUCAGCCUACACCAUCUCAACCUCUUGCAUCUCAGGCUCCUGCAUCUCAUCCUACACCAUCUCAGGCUCAUGCAUCUCAGCCUACACCACAUCAGCAGUCUCAAGGUAGCACAAGGGGAAGGAAGAGAGGAAGAAGUGGACUAGGAACUCAGUAGAGCAGAAGUUGAUAAUGUCUUGGUUCAUUAUGAAUUAUGUAUUUUGUUGGCUAAAGCUUUGGCCUUUAAUUUCCUGGAAUAGCUUGUGUCUUUAAUAUUGGAACACAAUUGCUUUUAAUGUUGGUCCAUUGAGUCUUUAAUAAUGGAACACUUUUGUCAUUAAUGUUGGUCCAUUGUUGGAACACAUUUGUCUUUAAUGUUGGUCCAUUGUGUCUUUAAUGUUGGAACACAUUUGUGAUUUGUCUUAAAUGUAUUUUGGCAACCCACUUUAAUGUAUGGCAAGUUAUUGUGACAUUUUGAAUUCUUGUUUGCAAGUUAUAUUAGGAUUGUGCUUAGUAGUUACAAGUUAUAUAUGUCUUCAUUGUGAAUAGAAGACAUGUGUUGAUUGUCAUAUUGGGGAAUUUAACACAGAUAGAAUUCUCCCCAAAUGGUACUAAAAUGCUAUAAAAAUGCAAAGAAGUUAACAAAGAUAACAUUCUCAUAUUGUCAUUGUGAGACCCAAGUUUUUAAGUUUGGAAUAAACCGAAUAAAAUUCCUUUUCACGAUUAAUUUGAGGUAACGUGAAGGAAAACCUGAACAAGUGUCUAUUGAAUGGAAUAAAUUUGUGAAGGAGAAAGUUCAGGAAAAAGCUAAGGAUGGUAUCCAAGUCGAUAAAGGUUAUAGCACGGUUAGUAUUCGCUUUAACCUAGGUCAAGAACGCUAGGAAAUAGCUAAUUUACUCUUUAAGGCACGAUGAAAACUAAUUCCAAAAAUUUUCAGAGAAAUGUUAGAACUUCUCUUAUUCGUCUAUAAACGAGCGUUUCGAUACGAAACCCUAGAAUGUAAGAACGUCAAAUUCCAAUACUUGGAAGUUUGCCGAAACCGAAUCACUGAUAGUUCAGAAACCCUAAAAUGAACGGACGAUGAAGACUUUUUCUAUUCGGAGCUUCAAAUAAAGAUUUCAUUCGCGUACGCCCACUCUAAUCGACGUUCCAGAUCUUUCUUCAGAAGGAAGUUUCUGCAUCCGAGGUCAAAAUCAUAAAGUGCAUAAAGUACAUUUUAAGCCGGUACACAUUAAAAACAAGCCUCGAAAACCAAAAAUCAUACUGAUAUUUCUUUGGAGAAUUAGAAGAUUCAGCGGGAAGAAUAUCGUGUCUAAAAUACGUUGGAAUCAGUAGGAAAAAUCGGAUUCGCGAAAUUCUCAUUUUUCCGCAUUUUCCAUUUCCUAUAUAUAGUAUGAAAAAUUAAAAAAAAAAAAUCAAAAAAAUAGCUUCACAACACACACACACGACCGAGACAUUGAAGAGGAAAAAGGAAGAAAAGUGAUUUUUCCAAUUCUUGACCGAUCGUCGUUCCGUUCGUUGCUACGCGUAGACAUCGAGGUACUGAUGCUAUCCCUCACUUCUGAUCGUCAGAUCUGUCGACUUUUUCUAUGUCUUUCUGUGCUCAAAGUUUUGAGCUUUUUGUAAAACUGUCCAAAUAAGCUGAUUUUAGUGUCUAAACUUAUUGCCUACGUGCUCUAGAGCGUGAAUAUCCGGUUGUUUUCUGCUGAAUGUCGCCGAAAUGCCGCCGGGAUCAAUUUCUGUUGGAAAAACCCAUUUCUGGGUAAAGUUCCGUUCUUUAAGCUGGAAAUUCACGACUAAGCUUAGCUUUAGUAGGAUUAGUUGUUAUAAAUGUCGUUAGGAUCGAUCCCAUCCAAUUUGUUUUUUGAAAUUCCAAUUUUGAAAUUCUGAGCUGAAGAUAAUGACCAAAAUACCCCUGCGACAGUUUUCGACCCGAUAAUUUUUCUGAGAGUUUCCCUGGCCUAGAUAUCGCCUAAGAAUACCUUGGAAUUGAUUUAGAUCGAAGAAAAAGUUCGAAAACCCUAUUUUCUAUAGUGGCCGAAACCUAUUUGCUUGGGUACCGUGUCCAAAAAUAAUUUUCGGGUCUCUAUGACCUGAGCCAUUGCGUAGCUCUUUCAAUUGUCGAAAUUUUGGCGCCGGUUUCGUGUCAUUCCGAGUUCUGUAGCUCGAGUUAUGCACGUUUUAGCGAAUAAAGUGUUUUUGUACAAAACUUGAAUCGAGUCAAAACUCAUCCAUUCGGGGAAAGCCCUUCCAUUCGUGCCUAAAUGUUGUACUCUGAAGCUUCUUGAGCUUCGUCGAACAUUAGUUAGGAUUGUUUCGACUGUAUCGACUUGUUUUGAUUCAUUAUUGCUUUGCUUGCUCAAAGGUUCAAUUGUGGAAACUUUGGGAUUGACUGAACAAGCUUGUGAGCGAGACCUGCACCGCGAGACCAGAACAACUCGAGGUUAGGGCAACUUACUUACUAGCUAAUGAUUUAUAGGCGUCGAUAAAUUCGACUUGAAUAUUGCUUGAUAUUGAAUAUUGCUUGUUAUUGAAUAUUGCUUGGGUAUUGUUGAUCGUUUGAAAUUGGAAAGUUUUUUUCUGGAGGCUUUGGCCGAGUGAACUUAUAUGAGACUUGUGUCUCCGUUUUCUGAGAGGCUUCGGCCGUUUACUGGUUUCUGUCUUAUGAUUCCCGCACCAUACUCUUAUUGCAUCGCUCUUUAGAGCUGAAUAUUGUUGAAUUGAUAUCGAAUUGUGCGUGUUGACGCGAUUGCGGAGCGUAGGACAUUUGAGUUGAUGUUGUUGAUCUUUCGGGUUGAGAGGAAGCCCUAGGCAGGUCCUGACCUUAGGUCUGAGAUCUAGCCCUCUUUGAACACUUAGACUUUUCCGGGGAUUAUAUUUGGGGGAUUUGGGAAACUUUGAAUAGUUGGAAUUUGGAACUUGAGAAUUUAUGGAACUUGGAUUUCGAUAAUAAACCUCAUAACUUGAUUAACUCCACUUGAAAUGCUUUGAUUAAUUAACGAGACCUUUAGGAAAAUUUAAGACUUGGAAAUGAUUGUGAAAAACGGGAAAUAGUCGAAAAGCCUUGAACUUGAGAUGAUUUGAUGGUCGUCACGAGGAUGAACCAUAGUGACCAUGGAAAUGUCACUGAGUGCAAUAUGUACUCCGGCUUUUCACAGCCUAGUCGCAAGACGACUUUGAUCUUCGGGUCCUUUUAAAUUGAGACUUGUGGUUAAACUCGUACGUGUGAGGACGAUUCGAUGUUUUGUUAACCAUAUUGCAUUAUGCAUAUGUUUGGGGUUUGGGACGGUCAGAAGACUUGGCCUUCACGAAGAACACCAAGGGUGUAUCUUCGACUUUGCGGCGCGAAUCCGUAUGUCCAAACCCGACGGGUUGGGCCGAUUCGGCAAUAAUUGUUGACACGCGCGAAUCCGUAUAUUCAAUCCGAUGGAUUGGAUCGAUUCGGCGGUAGUCACUCAGGCACACGUGAGUCCGUAUGUUCAAUCCGAUGGAUUGGAUCGAUUCAGCGAUUGCCAUUUUACCUCGCGUUAAUCCGUAUGUUCAAUCCGAGGGAUUGGAUCGAUUCAGCAACAACUUUUCGACACGCGCGGAUCCGUAUGUUCAAUCCGAUGGAUUGGAUCGAUUCGGCGGUAGUCAUUGGACACGCGCAACGUCCGUAUGUUCGACUCUUUUGAGUGAACCGACUUGGCGUUGUCAUUCGUUGCAUGUGCGAGUCCGUAUGUUCAACCCGAUGGGUUGGAUCGACUCGACAUGCCUAAUUAUGGGAGUUGCGUGUGCGAGUCCGUAUGUUCAACCCAAGGGGUUUGAUCGACUUGACAUGCCUAAUUGUUGGGAUAAUCUUCUGAGUUGACAUUGCAUGCAUACAUGCACCCCUACUGAUUUAUUGAGUCAUUGUUUAUUGAACUGUUGAGAUAGCAGAUAUCGAAUUGUUUAUUAGAGCCUUGAUAACAUGCUAUGUAUAUACCUUAGGGUAGGCAAUACAUAAAUUACAUGUAGAUAUACAACAUAUAUAUAUAUAUAUACCCCCUUAUUCUUCACAUGUUGUUUGUAUUAUCUAUUUUAUUCCGUGAGUUGACCCUAGCGCCUUGGCUUUGUUUGUAUGUUUGUGUUUGGGCGGUCGGCCUGCUGCCAGGCGUCCGUCAGUCGAUUCGUGAUGACUCGUCACUCGAGGAGGACCAGGAGCGUAAUGAUUAUUACUGAAGCUUUCGACGAGGACCCGGACUGAAUGCAUGACCAGAUGAGGGUCGAUGAUGGAAGCAUAGGGUAUGGGUGUUUAGAGCCUACUAAGGUUGGGUGUUAGUGUCAUAGCUCUGAAUCGUCAUUUGUACUUUUGGGACAGGGUAGUUUCCGACAGAUUGCUUUUCGGUGUGGUUCUCCGUUGAUGGGAAUCGCAUGGAGUAGUCAGACGUAAGAAGUCUUUUUGGAAGCCGUUUUGGGCUGACUUACUUUUCGAAGGACUGUAUUUAUAAAACUUAUGACUCUAUUUUUGAGUCGCACUUGUUUGCCGUUGGGCAACACUUUUAGUUACUUGAUGUUACUUUCCGUCACUUGAGGACACUCGUGACGAUGUUUUUAGUUGCAGCGAGGGCUGUGCUUGUAUUGUAUAUUAAUCGCUGUUAAUCGCGAUUGGGUUGAGUCUUUAUUUCGACAAGUCUUUUUAUUUAAACAAAAACGAAAAAAAAAUACCUGCUUUUCCACUUUACUUUAUUUUAUUUUCGAGUUACUAAAGAAACGCCACCGAAAUCGAGGUGUUACAUUGUGGUAUCAGAGCUUGUCGAGUCUUUCGGGAGUCUUUAGGGAAUAGGUCUUCUGUGCUAGGUUGUGUGACUCUGCAAAGAGUGAAAAUUGAUUGUCUGCCGAGCGAUUUUUUGCUUAGAAUUGAUUGAAGUUAGUGCUUAAUCAUAUUGUAUAGUUAUGUUAGAUGCUAUCUUAUGAUUAGUACUAACUGUUUGUUUAACUAAACAGAACAUGGUGAACAUGAACCAACUCGCUGGGGCAAUGACUGCUAUGGCCCAGGCAAUGACAAAUCAAACUGCGGAGAACGCUUAGUGGCGUGCUGACAAGGCUGAACGUGAGCGUCAUAAGCGUGAGAGGGAGGUAGCCCUAGACCAGAAUAGGGGGCUGACUGAUUUCAGGCGACAGGAUCCGCCCAAGUUCACGGGUGGGACUGACCCAGACAGAGCGGACCUAUGGAUCCAAGAGAUUGAAAAGAUUUUUGGGGUACUGCAUACCGCCGAAGGGGCUAAGGUGGGCCUGGCAUCUUACCUACUACUAGGAGAUGCUGAGUACUGGUGGAGGGGCGCCAGAGGGAUGAUGGAGGCCAAUCACGAGGAAGUGAAUUGGAACUCGUUCCGAGCUGCGUUCCUAGACAAGUAUUUUCCGACUAGUGCCCGAGAUGAGAGAGAAGCGCAAUUUUUGACUCUUUGUCAAGGGAGCAUGACCAUACCUGAGUAUGCUUCCAAACUGGAGUCAUUGGCAAAGCACUUCCAAUUUUUCAAUGACCAUGUGGACGAGCGCUAUAUGUGCAAGAGGUUUAUUAACGGACUACGAGCUGACAUCGAAGAUUCGGUGAGGCCGCUAGGGAUUGUGCGAUUUCAACCUUUGGUUGAGAAGGCAACAGAAGUUGAACUUAUGAAGAACAAGAGGAUUAAUAGAACAGGCACUGGGGGACCAAUGAGGUCGAACUUUCAAAAUAAUCAAGGGAAAGAGAGAUUCCGACAGGAGAAGCCGUAUCAACGUCCUUUAGAGGAAGGUUUUACCUCGGGGCAGUAUAAGCCCAUAAAUGCUACCGGAGGAACAGGAAACAAGACUUCGGGUCAAGGAGUGACGUGUUACAGGUGCAAGAAGGUGGGGCACUACACUAACAAGUGUCCAGACGGAAGACCUCUAUGUUUCAACUGCAACCGUCCGGGGCAUCAAGCCAAGGAUUGCAAUGUAACCAAGGUUGAGCCAUCUGUGCAUACGGUGAGGGGAAGACGUUCUACUGCACGGGGAAGAGUCCAUGUCUUGUGCGGCGAGGGAGCUGAUGGAUUAGUCAGAGGAGAGCGCAAGAACGAUGGUAACUUUCUAACUAUUCUUUCUCAUUCUAGUAUGGUAUACUCUUCGUUACCCCCGUAGCGUGUGCAACACGCUUGAACUUGCUUUUACCGCUAAGCUUUGACCUUAUAGUUAUUACCCCUACUAAGAAUUUAUUUGACUGCUGCUCGUGUUUUAACUAUAGUAGUUACACGAGGUUUAGAAUAAGACGCUAAGCCUAGAAAGUAGUUUUGCACCGCUGCGUUUAUAAGGAAGCUAGUAGCUGAAGAACGAAUCUUAGAGAGAUUCCUUAUGGGUAGUAUACGUGUUAUGUUGAGGGUGCGUAGUUCCGUAGCGGGACCGUUAAGGAUUGGAUGUCGGGAUAAUGGGGACUACUGGACGAUAGGAACUCAUUGACUGUUCCAGUGGGUUUUUCUAAAUUUUCACCUUCGAUGUAUUAGGCUUGAUCAACUUAAUAUUGAGGGGGUGAUAUUCGGAAUCACAGCUGGUAAUGGACUUUGAUAGAAGGAUGUGUAAGAUGAAUUUGAAUUGAUCGAGGAUUAGUCGGAUUUGGGAGGAAAGUUCGUGUUAAGCACUUGAUUUUAAAAGAUUAAGAUUUAAAUCUUUGGAAGUCGAUGAGUGUCGUAUAGACAUUAAUUGGUUAGUUCGUGUGAUUACUCCAAGUAGAGGUAGACUAAGUCAAGAGAUUUAAUGCUGGAAAAAUAUUAAGUAUUUUCUCGGAAUUAUGAAGUCAUAGGUUAUGUGAUUUCGGAGUGGAAUUGUUAGAGACUAAAUAGGUUGCAUUUAAUAUCAGGUUAUAGAUGAUCACUUGAUGAUGACAAGAUAGAGAAGAAUUAACUCUGAGCUAGAUUGUUGUAGUCGGGUUCGAGGAAUAAGUUUUGCUAAGCGCUUGAUUUAUUUGUGGAGACAUUGUAGUCUUAAGAGAUGAAUUUUCACUUGAAAAGUGUUGAAUUAAUGAUUAAGUUAGAAAAAUAAAGUUUUAGUAUAAGUUGAAUACUUGAGAUUGUUGAAAUGGAUUUCAGAGAAACAUGCUAAGGUUACUAAGUGAGAUUUACUAAGAUGGAUUGAAAUCUUAGGGUUAAGAUUGACCUUGAGAGUUGAGAAUCACGUACGAGUAGGAGAUCUUAUGGUUGUAGGUGUGACAAUAGGAUUUGAAUCUUAGAAGAUUGGAGAUCUGAAGAUGAGUUUCGGGUAAAGACCAUUGAGGUAUAGUAUAAGAGAGAUCUUGAAGUAAAGGAAUCCUGAGUUGUGUAGAGUGUUAAGGUUGGUUAUAAGUUGGGGAUCGAUUGAUGUUGAUUAUGGGGUUGCUGAUAUGAUGAGCCAUGUGAUAAGAUUCGAAUGAUGUUAGCAUAAUAAGUUAUGAUUGUGAAUAUCAGGAUCAAGAUGUGAAUGUGAAAGUGAAAGCAUGACGACACUGGUCAGGUCGUUUAUGUAAGCAAAUGAGUCAUAGUUUUAAGAAAUGGAUAUUCAUUUAAGAAGUAUUGGAGGAUUAAAGGCCAUUAGAGGACCAAACUUGGAGAAGGUUUAGGUUUUAAAUCCAUGAAUCUCUGUCUUAAGUGUGUAGGACUCAAAGUUUGUCAGGUUUUGAUCGAGAGACUAAGUAUCGGAUUGAUUGGAGGAUGAUCAAGUUACAGAAAGGAAAGUGUUAGUAUUAAGAUGAAUACUUGAAGUUGUUAUAUUUGGACGAGUUUCGUAGAGUUUAAGAGUGAAUGGAACUUUGUUAUGGAUUUUGAUGAUGCAUGCUAGGGUUAGCAAGUGAAUUUUACUAAGUUGAAUGAGAAUCCUAGGGCUAAGGUCGAUCUAGUGAGCUGAGAUUCAUGUACACUUAAGAGAUUUAGUGGUGUUAGCGGUUAUGAUAGCAGUUAAAUCUCAGAAGGUUGAAGGAUCAGAUGAUGAAAUGACUAGUAAAAUCCCUUGAGGUAUAGUUAUGAUUUAAUCUUCUAGGGGAUGAGUUCUGAUUUGUGCGAAGUGUUAGAGAUUUCAGUAAGUGUAAAUUGGUUUGAAUGAGGAUAGUUACGAAGUUAGAGGUAAUGAUUACUGGACUAGUGGAUUCCAAGGAAAUAAUUCGUCUAGGAGUUACCACGCGAUCGAGUUGAAUUUUGGAUCAUAAGUGAACAUCACAAGGACAAAACAGUUGAGGGAAAAAGAGAUUGUGUUGUGCAAGUUAUUUGGAACAAAGACACGGACGAUGCUAUAUGGGAGAGAGAGGAAAAAGAUCAAGGAAUAAUAUCCGGAACUUUUUACUGAACCUUAAGUUUCGAGGACGAAACUUUCUUUUUGGAGGGUAGUAAUGUGAGACCCAAGUUUUUAAGUUUGGAAUAAACCGAAUAAAAUUCCUUUUCACGAUUAAUUUGAGGUAACGUGAAGGAAAACCUGAACAAGUGUCUAUUGAAUGGAAUAAAUUUGUGAAGGAGAAAGUUCAGGAAAAAGCUAAGGAUGGUAUCCAAGUCAAUAAAGGUUAUAGCACGGUUAGUAUUCGCUUUAACCUAGGUCAAGAACGCUAGGAAAUAGCUAAUUUACUCUUUAAGGCACGAUGAAAACUAAUUCCAAAAAUUUUCAGAGAAAUGUUAGAACUUCUCUUAUUCGUCUAUAAACGAGCGUUUCGAUACGAAACCCUAGAAUGUAAGAACGUCAAAUUCCAAUACUCGGAAGUUUGCCGAAACCGAAUCACUGAUAGUUCAGAAACCCUAAAAUCAACGGACGAUGAAGACUUUUUCUAUUCGGAGCUUUAAAUAAAGAUUUCAUCCGCGUACGCCCACUCUAAUCGACGUUCCAGAUCUUUCUUCAGAAGGAAGUUUCUGCAUCCGAGGUCAAAAUCAUAAAGUGCAUUUUAAGCCGGUACACAUUAAAAACAAGCCUCGAAAACCAAAAAUCAUACUGAUAUUUCUUUGGAGAAUUAGAAGAUUCAGCGGGAAGAAUAUCGUGUCUAAAAUACGUUGGAAUCAGUAGGAAAAAUCGGAUUCGCGAAAUUCUCAUUUUUCCGCAUUUUCCAUUUCCUAUAUAUAGUAUGAAAAAUUAAAAAAAAAAAAAAUCAAAAAAAUAGCUUCACAACACACACACACGGCCGAGACAUUGAAGAGGAAAAAGGAAGAAAAGUGAUUUUUCCAAUUCUUGACCGAUCGUCGUUCCGUUCGUUGCUACGCGUAGACAUCGAGGUACUGAUGUUAUCCCUAACUUCUGAUCGUCAGAUCUGUCGACUUUUUCUAUGUCUUUCUGUGCUCAAAGUUUUGAGCUUUUUGUAAAACUGUCCAAAUAAGCUGAUUUUAGUGUCUAAACUUAUUGCCUACGUGCUCUAGAGCGUGAAUAUCCGGUUGUUUUCUGCUGAAUGUCGCCGAAAUGCCGCCGGGAUCAAUUUCUGUUGGAAAAACCCAUUUCUGGGUAAAGUUCCGUUCUUUAAGCUGGAAAUUCACGACUAAGCUUAGCUUUAGUAGGAUUAGUUGUUAUAAAUGUCGUUAGGAUCGAUCCCAUCCAAUUUGUUUUUCGAAAUUCCAAUUUUGAAAUUCUGAGCUGAAGAUAAUGACCAAAAUACCCCUGCGACAGUUUUCGACCCGAUAAUUUUUCUGAGAGUUUCCCUGGCCUAGAUAUCGCCUAAGAAUACCUUGGAAUUGAUUUAGAUCGAAGAAAAAGUUCGAAAACCCUAUUUUCUAUAGUGGCCGAAACCUAUUUGCUUGGGUACCGUGUCCAAAAAUAAUUUUCGGGUCUCUAUGACCUGAGCCAUUGCGUAGCUCUUUCAAUUGUCGAAAUUUUGGCGCCGGUUUCGUGUCAUUCCGAGUUCUGUAGCUCGAGUUAUGCACGUUUUAGCGAAUAAAGUGUUUUUGUACAAAACUUGAAUCGAGUCAAAACUCAUCCAUUCGGGGAAAGCCCUUCCAUUCGUGCCUAAAUGUUGUACUCUGAAGCUUCUUGAGCUUCGUCGAACAUUAGUUAGGAUUGUUUCGACUGUAUCGACUUGUUUUGAUUCAUUAUUGCUUUGCUUGCUCAAAGGUUCAAUUGUGGAAACUUUGGGAUUGACUGAACAAGCUUGUGAGCGAGACCUGCACCGCGAGACCAGAACAACUCGAGGUUAGGGCAACUUACUUACUAGCUAAUGAUUUAUAGGCGUCGAUAAAUUCGACUUGAAUAUUGCUUGAUAUUGAAUAUUGCUUGUUAUUGAAUAUUGCUUGGGUAUUGUUGAUCGUUUGAAAUUGGAAAGUUUUUUUCUGGAGGCUUUGGCCGAGUGAACUUAUAUGAGACGUGUGUCUCCGUUUUCUGAGAGGCUUCGGCCGUUUACUGGUUUCUGUCUUAUGAUUCCCGCACCAUACUCUUAUUGCAUCGCUCUUUAGAGCUGAAUAUUGUUGAAUUGAUAUCGAAUUGUGCGUGUUGACGCGAUUGCGGAGCGUAGGACAUUUGAGUUGAUGUUGUUGAUCUUUCGGGUUGAGAGGAAACCCUAGGCAGGUCCUGACCUUAGGUCUGAGAUCUAGCCCUCUUUGAACACUUAGACUUUUCCGGGGAUUAUAUUUGGGGGGUUUGGGAAACUUUGAAUAGUUGGAAUUUGGAACUUGAGAAUUUAUGGAACUUGGAUUUCGAUAAUAAACCUCAUAACUUGAUUAACUCCACUUGAAAUGCUUUGAUUAAUUAACGAGACCUUUAGGAAAAUUUAAGACUUGGAAAUGAUUGUGAAAAACGGGAAAUAGUCGAAAAGCCUUGAACUUGAGAUGAUUUGAUGGUCGUCACGAGGAUGAACCAUAGUGACCAUGGAAAUAUCACUGAGUGCAAUAUGUACUCCGGCUUUUCACAGCCUAGUCGCAAGACGACUUUGAUCUUCGGGUCCUUUUAAAUUGAGACUUGUGGUUAAACUCGUACGUGUGAGGACGAUUCGAUGUUUUGUUAACCAUAUUGCAUUAUGCAUAUGUUUGGGGUUUGGGACGGUCAGAAGACUGGGCCUUCACGAAGAACACCAAGGGUGUAUCUUCGACUUUGCGGCGCGAAUCCGUAUGUCCAAACCCGACGGGUUGGGCCGAUUCGGCAAUAAUUGUUGACACGCGCGAAUCCGUAUAUUCAAUCCGAUGGAUUGGAUCGAUUCGGCGGUAGUCACUCAGGCACACGUGAGUCCGUAUGUUCAAUCCGAUGGAUUGGAUCGAUUCAGCGAUUGCCAUUUUACCUCGCGUGAAUCCGUAUGUUCAAUCCGAGGGAUUGGAUCGAUUCAGCAACAACUUUUCGACACGCGCGGAUCCGUAUGUUCAAUCCGAUGGAUUGGAUCGAUUCGGCGGUAGUCAUUGGACACGCGCAACGUCCGUAUGUUCGACUCUUUUGAGUGAACCGACUUGGCGUUGUCAUUCGUUGCAUGUGCGAGUCCGUAUGUUCAACCCGAUGGGUUGGAUCGACUCGACAUGCCUAAUUAUGGGAGUUGCGUGUGCGAGUCCGUAUGUUCAACCCAAGGGGUUUGAUCGACUUGACAUGCCUAAUUGUUGGGAUAAUCUUCUGAGUUGACAUUGCAUGCAUACAUGCACCCCUACUGAUUUAUUGAGUCAUUGUUUAUUGAACUGUUGAGAUAGCAGAUAUCGCAUUGUUUAUUAGAGCCUUGAUAACAUGCUAUGUAUAUACCUUAGGGUAGGCAAUACAUAAAUUACAUGUAGAUAUACAACAUAUAUAUAUAUAUACCCCCUUAUUCUUCACAUGUUGUUUGUAUUAUCUAUUUUAUUCCGUGAGUUGACCCUAGCGCCUUGGCUUUGUUUGUAUGUUUGUGUUUGGGCGGUCGGCCUGCUGCCAGGCGUCCGUCAGUCGAUUCGUGAUGACUCGUCACUCGAGGAGGACCAGGAGCGUAAUGAUUAUUACUGAAGCUUUCGACGAGGACCCGGACUGAAUGCAUGACCAGAUGAGGGUCGAUGAUGGAAGCAUAGGGUAUGGGUGUUUAGAGCCUACUAAGGUUGGGUGUUAGUGUCAUAGCUCUGAAUCGUCAUUUGUACU
Molecule: long non-coding RNA, 107673 nt
Filed under: Lotus japonicus
Lineage: Eukaryota; Viridiplantae; Streptophyta; Magnoliopsida; Fabales; Fabaceae
Description: long non-coding RNA (LJAP_LNC001046)
Source: RNAcentral